RNAcentral lists this long non-coding RNA (165753 nucleotides) under Coffea arabica (coffee). RNAcentral describes it as "long non-coding RNA (CARA_LNC003813)". Lineage: Eukaryota; Viridiplantae; Streptophyta; Magnoliopsida; Gentianales; Rubiaceae. The record is from RNAcentral.
GACAUAUUGACGAAACAAGAAGUGCAUGAAGAAACGUCAUACAUUGAUUACCAAGUACACCUAAGACCACAAUAACGAUAAAAAUCUAUACUUUGUUUUCUUAUUUAUUAUUUUUCUUUUAUUAGUUAUUUUUUCCCAUCCUCCUUGAUGGAUUUCUUAGUAAGAUAGUCGAGUGAACAAGUAGGUCAUAAGAAACAUAAAUCACCAAGUACGUAUAUGGCCUGUAAUUGGCUUUCCUUAUUAUUAGUUUUUCCUUUAUUAUUCAAAAUUUCCCUCCUCCUGGGCAUGAGAUUACGGUAAUAUCGCCCCUUAUAACCGUAUUAUUCCGUGCCGGCCUUCGUAGAACUGUCUGAAAAAAUGCAUAUCCCCGAGCAAACCUAAACGUUUUGGUGCCACCAACUAUUGGAUCUUCUCUCGCCGGACUACCAACUUGUAAGUUAUAUCCUGCUCCUUGGAAUUCCAAUGUGCUACCGUUGUAUUUGAAGUUGGAGAAAAUGAGGGAAAAUAUGCCCAGUGAUCUUGAUCCAUCACGGGAUGAAGCUAUCUCAAUGCCUUGGGCCCGACCAAUAGUUGGAGAAUUGUUGCUGAUGCCUUGUGUUAUGUUAAAAUCAUUAACAAUAAUGGUUCCAAAAUUGGAGGGAGUUCUCGGCUUACCAGGGGCGCCGGCAACUGCAACACUGGUGGUAUUUGGUCCGCCCGUAAACACUUGAAGGUACACAGUAAUAUUUGUUUCCUUUCCACGGCAGCAAUAGUAAGGGUCAAGACGAUUAGCUUCUGAACAAACAAAGAUUGCUAGUAAUAGCACAAGGGAAAUUUGGAUGGAUGCUAAAGCUGAACCUUUUGCCAUUUUGUAUGUUGAAAGGCUAGCUGAAAAACAAAGAAGGAAGAAACAAAAUAGUUAGAUGGUAAAGAUAAUUUGUUCAAUGACCGUAUUUAUAGGAUAGAGGAGGUAGCAGUUGCAAAUGGUUAAAGUAGAACAAUUAAAUCAAUCUUGACUUUUGAUUUUUCUACAUAUAAAUGGUUUAAAUGAAAUAAUAUUACAUUUCAAAGAGUUAGGUAUAGCACAAAAAGUUUUAAAAGACAAUUAAACAUCAAUGGGUGGCCACCUAUCACGAUAGGUUUGUGUAAUGGUGUGCUGUACUCAGCAGAUAUAUCAUUCAAAGUUCAGAGCCAAGAAUUUCUUUUGAUAUAUAGUGGGAUAAUGGAGAACCUUGAAUACAUGAAACACAUUUCCCUAAAAAAAAAUGAAAUACAAUCGAUAAGGUUCUGGAAAAGGAUUAACUCCACUCUGCAUUUUCAAACUUGUACCACUUUAACAAGGUUCCAAACAUAUACUCAGUAGAUAAAUUAAUGUUGACUUUUGAUGUUUCUGCAUAUAAAUGGUUUAAAUGAAAUAGGAUUGCAUUUGCAAGAGUUAGGUAGAGCACAAAAACUUUUAAAAGAGAAUUAAACCUCAAUGGGUGGCCACCUAUCAUAGUAGGUUAGUGUAGAAUGGUGUGGUAUACACGGCAGAUAUAUCAUUCAAAAUUCAUAGUUAAGAAUUUCUUUUAAUGAUGGUUAUCUAGGAGGGUGCCAGCGGCCAAACGGGGCUCGGGGGGAGGAAGAAUUUUUUCCCCCAUUAGAAAACGGGGUAGCCGGAGAGGGAGUUUACACCCACCCCAUCCCCUGCCCCAUCACCCGUUGAGAAAAAUUAAAUAUAUAUGUAUAUAAUUAUAUAUGUGAUAUUUAAUUUAAUUAGUUACAAAUUUAUAAUAAUGAUAUUAUUAGUUAUAAGUAUUAUAUAAUUUAUAUUAGUAUUUGUAAUAUUAUUGAUAUUAUCAAAUGCUAAUAAUUAUACAUGUCUACUAAUAAAAAUUAUUAAUUAGUUGUAUCAAAUUUACUAAUACAUUUAUACUAAAUUCCUAAUUACACUUAACACAAUAACACUUCUUUUCUCAAAAAAUCACACAACAAUGAUUUAGUGGUUGUAUUUGUAUCCAAAGUGAAAACUUGAUUACUUUAGUUGUGUUUGUUUCAUCAUAUUGGGAUGUAUUUAAAUAACUCUUGUUUGAUUGUUUUUAUGACACACAAUUGUGAAAUUACAAUGAAUAAUGAUUUGGUGAUGUGUUGGCAUUUAAGUAUUUGAUCCUUUGUUCAAAUAUGACUACAAUGAAAUUGUAUGACAAAUUUUUAUUCGCCCUGUGGGUGCGCCCAUAGGGGAAGCGGGGCAAGGCGGGGACGGGGUUGGGGAGGAGUCCCCUGUCUAACCCCCACCCCAUUGCCAUUCCUAAUUUCUUUUGCUAUAUAGUGUAAUAAUGGAAACCUUGAAAACUUGAAACACAUUUACCAAAAAAAAAAAAUGAAAUACAUUUAACAGGGCUCCGAAAAAUGACUAACUCCAUUUUGCACCUUCGAAUUUGUACCGGUUUAACAAUGUUCCAAACUUAUACUCAGGAGAUAAAUCAAACUUGACUGUUGAUUUUUCUGCAUAUGAAUGGUUUAAAUGAAAUAAGAUUACAUUUCAAAGAGUUUGGUAGAGCAUAAAAAAGUUUUAAAAGAUCGUUAAACCUCAAUGGGUGGCCACCUAUCAAAGUAGGUUUGUGUAGAAUGGUGUGGUAUACAUAGCAGAUAUGUCAUUCAAAGUUCAGAGUCAAGAAUUUCUUUUGCUAAAUAUAUAGUGAGAUAAUGAAAAACCUUGAAAUCUUGAAACACUUUACCUAAAAAACAAAUUACAAAACAAUGAAACACAUUUCACAAGAUUCUGGAAAAGAAUUAACUCCGCUUUGCACCUUCGAACUUCUACCACCUUAAUAAGGUUCCGAACUUACAUUGAGUAGCUAAAUCAAUCUUGACUUUUGAUUUUUCUGCAUAUAAAUGGUUGAAAUGAAAUAUGAUUACAUUUCUAAGAGUUAGGUAGAGCGUAAAAAGUUUAAAGAGAGAGUUCAAUAUAAAUGGGUAGCCACCUAUGAAAAUUGGUUUGUAUACAGUGGUAUACUCAGCAGAUGUAUCAUUCAAAGUUGAUAGUCAAGAAUUUCUUCUGUUGUAUUGUGGGAUAAUGGAAAACCUUAAAAACUUGAAACAAAAUUACCUGAAAAAAAAAAAACAAGGCAACACAUUUAAUAAGGUUCUAGAAAAGGAUUAACUUGACUUUGCAUCUUCGAACUUAUCCCACUUUUAAUUUCAUUUUGUACCCCAAAUUUUAAUUUUGAACACUUUGCACCCUAAGCUUUAAUUUCACCUUUUAGUCUGAGGCCAUUCAUGUUUGCAAAUUGCAUAAGAGCCACUCAUUUUCUUGUUGGUUACGUGUUGUAAUAGGCUUUUAGCAUCCUCUCAUUAAAAAAUUAAUUUAAAAAAAUGUCCAAGUAUAGGUUUCAAUUUUGUAGUUGAAAUUGAAAAUGUUCACGAAUGUUUAGCUAUUUACACGCCAUAUAGGCUUCCAACCUCCUAACCCUAAAAUUUAGGGGGUUUGGGGGGAAGGGGAGGGUUGGAUGAAGAGCAGAGAUUGAAAUAAUAAAUCUUUUGUAGCGUUCAUUAAGACAUUGAUCGAAUAAGAGAAUGUCUGAAGAGAAAUUGGAAUGAAACAAAUAUCUUAAUUGCACUAGAGAAGUGCAAUUGAAUAUGGUUCUCGAGAAUGUAAUUUCCGUUGAUUUCUAUGUAGCAGAUUGUUGUAAAAUUUGUCUGAAGAGACAAUCGAAUACCCCCAAAACUCGCCGAAUUCCUAACAGUUCACAUAUCUUUUGGAGUCGAAUUACAAGUCCACGUAUGUUUCUCCACCCUUGUGAUCAUCCCCCAGAAUACACAAUUUGACAAGAAACUCAAUCUGACCGCAUUGAAACUGGACAAUUGGGAUGCAGGACUUGAAGAAUCUUUUUCUACAUAAAACAUCUUAUAUGAUGUUCUUUUAGCCAUUUCAGUUACCUCAUACCAACUACUCAAACAUGAAAGCAUUAGAAGGGACAGGAGAGCAAGUAUUAAAAGCCACAAUCAGUCAAUGCACAUCAUUUUCUUACAAAUUAGUAUAUUUAAAGAGCUAUUGGAAAAUGACACUAUCUAAGCACAAGAAAAACUGAUUAUGAUUUCAUCAAUAAUCACAGCUUUCAAUGGAGCUGUCAAAGAAGAAUUGCAACCUCUUAUUGAUGAAUUUAUUGAAAUAGGUAAACUACUAAAGAAAACGACUUUAAAUCUAGAGGAGAUAUGAUACCUUCAUAAAAGUUCAUCCUCCACUUUUGUGAAGACCAAUAAAUAGGGUAAAGUGAGCAAAAAAUUACAAUAAAACUGGCAAGGGGAAAAAGCGAGAGAACACCAAAACAUCAAAACGUACCUUCAAGACUGAAUGAAGAAAAGUAGCUUCCUUUUUCCUUUGCUCCUUCAUCUAACAAAAAUUUAGAAUAAAUAAAUGUCAACAAAAUCAAAUUUAUUGGGAAAAAGAAAAUAAAAAUGACAUUAGAUUAACUUUUUCUAGGGAAAAAGAAAUAGAGAGCCUAAACAAUCUCAUCUUCAAAAAAGAAUUUACAAAUCUUAAUAUCUCAACCUAUUACAAACAUUUGAAACUUAUUGGAGCAUAGAUAAUUAAUAUGUUAGAACAUCAAAUCUAGCAUAGGGGAUGCGAGACCACAAUAGGAAACAAAACAAUAGUAAUAAAGCCUGAGGAUUAGCAAGAAGAGAAGAAAUUGUGUUCCCCAAACAAUAACCAGCAUUCAGCACUAAACAUCUGAAUGCAUUUUCAAUUUUUCAAAUCCAGCUCAUACUAAUGCAAUACUUAUUCAAGCAAAAUAGAUUAGUUUGUAAUGCCAGCAGAUAACAAAGGACCUAAAAGUCAAAAUAUCAAAUUGUUAAACCUUGAAAACUUACAAAGUUACUUUUUGUUGUCCGCUUAUGUGGUGACUGCAUCUUUAUGUACCUUGAAUAUCAAGAACAUGACUGGCAAGUGUGAGAGAAUGAGUCCCAAGAAUAUGCCAAUCAGGUCAUAUUCUGCCACCACCUUCACUUCCAAUAUUACAUGCUCAACCUGAAAUUUUGCAGGAUUAAAGAAUUUAAAUCAUCUUCUCAAUCAGAAAUUACACAAAUUAACAGCAAAGUUUAAACAACAAAAAAGGUCAUAUUCUGCUAAAAUAUAAAUAUAAUGUGGCAUAUAAAGGAGAGGUAACAAUUUUAAGCAUUCAUUAGUCAACCUUUCUUAACUUCCUAGACAUUAGACAUUGACUAAAUAGUUGAUUGCACAAUAUAAACAACUACAAUAUGUAUCCAUAUGUAAAACAAUGUAAUAACUAUUAUUUGUGUCAGCAAAAUGACACCAUAAAUACAAAAACAAUCUAAAACAAAAUUAAGUCCAAAAGAAAAGUCAUGCAAAAAAGUCAAAACAAUUACAGCAAUUUUUUUGUCCCACUGUUAAUUCAACCAAGACUUGGUACAAGAUGAAAACAAUAUUUGGCAUCAAGGACACUACAAGAUGAAAAUGUAAAUUAUUAAGAUUAAAUGUAAAUGAUUAUGAACAUCCACUUGAUAAAAAAUGAGGAACUAAGAUACAAAGGACAUCUCGAUGUUUCAGGGAAAAUGAAGUUCUGCUUAAUAGAGCUUAGAGUCAUAAAGAUAUAAGCCGAAUCAUUGGAAACGCUAGCAUUACCAAAAGUUGUCCUUCCUUUUCGCCUAUCCUAAUAACUUAUCCCCAAUCCAGAUAGGCAGUUUGUGGAGUGUCAUUACUAGCACCAAUCCUUUUGAUCAUCUACUAAUGCAUUCUAAGUUUUUAGGAAUUGCACUAAUAAAGAUAUUACAUUAGUAACAAACAUAGUCAUCCAACGCACAGAAAACCAUAAUGCAUAAUACCUUCCAAUUAUGUGAAAUUUACCAUUUUGAAAUGGUUCUCAGAAAAACUCAAUAUUUUCACCUGCAAACCCAGAAAAAAGGAUAUUAUUCACAUAAAUAAAAAAAAAGGAAAAGUGCAGAAAAUUUCAAAUAGUGGAAGCCAAAGGCUGAGAAAUAUAUGCAUUGAAUUUGAGAAGGAGAAACACCUAGAUUUAACACUCCAACCAUCAAAAAAGUCAAUGAAUUUCAUCAUUCAUAUGGAAAGGAAUUCAGCUAUUACUCCAAAUAUCUUAAUUAGAUCGACAGCUUUUGCUGCACCAGAAUUCACUGUUAAGCCUCUAAUGUAAAAUUUAAUAGGGAUACUAUGAGUUAUAUCAGGUUUCACCUUUGUACUCUCCAACAAGUUUCUUUUAUUUAAGAAAAAAGACAAUUAAAUGCAUGUUAAAUCAUAGCAAAAUGAUCUGAUACUCAAAUAAAAAAAUAGAGAAAGGUGAACUGCAAAACAACGAUUUUUUCACUUUUAGCUAUGUAACAAAAAAUGUGAAAGGCAAAAAAAAAGUGUGCUUUCAACGUGAAUUUUGACAAUAUUAUCUAUCCCAGAUGUAAAUAGUCAAGUCCAUAAAUUGUUAAUUAGGCAUACAACAAAACAAACUAUUGAUAACUUUUAAUUCGAGCAUGUUACCUCAUGCAAUUCACAUUGAACUCAUCUAGAGUAAAGUUCAUUAAUCUUAGUGCCUCUAGAGAAUUGCCGUCACUAACUCUUUAAGCUUCAUAGUCGUCUAGCUCAAUCAAACUAAAAAAGAAUUAAGCUGAACAAAUUAGUCAAGUAAAAAAAAGGAUUAAAAGAACAAAACAGAAACCAUUUCUACAGGUAUAGAGAUACAAGAGAUUUUGAGCUACUAACUAAAAAGAAAAGGGAAAAACUAUAACAGUGUAGCAAUGUGAUACAUUUCCUAGUCAGGGGGUAUGCAAUUUAAAGUUGUUUAGAAACUGUUCAUCGUAAUAUUCCAUCCAUAUUUGAUUUUGGAGAUUUUCCUUGUAUUUUAUGUGCAUGCAGGUCAAUUUUACUUCUUCCACUUGUAGUUCAAAUUUCUUUGACAACAGUGCCAGCCGACCUUCAGAAUGGUACUUUUUCAAGUCAACAUAGACGUAUUACACCAGUGACAAAAACUUCUCAUACGGAAAUAUUGGUGGAGUUUUGAUCAAGAUAAGCAGAAUCAAAACAUCAAGGCACCACAGAUUGCCUAAAAAAAAAAAAAACCUGCUAUAGCCGGAUAAUGCUCAAAACAAGAAAUAGCAAAGUCACUAAGCACUAAAUUUGGAGUAAUUUACCUAACCCUAACAGUUAACGAAAAAAGUUCCCUACUUGCUCCUUUCUCUGGCAAAUACUUGAUCCAUUCUCUAACAAAAAAAAAAUGGGCAACAAAACUUGGUUAAAUAAAAUCAUAGAAUGUUUAUAGCACAACAACACUAUGGUUCAAGUGAUUUUUCCAUCAUCCCUUCAACCAUCAUAACUGUAGACACUCAAGAAUAAGAGACAAAAAAUAUUCCGAUGGAUCUGAGAGACUUUAGAGAUAGUUACAAAAAGAAAAAAAAAAAGGUCUUAUCAAAGAAAAAAACCUUGAGUAGAACAUACCUCCGAAGAAAAAGAAUAAAACCAAGUACAUCUGCAAGCCAUUUGUUCUUAUCUCAGAGAAAACAAAAAGAGGGAACAAAAAAAAAAAGGAAAUAAAAAGGUCAGAAAAAAUAAAAAUAAGACCGAGGCCUACAAAAUAACAAGAUAAUUAUGGGAAAAAAAUACAUGAAAUUGUUUGGCAUCACACAAGAGCAAAUAGACAAAGAAAAAAACCUGAUAUGAUGAGAUUCAUCUUCAGCCUCCAAGAGAAAUACGGGGGUGGGAAGUGGACAAAUAGUGAAAAAAUAUAGGGAAAAAAUAGCGAAGAGAGGUCUUGCAGAAGAGUAAAAUGAGAAGCUGGAGAUAUAUCUAAGGGGGAAGCGUAAAAUGGGAAAAAGAGGUCUUGUAGAAGUGGAAAAAAAAAAAAAUAGGAAAAAAUUUUAAUCCAAAUCUACAGAGGAAAAAUGAUCACCUCAGGAGUUUUCUUGCCUGUGGAAGAGGAAGAUGGCAGAGGAGAAGAAAAGGAGAGAGAAUGGCGGAAAAAGAGAAAAACGAAAAGCGAAGCAGAAGAAGAAGAAGAUGAAACGGAGAGAAAAAGAGAAGAAGAAUAGAUGAACAACUUGUGCCUUGUGGUCUCAAGCCCAUCACUCCGAAAAAAAAAAAUCAUGUGGCUUGGAAAAAAGAGAAGGAUAAAAGAAAUAGGAAAAACAAUAAAUGAAAGACAAAGAAAAUGGACGACAGCCUUUGCUUCACAAAGGUACAACCACACCCAAUUUUCAUCCACGCGGUCACGUGAUCUCCUCGUGUAGGACGACAACUUUUUAUCCAAUGCUGAAUUGACACAUCAGCAGCAACCACAAACCUGUUGCAAGUUUCCUAAGCACUUAGUCUACCUAAGGUUGAUUAACUAACUAUUUUGUGGCCAAACCAUUAUCCAUCUUGACCAUCUAAAUGGUGAAUUGCACUUUAAGCUUAAUGCUCAACAAAACAGAAGUUCUUAACCAUGUUAAGGAAAAAUAGAUGGAAAGGUCUUUUGUCACCUUUUGUUAGUUGUGGUAGUUAUAUAGCAGAAGGAUUACCAUUUGUUAAACUGAGUAAAAGAUUAUUUUUCAUAAAGCAAGUUCGAUGUACAUCAUAUGUAAAACAAAAGUUAUGAACAAUAAAGACUACCUUACAAUAAGACUUGGUGUACAAUUAUCAGUUCAAGCGAAUUCCACAAUUAGGUGAAGAUUUUAUCUAAGUUUCAAUACACAUCUUUAUUAGUAAACGCACAUAUCAUAUUUUAACACAUUCACGAACAUACGUAAUUGAAGAACACCAAUAGUGUAAUUCACAAGCUUACGUAAUGCGAAGCCAAGUGUAAUUGAAGAACACCAAUAGUGUUUUUAUUUAGAUGGACAUAUUGACGAAACAAGAAGUGCAUGAAGAAACGUCAUACAUUGAUUACCAAGUACACCUAAGACCACAAUAACGAUAAAAAUCUAUACUUUGUUUUCUUAUUUAUUAUUUUUCUUUUAUUAGUUAUUUUUUCCCAUCCUCCUUGAUGGAUUUCUUAGUAAGAUAGUCGAGUGAACAAGUAGGUCAUAAGAAACAUAAAUCACCAAGUACGUAUAUGGCCUGUAAUUGGCUUUUCUUAUUAUUAGUUUUUCCUUUAUUAUUCAAAAUUUCCCUCCUCCUGGGCAUGAGAUUACGGUAAUAUCGCCCCUUAUAACCGUAUUAUUCCGUGCCGGCCUUCGUAGAACUGUCUGAAAAAAUGCAUAUCCCCGAGCAAACCUAAACGUUUUGGUGCCACCAACUAUUGGAUCUUCUCUCGCCGGACUACCAACUUGUAAGUUAUAUCCUGCUCCUUGGAAUUCCAAUGUGCUACCGUUGUAUUUGAAGUUGGAGAAAAUGAGGGAAAAUAUGCCCAGUGAUCUUGAUCCAUCACGGGAUGAAGCUAUCUCAAUGCCUUGGGCCCGACCAAUAGUUGGAGAAUUGUUGCUGAUGCCUUGUGUUAUGUUAAAAUCAUUAACAAUAAUGGUUCCAAAAUUGGAGGGAGUUCUCGGCUUACCAGGGGCGCCGGCAACUGCAACACUGGUGGUAUUUGGUCCGCCCGUAAACACUUGAAGGUACACAGUAAUAUUUGUUUCCUUUCCACGGCAGCAAUAGUAAGGGUCAAGACGAUUAGCUUCUGAACAAACAAAGAUUGCUAGUAAUAGCACAAGGGAAAUUUGGAUGGAUGCUAAAGCUGAACCUUUUGCCAUUUUGUAUGUUGAAAGGCUAGCUGAAAAACAAAGAAGGAAGAAACAAAAUAGUUAGAUGGUAAAGAUAAUUUGUUCAAUGACCGUAUUUAUAGGAUGGAGGAGGUAGCAGUUGCAAAUGGUUAAAGUAGAACAAUUAAAUCAAUCUUGACUUUUGAUUUUUCUACAUAUAAAUGGUUUAAAUGAAAUAAUAUUACAUUUCAAAGAGUUAGGUAUAGCACAAAAAGUUUUAAAAGACAAUUAAACAUCAAUGGGUGGCCACCUAUCACGAUAGGUUUGUGUAAUGGUGUGCUGUACUCAGCAGAUAUAUCAUUCAAAGUUCAGAGCCAAGAAUUUCUUUUGAUAUAUAGUGGGAUAAUGGAGAACCUUGAAAACAUGAAACACAUUUCCCUAAAAAAAAAUGAAAUACAAUCGAUAAGGUUCUGGAAAAGGAUUAACUCCACUCUGCAUUUUCAAACUUGUACCACUUUAACAAGGUUCCAAACAUAUACUCAGUAGAUAAAUUAAUGUUGACUUUUGAUGUUUCUGCAUAUAAAUGGUUUAAAUGAAAUAGGAUUGCAUUUGCAAGAGUUAGGUAGAGCACAAAAACUUUUAAAAGAGAAUUAAACCUCAAUGGGUGGCCACCUAUCAUAGUAGGUUAGUGUAGAAUGGUGUGGUAUACACGGCAGAUAUAUCAUUCAAAAUUCAUAGUUAAGAAUUUCUUUUAGUGAUGGUUAUCUAGGAGGGUGCCAGCGGCCAAACGGGGCUCGGGGGGAGGAAGAAUUUUUUUCCCCCAUUAGAAAACGGGGUAGCCGGAGAGGGAGUUUACACCCACCCCAUCCCCUGCCCCAUCACCCGUUGAGAAAAAUUAAAUAUAUAUGUAUAUAAUUAUAUAUGUGAUAUUUAAUUUAAUUAGUUACAAAUUUAUAAUAAUGAUAUUAUUAGUUAUAAGUAUUAUAUAAUUUAUAUUAGUAUUUGUAAUAUUAUUGAUAUUAUCAAAUGCUAAUAAUUAUACAUGUCUACUAAUAAAAAUUAUUAAUUAGUUGUAUCAAAUUUACUAAUGACAACUUUGUUUUGUCAUUAGAUAAUUUUCUCAAUAGCUUAAUAGUCAUAAUUUGGCCUGUAAUCAUUGCUAAAUCAUUGAUUUUAAACAAAUCAUACAAAUAAACAUGAACGAUUGAUAACCAAAAGUAUUUGCAUUAGAUUACAUGGUAAUAAUAUAGUAUUCUCAAAUGCCAAAUUCAAGUGUACAUUACCCAACUAAUGCCUACAAAAAUAACAUUUGUCCAAAAUAUCACUUGUAUAUAUGGUACAUUUACAAAAGCAAUCACAGUUUAAGAAAUUGAAGAACAUCUAAAUGAACCACUCCAUGAGCAAAAGGCAAUUUUGUCUUCAACAUUCUUCAACCAUAACCAUAGAUAUCUUCCAAAAGCUAGUAUGAAUAGCAUUUAUCUGUCAUAAAAGAGUAAAAGAAGUAGGUAAGGGAAGGAGUACAAUAAUAAAGAACAAGUAAUGAGACUUAGAUUAUUAAGACAAAAAUUACAAUUCAUUAAGAACCUCAUAUAAUUUGGGCCCACAUAUUACAACACCAGCAAGAAGUUAGAAAUCACAGUUCAAUCUAUACAAAUACAACACUGCAUAAGCUCAACUAAAGAGCUCUCUAAAACAGUUUUUUUUUUAUUUUCUUUCUUCUUCUUUAAAUAGCUCAACUUAUUGAACAAUUAAAUUGGACUCCCACAGUAAUUAUUGUUUAAUCUUUAUGCUUUUGGUUGUUUAUAUAUUAAAACACAGAAAGCAACUUAUUGUACGAGGUGUGAAUACAGGAGGUACUAGCCCUCUUUGAUUUUAGGAGUUUAUGCUUCAAAAAUCAUGAAGGAAACGAUGCCUCUGUAGGAUUAAACUGUGCAAAGAGAAUGAGCCAUUUGCCUCACAAUGUCAAAGUGAAGACCAUCUAAACAGGUGAAACCAAUCAAAGUUCACAAACGCCCCCUUUGCAUUAUAUUCAUUUCUUUCAAGUCACUACAUAGGCAAAAAGAAGAUUGCUAUCCAUGCAUGGUCUGUCGCUUGUACUUGAAAAUAAUAUACUAUUGCAGAUGAACAAUCAGAUUUUUACCUCUAUUGAUAAACUAACAGCACUAUAUACAUGAUACCUAGAUAUUUCCCAAAGAAUAAGUUCAGAUAACAAUGAUGCAUAACAUCAGCCCCAAAAAAUGUUAUUACACAACCAUCAGCCCCAUAACUAUAACCAUAAACUACACAACCAUAACAAAAAAUAGUCCACAAUGAUGGAUAACAUCAGCCCCAAAAAAUGUUAUCACCAACUAUUACCAAAAAAUAGUCCACAAUGACUACAAGUUACCAAAAACUACAUAUCAGCUAUAACCAUAACCAUAAACUACACAACCAUAACAAAAAACGGUCCACAAUGAUGCAUAACAUCAGCCCCAAAAAAUGCUAUUACUAGCUAUUACCAAAAAAUAGUCCACAGUGACCACAAGUUACCAAAAACUACAGAUCAGCCAUAACCAUAACCAUAAACUACACAACUAUAACAAAAAAUAGUCUACAAUGAUGCAAAAUAUCAGCCCCAAAAAAUGCUAUUACCAGCUAUUACCAAAAAACAGUCCACAGUGACCACAAGUUACCAAAAACUACAGAUCACCUUCUCCAACUAUGAUAGCAGAUUCUUACAUUAGUAAUUCUUAGCAGUUGAUCUCUAUCAUCUUUAGGAAGCUUGCCCUAUUUAGGUGCUUUCCACUUGCCAUACUUUCAAAUAACGCAGCUUGCCUCUGAAAUGUAUCGCUGAGCACCUUCUCUAACUAGUCUUCCACUUAUUUCAGAAACAGUAAUGUUCACAUUUUUUCCAGCUUUCUUUUCAUUUGAUAGUGCAAUAUUACGCGUAUAUCCUCUUUUUCUUUUUAACAUCACUUGGUCUAGUAGAUACAAAGUAAACAAGACCAUAAGUGCUAACAAUAGCAGCCCUGGCAGUAAUUAGUUAAUUAGAGUAGAAUUACACGUAAAACUGACAUACGUGAACCGUUUGACUCAAGGUCUUGCAUACUUUCAGUUUCAUUGCUUUGACAACCAAUAGUUUGAUUAGAUCCAACAUGCUGUGAAGUAGGAGUUCCAUCAGUUUGCAUCCCAGCAGCUUCUUGUGAUGUCAUUCCAUUGCCUGAAGAUUUUUCAGCAAUCUGUCUACUCUCAGCUUGUAUCAAUCUAAGGCAUUUAAAGGAAGGUGAACAAACCAUGUAAGAAUUAAAAUAAGUAGUGACUUGAUUGCAAAAAUUAAAGAAAUUUGAGGGGGUCAAAUUAAUUAAUUUUGGGCCAUAGCGAAACAAGGGGAGACUUGGGGGGCCGAAGUGCAAUUCUUGAAAGUUUUUCUUGCAAGUUCAUGCAAAGUUACGAAGCUUAUGCUUCUGCAAUUUCCAGCUAACAUCUCUGCUGCAAUUUUCACUCGGGAGCUUUUGCAACCCCAUGGAACUUUCGGCAAACAAGAUUCAUGCAGCACUUUGAUCCAUUUCCAAUUAAACAUGGCUAAAACCUAGUAACAAUGAGAUUCCUGGAAGACUCUCAUGCAAGUUUCAUGCAACAAAAGAAGACAAGAAGUUUUUGCAACUAAUUUCUGUUAAAAUUUCAGCGACCGAAAAAUGAAAACUGCUGCACUUUACUUCUACCAGGUUUUCCUUGCCGCAAAACUUUGCAGUUUAUCAAAUUACUUUUUCAAAUACAAGACAUCAAGAUCAAAACAGCAAGACUACCCUGCGGAUUUUUAGCAUGAACAACCAAGAACUAACAUCAAAGGGAUAAAAUAAACUACCCUAUAUCUUGAGAUAAACUACCCAGAAGUUAUUCAGAAAAAUGAAUAUCUCAAUCCAAUCGAACCACAAAAACACGUAUGUUCAGCAAGUUACAAGCAAUUAACAAGAGAGUUGCAACAAAUAAAACCACGGGAGACCCAUCUUAAGGAUGCAACACAAGAACAAAAGCAGCAAAAAUUUUGGCAAUUUGGACAAAUAAUCAUCCUCUCCGAAUGGUCUAAAUGCUUGCUGCCAUAGUACAUCAGAAAGUUCACCUCCAAAUUCCAACCAAAAUUUACCCUCAUACGAGUCUCCUCUCAAUCAAUUUCAUAUUACUAAUUUGCUUUCAUACCAAAGGAACAUCACGCAAAAGGGAAACAGAACAGAUGCUAAACAAACGGAUGCCAAACAAAACCAUCCGAAUCUUUCAACAAGAACUCUCAUCUCUUUCAUGAAAAUGAACUACUUUGACAAACGUGGACUGGCCGAAUGUUAUGCAAAAACGGAAAUCAAUUUGUCUUUUGAAGUUGUACUCUCAGUUGAUCAUUUUGUCAAACAGGUUGGGGCAUAAAGAAUUUCUACAAUUCUUUGUUCAAUUAAAGCUAGAAGUGGCCCCCAAAAAUUGUCCGAAACAAAAAUUCAGUCCAAUCAACCCCAUAAAACAUAUACGGCCAAACAAUUAUGAAUAAUCACUGGAAAAUUGCAAGAAAACUGAUUCACCAGAGAAUAAUUUUAAGGUUGGAAUUACCAUACUCCUUCUGGGUGAAUGUUCGCCGGUGAUGGUGGAAAUUUUCGGAGCUGACAGCAAAUUGCAACUCCUCCGCUCGGCUUUUCCUUUUUCUUGCCCAAAAGCUUUUCCCUCUGUUUAUUUGUGUUGCUCAAGUGUUCCGUUGCUUUAACUCAGACCAAGUGUUCCGUUGCUUUUGUUUUCAGAAUGUGUUCCGCUGCUUUGGUCUUUGCUUUGCUUUGGAUAUUGUUUUUGUUGCGCGGCACUUUCACUAUGAUUUGAUCAAAAUUUUGACUUCACUCAUUUUCCCUCCAUUUGAUACAAAAAAUCAUGUUUUUUUUCUGGAUUUGUAAUAUGGUUUGAACCAUAGAUUUUAAUGCUAUAGUAUUAUUCUUUAUUUUUUAGCAAAAAAUAAAAAUUUUCAUCAACAUAGGUGGCAAAAUUUGUUAAUUUCAUAUAAUUGAAAAUGUACUUUUAUAAUUUGCUAAUAUUUUACACUAAUUUCUUAUAAUUGCAGCACUAAAGAACAUUAUGUAAUUGAAAAUAAUUAAACUCAAAUUAUAUGGUUAUAACAUAGUUUCAAUAAAAAUAAUCAUUUUCCUAACAUUUGAGACCAAUCAUCAUGCUUUUUUUUUAUUUUUAAUUUGGUUUGAAGCAUAGAUUAAACACAGACUUUCAUUAAAAAUAAUCAAACGCUAUUAAUAAGACAUUAUUGUUAAGUCAAAAUCAAAGAAAAUUUAGUGAUGACAUAAUGUUAUCACUAAUUUAUUGAAGAUUAUAAUGACAAGAAAAGUAGUCACUAAUUAAAUUGCUAGUUUUUAAUAUUGUCAAUUGCUAGUUUUUAAUACUUUUGUGAAAAUAUUGAUAAUGGUUGAGAAAAUUUUGUUACAUUACUGCAAGUGAUAAAUGUACUUUUGUUCUUUUUCAAACAUUUAUUUUAAUGUUUAAUUUUGUUUAAAACUAUUGUACUAGUAUAGAUUUACAAGACAAAACUUAAGUUCUCAAUAGUUAAAAAAUUCAUUACAGAGAAAACACAAGUAGUAGUUGCAAAAUGUGUAUAAAUUACAGAUAUUUUAAUGUGUAUAAAUUACAGUUUAUUUUAAUGUUUAAUUUUGUUUGAAACUAUUUUACUAGUAUAGAUUUGCAAGACAUCGAUUUAUGGGUAAUUUCCUUUUUUUUUGCUUUCACAUAUUUAAUUUAUGUUAAAUACAAAACCUACCAGUUUCCCUUUCAUAAAAAUAUUAGUGCAACAUUUUUUGAAUUUUACUUACAAACAUUUAUGUAUUUAAUAUAAAUUAAAUGAUUCAGAGUGAAAUGCCCAUAAAGAGUAGAAUAUUUGUUCAUGUAAUGGAGGAAACCCACAAAGAGUUGGUACUUUAUGGGGUAUUUCUUUUUUUAAAAAAAUUUAAUUUAUGUUGAAAAGAUAACCUGCCAGUUUUCGUUUUGUAAGAAAUCAGUGUAACACUUUUUGAAUUUUACUUACAAACAUUUAUAAAUUUAUCAUAAAUUAUAUGUUUGAGAGUAAAAUGCCCAUAAAAAGUUGGUACUUUGAAUAGAUAAUGCUCAUUUGCCCAUAAACUACACUCCCUGAAGGCUAUUUUGUUAAUUACUUUGUAGUACUUUGUUAUUCCUUUGUUAAUACUACUUGGCAUGUAGUACAAAGGAUAAAUCUAGCAUAAAUUUCUUAUUCCAUUGAUAAAAAGACCUACCUGCCUUAUAACUAUUGUAAUGAAAGAUAUAUCUUUAGAGUUUAUAACAAAUUAUUACUUAAGUUUGAGAAAAUUAUAAAAUAUUUAUGUUUAUCAAGAUACCAUUCGCAAUUUCCUAAUAAAAAAAUAGGGGCUAAAUUGUAAAAGCUAGGGUGCCAUAAUAGAAAUAAUAAAAUUGGUGUAUUACAUAUGGGGGUUAAAUUGCAAAAGUUAGAGUGCCAUAGUAGAAUUAAUGAAAUUGGUGAAUUACAUAUGGGGCUAAAUUACAAAAGUUAGGGAGUAAUAAUAGAAUUAAAGAAAUCGGUGUACUACAUCUGAGGCUAAAUUGUAAAAGUUAAGGUAUCAUAAUGGAAUUAAUGGAAUUUUUUACAACAUUUGGGGCUAAAUCGCAAAAGUUAGGGUGGCACAGUAGAAUUAAUGAAAGUGACUUAGAAAUAAGUACUUUAAACAGUGACGAUUAAUUAUUGUCACUAAAUCCGAAUCGAUAGAGUGACAGUGACGACAUUAGAAGUUGUCACUAUAUAAAUCAUUUUAGUGACAACGUUUUUCAAGGUCGUCACUGAAAACUUAGUUGUUUUGAGCAAUUAUGACAACUUUCCUUGUCGUCACUAAACAACCACGUUUUGUGACGACUUUUGUCGUCACUAGAAAAUGUUGUCACUAAUGACCAUAUUUCUUGCAAUGUAGUUUGUGACGAAAAUAACGGGUCGUCACUAAACAUUUAGUUGCUUUGAUGCAAUUGUGACAACUUUAGGAGUCACGACUAAAGAAACUCCUUUUGUGACGACUUAUUGUCAUCACUACAAAAUGUUGUCACUAAUAACUUUUUUUUUAGUGAUCAGUGACGACAACAAAAAGUCGUCCAUAAAUAGGCCAAACAAUAGUGAUGAUGUUCUUAAUGUCGUCACUAUUGUGUGUUCUAAUACUCCCGCGCUCUUGCUAAAUCUUGGCGGGAAUUUACUAGUGACGACUUUUCUAAAUUGUCACAAAUGAGUUGACUCCCAUUAGAGAUUUGUGACGAGUUAGAAAGUCGUCAAUAAAGGAUCCCCUUUUGUGACAACUUUUUUUCGUCACAGAGAAAAGUUGUCACUGAUGACCAAUUUUCUUGUAGUGUGGGAUAAUGGAGAACCUUGAAAACAUGAAACACAUCUCCCUAAAAAAAAAUGAAAUACAUUCGAUAAGGUUCUGGAAAAGGAUUAACUCCACUCUGCAUUUUCAAACUUGUACCACUUUAACAAGGUUCCAAACAUAUACUCAGUAGAUAAAUUAAUGUUGACUUUUGAUGUUUCUGCAUAUAAAUGGUUUAAAUGAAAUAGGAUUGCAUUUGCAAGAGUUAGGUAGAGCACAAAAACUUUUAAAAGAGAAUUAAACCUCAAUGGGUGGCCACCUAUCAUAUUAGGUUAGUGUAGAAUGGUGUGGUAUACACGGCAGAUAUAUCAGUCAAAAUUCAUAGUUAAGAAUUUCUUUUAGUGAUGGUUAUCUAGGAGGGUGCCAGCGGCCAAACGGGGCCCAGGGGGAGGAAGAACCUUUUCCCCCAUUAGAAAACGGGGUAGCCGGAGAGGGAGUUUACACCCACCCCAUCCCCUGCCCCAUCACCCGUUGAGAAAAAUUAAAUAUAUAUGUAUAUAAUUAUAUAUGUGAUAUUUAAUUUAAUUAGUUACAAAUUUAUAAUAAUGAUAUUAUUAGUUAUAAGUAUUAUAUAAUUUAUAUUAGUAUUUGUAAUAUUAUUGAUAUUAUCAAAUGCUAAUAAUUAUACAUGUCUACUAAUAAAAAUUAUUAAUUAGUUGUAUCAAAUUUACUAAUACAUUUAUACUAAAUUCCUAAUUACACUUAACACAAUAACACUUCUUUUCUCAAAAAAUCACACAACAAUGAUUUAGUGGUUGUAUUUGUAUCCAAAGUGAAAACUUGACUACUUUAGUUGUGUUUGUUUCAUCAUAUUGGGCUGUAUUUAAAUAAAUCUUGUUUGAUUGUUUUUAUGACACACAAUUGUGAAAUUACAAUGAAUAAUGAUUUGGUGAUGUGUUGGCAUUUAAGUAUUUGAUCCUUUGUUCAAAUAUGACUACAAUGAAAUUGUAUGACAAAUUUUUAUUCGCCCUGUGGGUGCGCCCAUAGGGGAAGCGGGGCAAGGCGGGGACGGGGUUGGGGAGGAGUCCCCUGUCUAACCCCCACCCCAUUGUCAUUCCUAAUUUCUUUUGCUAUAUAGUGUAAUAAUGGAAACCUUGAAAACUUGAAACACAUUUACCAAAAAAAAAAAUGAAAUACAUUUAACAGGGUUCCGAAAAAUGACUAACUCCACUUUGCACCUUCCAAUUUGUACCGGUUUAACAAUGUUCCAAACUUAUACUCAGAAGAAAAAUCAAACUUGACUGUUGAUUUUUCUGCAUAUGAAUGGUUUAAAUGAAAUAAGAUUACAUUUCAAAGAGUUUGGUAGAGCAUAAAAAAGUUUUAAAAGAGAGUUAAACCUCAAUGGGUGGCCACCUAUCAAAGUAGGUUUGUGUAGAAUGGUGUGGUAUGCAUAGCAGAUAUGUCAUUCAAAGUUCAGAGUCAAGAAUUUCUUUUGCUAAAUAUAUAAUGAGAUAUUGAAAAACCUUGAAAUCUUGAAACACUUUUACCUAAAGAACAAAUUACAAAACAAUGAAACACAUUUCACAAGGUUCUCGAAAAGAAUUAACUCCGCUUUGCACCUUCGAACUUCUACCACCUUAAUAAGGUUCCGAACUUACAUUGAGUAGCUAAAUCAAUCUUGACUUUUGAUUUUCCUGCAUAUAAAUGGUUGAAAUGAAAUAUGAUUACAUUUCUAAGAGUUAGGUAGAGCGUAAAAAGUUUAAAGAGAGAGUUCAAUAUAAAUGGGUAGCCACCUAUGAAAAUUGGUUUGUAUAGAGUGGUAUACUCAGCAGAUGUAUCAUUCAAAGUUGAUAGUCAAGAAUUUCUUCUGUUGUAUUGUGGGAUAAUGGAAAACCUUAAAAACUUGAAACAAAAUUACCUGAAAAAAAAAACAAGGAAACACAUUUAAUAAGGUUCUAGAAAAGGAUUAACUUGACUUUGCAUCUUUGAACUUAUCCCACUUUUUCAUUUUGUACCCCAAAUUUUAAUUUUGAACACUUUGCACCCUAACCUUUAAUUUCACCUUUUAGUCUGGGGCCAUUCAUGUCUGCAAAUUGCAUAAGAGCCACUCAUUUUCUUGUUAGUUACGUGUUGUAAUAGGCUUUUAGCAUCCUCUCAUUAAAAAAUUAAUUUAAAAAAAUGUCCAAGUAUAGGUUUCAAUUUUGUAGUUGAAAUUGAAAAUGUUCACGAAUGUUUAGCUAUUUACACGCCAUAUAGGCUUCCAACCUCCUAACCCUAAAAUUUAGGGGGUUUGGGGGGAAGGGGAGGGUUGGAUGAAGAACAGAGAUUGAAAUAAUAAAUCUUUUGUAGCCUUCAUUAAGACAUUGAUCGAACAAGAGAAUGUCUGAAGACAAAUUAGAAUGAAACAAAUAUCUUAAUUGCACUAGAGAAGUGCACUUGAAUAUAGUUCUCGAGAAUGUAAUUUCCGUUGAUUUCUAUGUAGCUGGUUGUUGUAAAAUUUGUCUGAAGAGACAAUCGAAUACCCCCAAAACUCGCGGAAUUCCUAACAGUUCACAUAUCUUUUGGAGUCGAAUUACAAGUUCACGUAUGUUUCUCCCCUAUUUAGCGGUAAAAAUAAAAAAAUAAUAAAAAAAAACUCAAACGUUGACUUUCCUGGUAAUAUGUUUUUGCUCCGUCCAAUCCACAUAUGUUUAUAUACGAUUCAGCAGUAAAAUUGAAGAAAAGCUCAAAAGUUGACUUUCCCGUUUUAUAAGGAAUUGACUAACCAUUUUGUGGCCAAACCAUUAUCCAUCUUGCCCAUCUAAAUGGUGAAUUGCACUUUAAGCUUAAUGCUCAAUAAAACAGAAGUUCUUAACCAUGUUAAGAAAAAAUAGAUGGAAAAGUCUUUUGUCACCUUUUAUUAGUUGUGGUAGUUAUAUCGGAGAAGGAUUACCAUUUGUUAAACUGAGUAAAAGAUUAUUUUUCAUAAAGCAAGUUGGAUGUACAUCAUAUGUAAAGCAAAAGUUAUGAAAAAUAAAGACUACCUUACAAUUAGACUUGGUGUACAAUUAUCAGUUCAAGCGAAUUCCACAAUUAGGUGAAGAUUUUAUCUAAGUUUCAAUACACAUCUUUAUUAGUAAACGCACAUAUCUUAUUUUAACACAUUCACAAGCUUACGUAAUUGAAGAACACCAAUAAUGUAAUUCACAAGUUGACGCAAUGCGAAACUAAGUGUAAUUGAAGAACACCAAUAAUGUUUUUAUUUAGAUGGACAUAUUGACGAAACAAGAAGUGCAUGAAGAAACGUCAUACAUUGAUUACCAUGUACAUAUAAGUCCAGAAUAACGAUAACAAUCUAUACUUGGUUUUCUUAACUAUUAUUUUUCUUUUAUUAGUUAUUUUUUCCCAUCCUCCUUGAUGGAUGUCUUAGUAAGAUAGUCAAGUGAACAAGUAGUUCAUAAGAAACAUAUAUCACCAAGUACGUAUAUGGUCUGUAAUUGGCUUUCCUUAUUAUUUAUUUUUCCUUUAUUAUUUAAACUUUCCCUCCUCCUGGGCAUGGGAUUACGGUAAUAUCUACUCUUAUAACCGUAUCAUUCAGUGCCGGCCUUUGUAGAACUGUCUGAAAAAAUCCAUAUCCCCGAGCAAACCUAAACGUUUUGGUGCCACCAACUAUUGGAACUUCGCUAGCCAUACCACCUACUUGCAAGUUAUAUCCUGGUCUUUGGAAUUCCAAUGUGCUACCGUUGUAUUGGAAGUUGGAGAAAAGGAGGGAAAAUAUGCCCUGUGAGCCUAUGUUUUCAGAACCGAACCGGGUAUCGACUUGGUCAAACUCAGGGGUCAGGGGUCAAUGGGUUCAACCGGGUUCGAUAGGGGUUGAACCGGAUGACGUCAUAAAUAAAAAUUAUUCAAAAAUUAAAAUAUUAUAUGUAAAAUACCUAAUAACAUGUUAAUAUUAAUAAAGGUAUAUUCAUAUAUAUUUGAUGUUUUAAAUAUUUUUAACAAGAAAAUACAAAUAAAUUAGAACAAUCAAGUAACAAUUUAUAUUAUUUAAUGAGUAUUAACAAGUUUAGAAUUAAAAUUAUGAAUUUAAUUAAAAAAUAAUACCAAACUUUAAGAAAAUAUUGAUAAAGUAUGAAAUAUUUGAGGUAUAUUAAUAAUUUUUAACAAUUUAGGGAUCAAAACAUAAUAUUGAAAACGGUUGAGUUUUUUUUUAAAAAAACUGUUUGAACCGAAAAAUCUGGUUUUUUCCGGUCAAGCCCGAUUUUUGACCGGAUUUGACCGGGUUUUAACUUGCCCGGUUUUUAAACAUGACUCGGACCGGAUACUUGGCCGGUUCCCGGUUUGACCGGUCAAACCGGCCGGUCCGGUCCGAGUUCAAAAACACAGCAGUGAGCUUGAUCCAUCACAGGAUGAAGCUAUAUAAAUGCCUUGGGCCUGAGCAAUAGUCUGUGAUGGUAUCGAACAGGAACCCGAACAAUGGAAUCGUUUAUAGUUGAAUUAACUAGAUAACUUGCUUCGGAAUUUAACAAUAAGCAAUAAUAAUAAUGAAAGCUGAUAAGAAUUCAGCUUAAUGGUGUUUUAUAUUGAUCAGAAUAAGAAAAUUACAGAAUUGCCGGGAAAAAGAAAAGGAGAUGAACAAGAAUGAAGGAAAUCAGAAAAGGACAAUGCUCAGGGAAUGAUCCCUAACAAUGGCUAACAAAUUCCUCUUUUCCAUCUCUGAUCCUGACUAUAUAUAGCUAACUAAUAACUAAUUCCCUCGGCUCUAUCAAUCUAGCUUGGCCACGUGGCUUCUGUUAACAGAAUCUGUCGUAGUUUCACUUGUUGCUGAGCUCACAUUUCUUGAGCAAUUUCCUAGUGAAGGCGUGGUUCUGGUUCCACGUCUUCACUUGCAUCAUUCAUAUCUUUCAUGUGAGGACCCGAAAAUUUUUUUAUUUUAUCUUAUUUUAUUGGCUUAUUUAAUUAUUUAUUCACGUGUUUUCUCCGAAUAAUUUAUUUCAACCAUUUUAAAUCCAUUUACAUCGAGCAAUGUCUCACUUAUAUUUUUAAAAUGUCCUGUUAGCAAAUUUAAUUUUUCGGAGGCUCGUUUAGUGAGAAAUAGCGAGUACGCGUUUUCGAGGCAAUAUUUGAUCCGAGAGUGUAAUAAUCCUGGAGAAUUAAGAAUGAUCAAUAGUAGACUAAGAAAAGUUAAUUGAGAGAUUAAAGGUGAGUGAGUUCAAAUUUUCACUUUAUCGCGCGCGAGUAGGAAGUUCGCGUAUUUCGCGUCAAAACGGCUAAGUAGAGAUUUGAGAAAUUUACACUAGACUACUAAGAGUGAAUAAUUAUAGUGUUAAAGGAAUUGCAUUUGAAGAUUAGUGUACACGUGAAACAAACAAGAGAGAAAAGUGGUAGUUCGGGACACUAUUCACGCACUAUUCGUAGUUGACUUUUGCAUAGCUUUUGGCUACAAAUUCUUCAAGCUUCCAAGGGAAGAUUCACACAACACAAACCCUUCUCUCCCUCACUUCUCUCUCUCGGCCGAAAAGAAAAGGAAAAAGAAGAGAAGAAAGCUUCUUCAUCUUGCACCAUUUUUGCUUCCAAUUCCCUCACGAAUCACCAUCCAACUUCCAUACUUCUUGAAGAUCCAUCUUAACUUGAAGGAAGACAUCAUUUAGUGGAGUUUCUUGGAGGUUUUGUGGUGAAAAACUUCUGGUCUCAUCAAAGGUUAAGAGGUAACCCUUCACCUUCCUCAAAUCUUUCAAUUUUCUUCAAGAAUCAAGCUUAGAUUGCAUGGGUUUGAAACCCUAAGCUUGAAAUAGGCUAGCGGACUUGAGGUGUCUCAUUUCUUAUUUUAAUCAUUUAAUCACUAGGCUAGAGGUCUUGAGGUGGAUUAUAGGUAACUGGCUUGAGGUGUAAUUAGUUGAUUGUGGUUGUUUAUGUGUUAUUUGAGAUGAAUACGGUUAGAAAAUGAAGGAAACAUCGAGGACAAGCUAUGCAUAGAGCUGGCCGAAAUUCUGUCCAUUGUUGCUCUGUUUUAAUUAGAAUUUUUGGUGCUUGUAUGGCUGUGAAAUUGAGUGAUAUAUGUUUUAUAUUAUGCGUACAAAGUGUCUACCAAAAAUUGUUUCAAUUGGUUGCUCAAAACUAGAGUUUUCGAAAUUGAAAGAAAUCUGGAAAUGGUAAUCUGGGCAGCCGAACAAUACCUCUUUGUUCGAACGUAUCUCUCUGUACAAGAGUCAAAAUUGAGUGCUAUUAGUGGCAUUCAAAACUAGACACUCAUAGCUUUCCAACGGUAAAAAAAUCACCCGCUAGUUCAUUUUGAGUCAUCCGUAGUGUUUCGGCAAAGUUUGUUGUUCUGUUAUGACUAGUUGUCCGAGAGGAAUGGAGAAGCUGCAUCUUGUGGCUCAAAUUUCUCUCACUUGUGAACUGAUUUUGAAAAUUAUUUAUUCCAAUGAAAUCAUUUUGAAUCUAGUUUCCAACACCACCAACCAUUCCCAAUUUGAACUUGUAUUGAGUGAGAUGUGGUCUGAUUUUGAAGUGCAACAAAGCUGGAAAACUGGAAAGUUUUUCCGUUCUUGCUGGCCGAAUGGUCAGAGUUGUUUUGGGAUGUUUUGUCUCAAAAAUUUUGAUGUCAAUUGCUUGUCAAUUGUUUAUUAAAUGUUUCUAGAACCUUGGUUUCAAAAGUGUAUCGAAUUGGGGCUGAUUUCAUUAUGCAAAACAUUUGGAAAUGAAAGAAAGGCAAGAGGGCAGAUUAGCCUUGAAACAUUUUUCGAAGUUUGGUUGUUUUGUUAACUGCCUUCCCACAUGAGUUUUUGAGUGAAAUUUGAUAGAGAGGUAGUCCACAUAUGGAAGUUUAAGUGUACCAAAUUUAGUGAAAUUCAAUACCAUUUCGAUAUCCAAAUAAUGCCCCAAAAUUGGCUCUUCAAAUCUGAAAAAUUUCUGAAUAGUGUACAAAAGUCAGCCAACUUUAAGCUACUAUAUCUUGACACUCAAAACUCCGAAGUAGUUCCAUUUGUCGCGUUCGAAACCUUGUUUGGAACUCUUAUUGUGUUACGAAUUUCAAGGGCUGAUUCAUUUUCUGUGAAUUACGCCGAAUUUCCAAAGAUGACUGCAAAACCAAGACUGGUUCAAACCUGUCCUAUUGGAACUGAAACUUUGAGUUGAAAAAUGAGUGCUUUUCAUUUAGAAUCUUGGAAAAGUGUUUUCUAGAAACUUUUAGACUCUGAACCUAGUUUCCAAUGGUGUAGAGUUUCCAAUUUUGGACAUGUCAAACUCAAGAUUUGAUUUUUUUCAAAUUUGUCACUUAAAGCUGAAAUUUUCCGAUUUCUUAUGAAAUGAGCUUUUGAGGACUCAUCACCUUAUCUUGAUAUUGAUAAACCAUUUUAAAACCUGAUUUCAUGGAAAAGGCAAGUCUCUCUUGGGACUUUGACUCCUCACUUUUGAAUCUCUAAUUUCGAGUGAUUAAAAUUCUCUUUCAUGACAUUGUUUUAGUAUUGCAAGUGUACAUUCUUCCUUGUUAGCAAGGGUUUGUAAGUAAUAGUGAGUGAUAGUCAAUUAUUAUUUGCUCAGGCGCUCAAGGUGAUCUUCAAGAGAAUCUCGAAGCGAAGGCCUGAAGAUUUACUUGCUCAAUUACUCACUUUUGACUUGGUGAGUGUCAAGUGUAUGAAGUGUUGUUACGUGCUUAAUUGUUCUCGUUAAUUGAGUAAUUUGAAAGUGUUGAAUCAAGUGUAUACUUUAUCGCACUCGUUCUCUCCUAAGUGAAUUAUAUAGAAUUGUAUGAAGUGAAUUGCUAAGUGAAUUAAGUGAAGUAUUGCAAUAGUGAAUUAUGCUAUGGUUGCAUAUGUUGAUUGGAGUAAAUCUCCUCGACUUAUAUUUUUAAUAGUGGGGGAUGCCCAAACUCAUCGGCCGACCUUGCGACUCGAGCCGGCAUAGGCUUGGUCGUGAAGUUUGGUGAGACAUGAGAAAAAUUUUAUAAGUUUGAUCUAUUAGAGAGAUCUUAUUUGGCAUACUUGAGUAGUAUCAUCUUAUAUAAAAAAAAAAGUGUGGGCCCGGAGCAGGGGGUGUUACGGUGAACGGGGAAAAGUAAGUGAAGUUCUACAGACGUAAUACCCACCCGGUUGACGGAGUGUCAUCGCGGGGAAGUAUUUGACUAAGCCUUGACGAAACAAGUGGAAUAUAACUCCUGAAAGCUCCCGUAUCCUUAUCAAGUGUGUUAUAUUGUUAAGUGUAAACUACUUGAAUGUUAUAGUUUUUAUUCUCGUAUAAGUGUUAUUGUUAUUUGAACUAUGUGUUUUGUAUGUUUUCUUAGCCUUACGAGCAUUCGCUCACCCCAUUAGAUUUGUUUUCCUUAACAGGAGUCGGAAUGGAAGGAAUUAUGGAGAAGCCGACUUGAUGCACUUUUGAUUAGGGUUUUGAAUGUAAUUGAUUAAAUGACUUUUGAAAGUUGUAUAUUUUGGGGAAAGUGAUGUACUUGGUAUCUUGAAGUGUAAGAAUUGAAUACUUAUUAAGGAAGCGACUUUUCGUUAUACCUUCAACUUUUAUUAUUCGGUUAUUUAUCCUUAAGUUUGAAUUGAAAUUAUAUCGAGUCCUGGCGAGAGUUGGGCAGGCGUCCCGCCGAUACCCUUGGAUUCGCCCUUGAGAGAAGUAGGGGCAUCACAGUUAGUAUCAGAACUUAGGGUUCAGAUCUUUGUAGUGUAUCUUAAGCUAAAAGUUUAGGAUACCGGACCGUGGGAUUCACUUGAACAUUAACCUAUUGUAUUCCAGUGGUUAAAGAGAAUUGGUACUCGAGAGUUUCUUAAACGGCAUUGGUGGAAAAGAGACUAGGUUUAGAGAUCUAUUUGGAAGAUAUAUUAGAGACUUUACUCUUGAGAUUAGGAAUGAGAUAACUUAGUUAUACCUUAAAUAUUAUUUGAGCGAGUUAGUAACUUUAAGUUUCUAACCCGAAAAUUGUGGUUGUUUUGCAGGGAAGAAGAAUGGUAAUGGGGAACAUGUUGCUAAUGGUAAUGGUCAUGCUAAUGGUCACGUGAAGUCUCUUAGGCCUAUUUACUAUCGAGCUCUUGGUGGAGGAGCUCGUGUGUGUUACUCGCCUUUUACGAGAUUUCCCAAUGUCCCUGUAGGGCGACAUAUGCGUACCCUAAUAACCUAGUACUACCCCUUGACGACGAGCGUCGUCAGUUGGUGAAUACCAACCGAGCUUUACUCCAAGAGGUUGAGGAGCUGAGCCUUAUGGUGAACGCUCAGGGUGAUAGGAUUGCAGAGCUAGAGGGGACGAUAGUGGACGAGAUGGUUAGGGCUGAGGCCGCUCGUGAUGAGCUUCAGAGGGUUAGAGCUCGACUCACUAGAAUAGGCGAGGAGGUCCGGGAUCGGGUUUCUGAGAUCUUGGCAGACACUACUAUGUUGAUUGAUGAGGUGAUGGAUGUUGUGCAGAGUCCGGUUCAAGAGGGCACUGAGGAGAAGCCUUUCGAGGAGGAUCAGGAGGAGGACCCUCAGGAGGAGGUUCCACCUGAUAGUCCUGCAGAGUAUUAGAUUAGGAGUAAUGACUCUCUUUUGAUUUUUGUAGUUAGAAAUAGUUGGAGUGAUACUAGUUCAAAUGCCAUUGUAUUUUGAUUAACUGUAUGGCCUACUUUUGUGACACUUGAACUAACUUUUGUCGUGCCUGACUAAAUGUACUUUUAUGGCACCUAUAUGCCAUAUUUUUGUAAAGGCCCCAUGACUUGCUAAUUGUACGAAUCUUGAAUUGUUAAUAUAUGCUGGUUAAUGUUAUUUCCAAGGUUUUUCAUAUUGGUUUUUAUUUUAAUCAUCUUCUGGCAUAAUUAUUUUAUUUCUUGCAUUUAGGCAUAACUAAAAUCAUGGAUGGACAAAGGAGUGGUAGAGGUCGGGGGCGUGGGGUUAGGCAAGCUCAACCUCUAGGGGAUGAUCAAGGAUCGGCAACUUGGCCGACCCAAGGACAAGGACAUGUAGACGGUGACCAGGUGGCUACUGUCAUCAACCGCAUGACGGAUAUUUUAGAGCGAAUAGAAGAGCGAGAAGAUCAAGGACCUAUUAAUCAACCUGGGGCUCAAAAUAGAGAGUAUGAUAGGGCUUUGGAAAGAUUUUUGAAAUUUGCUCUGCUUAAGUUUAUCGGAGGACCCGACCCUAAGUUAGCGGAGAACUGAUUGGAGAGAAUGACUAAUAUAUUUGCCGCCCUAGACUAUACUGAAGAGAGACGAGUGAACUUUACUGCCUUUCAAUUUGAGGGUAUAGCACGUGCUUGGUGGGCGUGAUAAGGGAAAAAUGGGAAAGAACGCAGACUCCUUGGAUUUGGGAAAAGUUUACCCGAGAGUUUAAUGAGAAAUUUCUCCCACCCUUGAUUCAAGAAAAAAGGGAGGAUGAAUUUAUAAAAAUGAGACUGGGGACUUCUAGCGUGGCUGAAUAUGAAGAAAAAUUUACUAAACUUUCUAAGUACGCUCCAGAAUUGGUGACUAAUGAGCGAAAAAGAAUAAGACGUCUUGUGCAAGAACUUAAUGUGGCGAUUCAGGAGGGAUUGACGGCAGCCCAAAUCUCUACUUUCACUGAAGUCUUAGAGAAAUCACAGAGAGUCGAAAGUGCAAGGCUGCAAGUUAGGAAUUCCCAUGAUAAGAAAAGGAACACUCCUAGUUACUCCUCUGGUCAAGCAAGUAAAAGUACACCACCUUCUAAAAAGAAAAAAGGAACAGAAAGAGUAGAGAUAUCCAGUACACCAAAAGGGACUCAACCAAGAGGAGGCCACAAUGGGCAAGGUCAAGUAAGCUAAACGCCUUCUGGUGGUCAGGCCGUGACUCCUCAAGUUAGUUGUGGCUACUGUGGCAAGUCCAAUCAUGUGGAAAAUGAUUGUUGGAGGGAAUCGAGAAAGUGCUUGUACUGUAGUAGUGCCGAGCAUCAGCUCGCAAGUUGUCCAAGAGUGCCGAAGGUAGGAGGUAGUACUCAAAGGCCAGAAAAGUCGGUACUAAACAAACUAGUGUUGGAGGAAUUCGAUCUAAAGUGACGGCUAGAGUUUAUGCAUUAGACCAUCAACAGGUUUCUAAUUCCACUAAGGUCUUUGAAGGUAUGAUUCUUAUUUUUCAUUACUUACCUAAGGUUCUAAGUGACCCUGAUAUGACACAUUCUUUUACAAACUCUAGUUUUAUGAGCGGGAUAGACGUGAGAUCGAUUAAAUUACGCUAUGACUUGGAAGUUAAAAUGCCUAUUGGGGAAUUAAAAUUUGGUUGCUAACUUGUUAUAUAGAAAUUGUGAGAUAUAAGUUGGAGAGUGUAAGUUAUUGAUUGAUCUUAUAAGCAUAACUAUUAAGGGGUAUGAUGUUAUCCUAGAUGUUAAUUUUGGGAACGAAAUUAUUUUUAAGGAUGGAAGGAUAAGAGAACCCGAAAAUUUUCUUAUUUUAUCUUAUUUUAUUGGAUUAUUUAAUUAUUUAUUCACCUUUUUUUUUGAAUAAUUUAUUUCAACCAUUUUAAAUCCAUUUACGUGGAACAAUGUCUCACUUAUAUUUUUAAAAUGUCAUGUUAGCAAAUUUAAUUUUUCGUAGGUUCGUUUAGCGAGAAAUAGCGAGUACGCGUUUUCGAGACAAUAUUCGAUCCGAGAGUGCAAUAAUUCUGGAGAAUUAAGAAUGAGCAAUAGUAGACUAAUAAAAGUUAAUUGAGAGAUUAAAGGUAAGUGAGUUCAAAUUUUCGUUUUAUCGCACGCAAGUCGGAAGUUCGCGUAUUUCGUGUCAAAACGGCUAAGUGGAGAUUUGAGAAAUUUAUACUAGACUACUAAGAGUGAAUAAUUAUAUUGUUGAAGGAAUUGCAUUUAAAGAUUAGUGUGCAUGUGAAACAAACAAGAGAGAAAAGUGGUAGUUCCGGACACUAUUCGCACACUAUUCGUAGUUGACUUUUGCAUAGCUUUUGGCCACAAAUUCUUUUAGAAAUUGGAGUCAUGUGCUCGAUUUUUAGAAAAUUGCUGCAAUUUUUGCACUAAAAGUGCAGAGCAUACCCACUAAAACACGGACUAGCCUCGCAUUUUAUGGUUACGUUUUAUUGAAUUUUCAAGAAAAUUUGAAGACAAUGCGGGCAAAAAGGCCACCUCACCCGCGUUUUGCCCGCGUUUUUAGCUUGGAUCAAAAAAUUGAAAACGCAAGCUAUGAAAUGCGACUAUGGCCCGUUUCCUUUACCUGCGUUUUAGAAUCUGCAAUAUCCAACCAGAAAACGUGACCCCAGAAACAUGACUAGGGUCGCAUUUUCGUCUUCCUCUUUUAAACACAAAAAACGUAGGCUAUAUUUUCUCUUCUUCUUCCUACCUCUCACCCGUUUUUUCUUACUCGUUUACACGCACCUUCACAAAUUCUCUCUUUUACUCUAUUUCUUUGUAAACAUAUAUCAACCCAACUUCUUUUAACCUUCAUAAACCAUUUUUAACUGAUUAAAAUUUAAAAAAAAACCAAAAAGUCGAUUUUAAAGAAAUUGAAGGCUAGGGUUCUUGGUUCUAAAUUUCAUCAAUUGGAGGUCAAUUAGAAGGUGUUUUAUAGGAUUUUUUGAAUCAUUAGCAUCACCAAACAUCCUUCUACUUGAUUGAGAUAAAUUUCUUCAUCAAAUUUUCAUAUUUUAGAAGUUAAUAUUUUUCAAUUUCCUGAGUUUUCUGACAUUUUCUAAUUUUGAAUUUUUGAUGAUAUUUAUUGAUAUUUUUGGCCUCCAAAAAUGCUUAUUAAGGUUGAUUAAGCAUGUUUACAUUUUUAAAUGUAGCAAUUUGAUGGCUAAUUAGUUGUUAAAAUUUUAAAUUUGCUACAUUUUGAUAAAAUUUAAAAAGUAGUUUGGUUUGUUAUUUGAGCCCUUUUGAUUGAUGCUUGUGGCUAAAAAUGAUUGGUUGAUGAUGUUUUAGCAUCUGCGUUGUGUAUAGAGAGUAAUUUUAUUGAAUUUUGUAAUUUAUGGGGAUAAUUUUUGCUUAAUCAUGUUUAUCGCUAAAUAUGGAUUAUUAUUGCUAAUUAAGGAUUGUUAUAAACUUGAUUAUUGCUAAUUUCAUUAAUCAAAACAUAUUUGUUACCUAUUUUAAUAAAUUGGUAAUUUUGACAAUUUUUGGCAAAAUUUUGGCAAUUUUAAUGUCAUGUCUCUCAUGUUAUAUUAUUGGGCAUUGUUGAAUAUUUAAUUGAUUAUUUAUGACAUGGAGAUGUGUAUUUAUGGUUAUUUGUACCACUUUUAAUCCCUAAACAUGAAUGAUAAUUCAACAAAAUGCCUACGGUUAUCAUAAAGGGAACGAUUCUUCUUUUAGGUGUUUUAUAGAAUUUAAUUUUUGUAUAAUGUGUGAUUGUGUCAUACUUUAGAUAGGUGUAUGAGAAGUUUAACGAUUUUUUUUAUACACCAUGAUAAGAAGAGUAUGAGAAUCCGAAAAUUUUCUUAUUUUCUAAGCAUUUAUUUUAGUCUUUUGUGCCUAAAUUCUAUAUUUUCUUUCUUAUAUGAAUAUUUUGGAAAUUUUAUGAGAACAUAUGAUUUUUAAAAUAUUUUUUCCAUAUAAGUUAUUUUCUGCGUUAAUGGUGGUGUACAGUGGAUGUGGGACCCGCUAGUGCGAUAAGUGCGGUAACCAUGGUUAAUUGGGAGAAGUUGUAUACAGGGAUUAUAUUACAUGGUAUUGUGAGCUAAUUAGAAGUUAGCCUAGUUAAUUAAGUAUUGCAAGACAAAGAGUUGAGAUAAGCUUAAAAAGGCCACAUGUUGCAUUUUCAUUGGAUGGUGGACUUUUGACUAGUCUUUCUUCACCUUUACUAAAACAAUUUUGACCAAAAACCAUCUUCAUUUCUAAGCUUCUUGGCCGAGCAACUAGAGAGAAAAGAAGAGAGAAAGCUUCUUCAAAUUUCCUUCCAUUCUUGCUUGAAUCUUGCAAACCUACCAUUUAAAUUCCAAAUUCCUCCACAAAAGUGAGUUGAUAAACUAGUUUAAGGCUUUUAGUGGAGCCAUUUGUGAAGAACAAGCUCUAGUUAUCUUGCUUCUUGGAGUUGUAAAGGUGAGUUGUCUAGAUAUCUUCCUUCUCAUGAUAAUAAUGAUCAAUUAAGGGUUUCUAGUGGUGAAGCAUGUCAUUUUGUGGAUUAUUUCAUAAGUUAUGGUUGAGUUGUCUAAUUUUCCUAUUUAUUGAGGAUUUUUCUGUUUUAAUAUAUAAAUUAUUGUUUUCUCAUGGAUUGAUGGUUUGUUAUGGUGUGAAAUGGAGUUUAUAUAGGUUAGUUACGAUUGUUUGAGGAAAAUUUCGGUUUUGUACGGAAAUUUCAGCUUUAGGGUUCCAAACAGGCCUGUUCUGUCCGGAUUUAUUUGAGCAUGUUAGAGGCCAAAUCAGACUUAGAUUAAAACAUGAAAGUUGUAGCAAAUGGUGUUAACUAGUUGCCUGUAAAAUUUCAGCUCGAUCUGAGCUGUGUAGCCUGAGAAAAGACAAAAAUACCGUAGACUGCCAUAGGAAGAGUUCGCUGGACAGGGUGGGCAUUUCACCCCAAUCUGACCGUGACUUUUCACCCUGAUCCUUACCGAAUUAGAUUUUGGCCAAAACACGAAAGUUGCAGUGCUAGGUCUUAAUUUCCAGCGGCCCUGGAAACACAUCAAUUGGACUUCGGUAGCCUAAAUCAUGAUCGUUUAACCAUACUGCGGUUAGCUAACCUGUUUGUGCGAUACUGGUUUGGUACAUUGAAAUUUUGACCUAGCUACCCUACGAACUGGAUUGAGUGGUCUUCAUCAAAGUUGUAUCCUUUUAUCUUAGCUUCGAAACGGUGUAAAUUAUACCCCAAUCCGAUAAGUGUAGCUCCAGUUGUGACCAUUCCGCUAAGUAACGUCAAAACUGUCUUUUGCUUUUUAACUUAAAUUUCAUUUCCACACAUGUCCCUAGCUUGACUAUGCACUUAUACGUUCUAUUGGGCCUUAUUUUUGGUAGUGCGUGGAUUUGAUUUGACUCGUGUUCGAGUCUUAAUUGUGAUAUUCUUGUUGUAUAGGCCGUGCCGGUAAUCCGACGCCUACGCCUGGAGCUAACUUGUGAAUUUGCUUACUUACCUUGGUGAGUGUACCAUUAUAUGGUCUAAUAUUUAGAUGGUUAUUUAUACUUGUAUGUGUACUUGAAUGGCUUGAAUGAGACGAGAGUGUACUUUAUCGCUCCCGAUCUCUUAUCUGUAUUACUGUUAUUGUCAAAUGUGAAAUUGUACACAUGUGUGAUUUGACAUGGCUUGGGACUUUGCCCGACAACUUAACUGUGCUACCUGAGCUCAUACCCUAUUGGUCUUUAAUUGAGUCGAGCCGGCAAGGGCUUGGGUGAAUCGAUAACGGACCUUGGGUUCACUGCAGUUGAGUGGAGUGUUAACUCCUCGACCUUAUGGUAUACUCGAGUAUUACCCUCUCUGUUUCUGUGAGGUGUUCGGGCCCAAUAAGGGGGUGAUCGGUGGAAGGGAUACGGAGUAAAGUGGGGAUCUACGAGAUGUUCUUCUCUUUAAAGGUUGACGGAGUGUCAACGGGUUGGAGAUCAAGUGCGGCAAGUGGAAAGUGGCUCUUGAGAGCCAAUUGUAACCUUUUAUUGACUUGUUUUGUUUAUGAGUUUUGGGAUCACUAUGUGAUAAAAGGUGUUUACUGGUGUGUCUUGUUGGUACCUCACGAGCGUAAGCUCACCCUCGUUACUUUAUUUUUCUUACAGGGAUAUGAAUAAUUUUUGGGAGACUAUAUUGUUUUGGCGCAUGAGUUGAGCUAGUUUUCAUAUAGUUUGAAUAUAUUCUUUUGUAAAGCUCCUCAAUGGUUGGGAAAACCCUAAAUGUACUUUGAUCUAAAAAUCUUCCUUUUGAUUUGUAAAUUACAAACGUAUGUGUAUAACACUGUUAAACCCUGUUCAUGUAUCCUAUUUGGUUUGGAAAUGUUUCUCCGAGGUGUAUGGUGAUAUCUACAUUCGAUUGGAUUCUGGUUGGAUAGUGACGUGGCAGUCACUAUUCAUUUGCGAUUUCAAUUUUCAUUUCCCAUUUUGCGGUUUUAAAUCGCUUGAGCGUGCUAAUAUUUUCCAGAACAUUUUAGAUUAUAUAUGACCGUCUUAGUAGUCCUGGCGAAAGUUGGGCAGGCAGUCCGCUAACCCCUUUAGUACGCCCUAGGGGAAGGUGGGGCUGUCACAAAGAGAACGAGCUAUUAUUCGCGAAUCUUCUAGUGAAGAAGAAGUCGAGAGGAUACCAUCUCCAGUGCCCCAACAAAGGAGAUCGUGAAGAGACACAUCUAGGCGACCACCUCCUCCGAACUAUGAUGUCGAGUGCUUCAUUUCCAAAGAUAAUCAAGAUUGGUUCGAUUAGUGCGAGCACAUGGAGUUCAUAUAUGAAAUGCACAUAGCUCCAGACAUUGUGCCAUCUAUCGAAUUACGAAGGCUUUUGACCUAUUGGGAUGGGCGCCUAUUCUUACUCUUUCUCACCAUAUAUACCCAGAUUUGGUCCGAGAAUUCUAUGCUAAUAUUGACAACAAAAAGGGUGAAAAGAUUAGAUCUUUUGCUCAGGGAAGGCAGUUGACCAUUAAUAGAGCCAAAAUUGGUCGAAUUCUGGAGUGCAAUAAUCAAAGACCAGUCAUUGAUUUAAAGAAGGGAUUUAAAUCGCCAAAUAAGUAUUGGGACCCUUCACAUGCCAUGACAAGAUUUGAUCUACAAUACCAACUAUUUCGUUUAUCUAAGAAAGAGACUAUUCUCGCACGCGUGUUCAAUUAUCGACACCGUCUCAUUAUUUAUGUUAUAGCGCAUAAUGUGAUUCCUAAGAAAAGUCAACAAGGAGAGGUUUGACAUAGCAAUAUUUACUUCUUGGAUUACAUGUUCCAAAACUAGGAGUUUCCUUAUGCUCGCAUUCCACUUCUGAACAUAAUCAUUAGCAACAUAAGGACGGUCGUCCAAAGGAGUGCGACUUCCUAUCAAUUGGGGUUUUCAUGUCUCCUAUCCUUACUUUUCGAAAGGAAAGGCGUCAAUUUGGAGGGUAUCCCGCAAGCUCCGAUGCCAUCUAUGGACAAGUUAAAUGUUGCUAUUCUUUCUGACAUGGGCGUUCCGACAGAUAAUUUGUCUCGCCUAGGGAGAGAUAGAUCAAGACAAGUUGGUUACACUGAGUAAGGUGAAACAAUUCCCUCUACUUCUGCCGGACCAUCUACUUCCAUUCCACCACCGCCAUCUCUACCUCCACAACGUUCCAACUGGCAGUGACUCUUCGACAUUCUAGGGUGUCAUCAGACUCAAGUCGUUGAGCCACUUGAUCGAAUCAAUACUCGCCUAGAUUCCUAUGAUGUUAGGAUGCGUCGAAUGAAGGAUCAUUUAGGCAUCACUCCUCAACCUCACACUAGUCUUGGAGAUAGUGAUGAUGGUCAAGGAUCCGCUAGUGCAGAAGGCACUAGGCCGGCAUCUUGAGCUGCCAUUUUACGUUGCUUCUAUGAUCUUUUAGCUUUUCUUUUCUUUUCUUUUCUUAUAUAGGUGACCUUAACUUUUUUCUUUUGCAUUUGAUCUUUUCGACGGUGUUAGUAGAUAGUUGUAUCUUUUGGUAAAGGUUCGUGAAUCAUGGUUGAUCUGGAUCUCAGCCACUGCACUGGAGAGUACUUUUUUCUAUCUUUGUUGUUUUUCCUUUCCCACAUAUUAAGGACAAUGUGUAUUUUCAGUGUGGGGAAGGAAAUGGGUGGUACUUGUGAUAUUUGUGCUUCUAUUGACAUCAACUUGAUGAUGGAAUAUAAAUUGCACUUAAAUGUUGUAAAUCUUGGGUUUGCUGACAGGGAGUUCCGUCUAAUUUUAAGGGAAAAUUCUGCAAAAUUUUGUUCAAAAUCUUGUCCAAAUUUGCAAAUUUACCCCAAAAGGUUUAAAAAAUUUUUUGAUUAUAUCCAAGGGCAACAAGUUCCAUACCAUUAGUAACUCAAAUUUCUUCUCCUUUUGAGAUAAAUGUAUGUGAUUUAAAUACUUCUUUUCUCAUUUAAGUUGGAAAUGACUAUUAUGUGAUUAUAAUUUGUGUAUUUAUGGGAACGUACAACUUGCAAAGUGGAGAAAAUUAUACCUACAUUUUCCAAGUUUAGUGAAAUUUCUUCUCUUUACUUAAUUUUAUAAGUGAUACUUAUGGUCAAUAAUUGAAAUACUCUUCUCAUGAUUAUUUUUUUGAGGGAAUGUUAUUAUCUUUAUUUUGAAAAAAAUAAAAAAAAAGAAGAAAGAAAAAGAAAAAAUAAUAAGAGUUGUUCUACUCCAAUGGUUCUUAUACUUAGUAAUCGGGAGUUUUUAUUUACAAAUAUCGACUUUCCCGUAAAACGGUACUAGAAUCAAGAGUAUGUAAGGCAAUUUGAGUAUGUGAAGUAUUGAGUAACCGGCGAUUUCAUCUAAAAAUGUCGAUUUUCACAUCAAAAGGCACUUUCACAACUUGAGUAAUAUCUAUAUAUGUGAUAUGAAUAAAUUCCUCUUUAAAUUGAAUAAGAAGAUGAUCAUGGUUUUAGAAAGCGUUUUUAUUGACCUUAUGAGUUACUUAUUUGUAAAAUUGGGUAAGGAUGAGAAAAUGACUUGAACUAAUUACAAUUAUGGUAUAAUUAGCUCUCCUUUACUUGAUAUUAUGAUUACUUGAGUUUAGUUGAGUGAUUGAAUAAUGACCAUUUACAUUGUUUUGAGGAAAUGAAGUUGAAUUGUGCACAUGUGCUUAUUUUUUAAGUUUUAGAUUAUUGUUGGUUUGUAUUUAUUAUUGCUUAAGGACAAACAAUGGUUCAAGUGUAAGGGAGUUUGAUAAGUAUGUAUUUUACAUGUUUUUAGUGUAUUUUAUUAAUUAGUUUUGGUGUGCUUUAAUUAUUUUUAUAGUUAAUUAGUUAGAGUGUAAAGUGUGCAUUUUGUGGUUAAAGUGUAAAAAUUGCAUUUCCAUGGAUUUUAAUGGUAAAAACUUUAUGUUUUGUAGGUUUAAGGAUUUAAUGAUCAAAUGGCAUGAAUUAAAAAGAUAAUUGGAUGAUUGAUGAUGAUUUAAAGUGGUUUUAAAGAGAAUAUGAAGUGCAAGAAAAGAAAUGCAAUUUAGUAUACAAGAAGAGAUUUUUCCAACUUUGACACCUUGUGAUAUUUUAGUUAUAUCUUGAGUUACAAGCAUGGAUUGAGGUGAUUCUUGUAUCAUUUUGAAUAAGAGAUGAAUCUACAUUUGGUAUGAAGAUAUAGAAAUCCAGUGUAGUCGUUUCCUAGUAAAAAAGUCAAAAUACAAAAGUGCAUUUUUAUGGUUGAAAGCUGAAACAGAGUUCUGAUCAAUUCAGGUAUUUUGGUAAUUUUUUGGUCUACAGAGCUCCAAAUUAGAUGAUUCUUGAGGCAUUGGAAAGCUAACUCAAAGAGCUAUAACUUUUAUGUUUUGUACGAGAGUUAGUUCAGCCUCCAUCAUCAAGAAAAUAUCCGCAAAAAUAGAGCAAAGUUGAAAUCCGCCCAGAAUGAGCAAACCUGCAAAAAGACCAAAAUGGGAGGUCAAAACGCGAGCUAGCAGUUUUCUUGCUGGCAUUUUAGUGGAUUUUGGCUGCAGUUUGCUCUGCAACUUGUGCUCUUUCUACACAAUCUUUUUGACCACUUUUUCUGCAAAGUUUUCGGCUAGAAAUGAUCAGAUGAGUAUGAAAACUUUGAGAAACAACCUUUGAGAGUUUCAAGAGUAAACAAUGCAACUAGAAACAACUCAUUUUGGCUCUUGAAUCCUUUAUAAAUAGAGGCCUUUGGGGAACAUUUUGAAAACUUGGGAAGGCUAGAGUAACCCACAAAAAUUGUAGUCUUCACUAAAAUUUCCUUAGUUUAUUAGUUAGGGUAAUAUAGUAUAGUUAGUAUAGUUUAUCUUUCUUGUAUUUAUAGUUAGAUUUGGAUGAAGAUUUGAAGAGCAAAGAUGGAGAGUUUUAAACUCAUGUGACAAGGGUGACUUCUCUUCUAUCACAGUCGCUUUUGUAAUUGAAUUCGUGUUUAGCUAUAAUACAAAUUUGGUGUUUAUCUUCAUAUUUAAUUAAAGUUUAUGCCUAGAGUUAUGGAUGAAUUUUCUAUAUUUUAUUAGUGAUAUUUACUUGGUUAUUUGAUAAUAUUAUUUUGAACAAGUUAUUCAACACUUUUGCUUAUGUAAUCAUGAUUAAUCGCCUGUUAAUUAUGAUAAUUUUAAAGUAUUAAGUUUGCAAUGAAAAUUAAAAUUUAACACUAUCUCAAAGAAGUGAUAAACCUAGGGAGUACAAUCAUGAAAGUAGAGGUGUACCUUUGUGGUUUUUGUGACUCGUUUCAUGUAAUUUCAUAGAAGGAAUGAACUUGUAAUCAGUUUUAUGACCGCGAAAGCAGGUAUGAAUUAACUAUAGGUAUAGUUAGUAUACCCGCGAAAGCGGGUAUCAUAUAUAUUAAGAAAUUACGUCAUAACUAAUCCAGGUAAUAGUAUUCACUUAAUCGGUAAUGUUAUUUGCAUGAGUAGUAAGAAAUUUCAUAUCUCUAAGAGGUUUCUAUUGUUAUUUUUAUUAUUUUUUCUUAGGUUUAUAGUAUAAGUUUAAUAUCUAGUACUUGUGAUAGUCUAAAUAAUGAAGAAAUUCAAAAAAUAUCGGUAAUUGGCAUUCUUCCUUGUGGGUUCAGCCCUUAAUACCCGAUACUCAAUUACAACUCGUACACUUGGGAAAAAUCAUGUAUGAGAUAUUUAGGAUUUUAUAAAUAUAAAACGUGAUUGUGAAUUGAUCUAAUUAUUAUAUGUAUACCCCGUGCUCGUCAUUGAGUCAAUACAAGAGUGGAUGAACACACACUAUAAUAUCCUACAUUAAAACUAGAAAAGAAGGAAGGGAGAGUUAUAUUUGAGAAUUUGUGUCUUGUCUCAAAGGGCAAGACACAACCCUUUUUGUCUUUUUUCGUUGCUCCAAGGUUCUUUCUCUCUCUAAAACUAACUAAAAACUAAAACUCCCCUUCUAAGACUAAAGGCUCCUCUAUUUAUAAUCUCAAGUCCCUUUGAAUCUUUCACAAAAAGUUUGGUUUGGUCUUAAAGAGUCAAGGUUGUGAAAUGGAAUGACACAAAGUUGAAAAUGUUAAUGUCUUGGACUCAAAAAGUUGCUACCAAAAUGUCAUGGAUGCUGCAAGAAAGAAGGAUGAAAAGAUGUUUGCAAGUUGUGCAAGUUACGCAAUUUACAGAGUUUUUCCGAUCAAGUUUAUGGCACGGUAUCUGAAACGAAUUUUACUAUCUGGCACCGUAUACUACUAAACACUCUUCUUCAAAAACCUCACUGAUGAGUAUUUGGUGCGAUUAUAUGGUUUCACUUCUUCAAUCCGACGUCAUAUACUGCUCAACACCCUUUCUCUUGCAAAACCUUCUAACGGGUAUCAGAUUUGGUAUUUGACUAGAAAUUCACUAUCUGAUCCCGUAUACUCUCAUCCAGUCCAAUGAUGACUUUUUGUAAAAAAUCCGGUAUUGUCCUUGCUCAUUCAUCUCUACUAAAAAUGACAAACUUUAACAAGUAAAAGGAAUGAAUUCACAAGUCUUCUCAAAGUUACUCAAGGACAUCAAAUAUUGUCAAAAUGGUCAUUCACAUUGUCUUAGGAGUUCAAAUUUAGCUAUAAAUAAACUAAAAUAUACACAAACUAUUAGGUAAAAUAGACACUUGUCACACCCCCCACACUUGAAUCAUUGCUUGUCCUCAAGCAAUGCAUAAAAGUUCAAAAUCAAUGAUUCUGAAGAGUGAAGUAUCAUACAAUGGAAACUUAUGUGUAAAGAUAUAAAAAAGAUGAUUACUAUGUAAGGUUUGGAUCCCAAUUCUAGUAUUCCAUAAGAUCAAGCAAAAGAAAGUUUAUUAUAGCAACAUAUGAUCAAAUCCAAUACCAUUUAUCAUUCCUAAUCUAAUCAUGUUUGCCAUGCAACUAGUAUAAUUAACCAAUGUAAGAACUAAAUUUAUAACCACCCCGUAGAACUUAUACAAACAUGGACAAGAAAUUAGGAAAACUUUCACACUUUAAUCACAUAUUUUUUUCAUUCUUUUUUUUUCAUCAAACUUUACUCGAAUAGUGAUCUUGUCUUUUGAUGUGAAGACAAACAUUGGUAAAUGUAUGUCCCUGGUUACUCGAUCAAAUCACAAACUCUCAUUGCUUUAUGUACUCUUAAUUCUAACACCAUUUUAUACAAAUAUUGACAUUUGUAGCUGCCAAUCCUUGGUUACUAAGUGUUUUGAAUUAUUGGAGUAGAUACAUAUGCGAUCAAUAAUCAUAAUAAUUUCAUUUUCUUCUUUUGUGAAAGCAAAAACACAUUACUUGAUCCUUGCAAAAACUAGAACUAAGGAGAAAAUCAUAAGAAAAGUUUCAUAUUCAUCAAUCAUACCAAUCACACAAUUUACAUAAACAAAUCAAGGACAGUACAUUUAAUGAACUUAAGGAAAUCUCAAUAUGAUAAACUCCACUUUAGAAGACAUUAAGUUUCCUAAAAAUGAAAAUUCUUCACCUACAUAACAACAAUCUCAAAGCACUUUACACAUAAUCUCGUAUCAAUAAGCACGACACAACCAUCAAUACUAUUGGUACUAAAGUUUUUGAAAAAAUUUUGUCAGAGUUUUUCCUUAUAUUUGGGCCAUUCUCUCUGCCAACAAUCCCAAAAUUCAAUAUUUCAAACAUACCAAUAUCACCAAAUACCAAAUUUUUUAACAAAUAUAUCAAUUUUCACAUGAAUACCAAGGGAUGCAUUCAAUUUCAACCAACCUUACCCCCACACUUAAUUUACACAUUGUCCUCAUUGUGAAAAGGUAAAAAGAAAGAAAAGAAAUACUCCCCUAAUAUAGUAGGUGAUUUGUCGUUGUUGGAUGUCAUUGAUUUCCAAAUUUCAAUGGGAUAUGCUCAUUUUACUUUUAUUCUUCAAAUCUACAAGAUGAAAAUAAACACGCUAAAAGACAAAAAAUUUAACAAAUCGUUGGGUUGCCUCCCAACAAGCACUUAUUUAUAGUCAUUAGUUUGACUAUUUUGCCUCAUUGUCAAGGAGGCUUUAUCAAAGAGUAAUUCACCAACUCAAGUUGUGAUGGAUCUACAAAUGGUGAUUCUUUAUAUGAACCACAUAUCCAAAAGAUAAGAGAGUAAGAAGGGAUUUACCUGUUCCAAGUGUUUUAUAGAUAUCACUUUGUUCAUACAUCACUUGAGAACUUAUCAAAAGAUAUAUCGCAGGAAUUACUUGUGCAAUCUUGUCUUUGGAACCUGUAGGCACUAAAUAUUCCUCAAGAGGGGUAACAAAUGCAUCAUUCAAAAUUACCUCUUGAAUUUCAAAAUUAGCUCCAAAAACAUUAUCAUAAGAGAUAGAAGUAAUAUCAUAAUCAUGUUCUAAACACAAGUCACUCCUACAUGCAAUACCUAUACCAUUAUUUCUAGAAAUAAAUUGUAUAAAAUUAGAUGAAACAAUUUCACACAAUUCAUGUAAUUGGUCAUAUAUUCUACCAAAGUGUAAAGUCAAUUCUUCUAUUCUAUUCUCAAUCUUAGCAAAACAGUCGAAUAUCACAUCAGCUAGCUUUUCUAUAUCUAAAUCCACUUUAUUAACAAAUCUUUCAAUAGCUCACUCCCAAAGUGGUUUAGAUCCAAAGGCUACUUUUUUUAUGACUUGAUCAGAGUUGCUUAUUAGCCUUUCUAUAGCUAACUCCCAUGAUGAUUUUGAAUCAUAUUGGGUAGGUUGGGAUUAAAAAUCAUAAAAAUUUAAAGUAUCACUAGAAGUACAAUGAUCAUACCAACCAUAAUCAUGCAUAUUACCCUAAUUAGGAUCAUGGUGAUCAAUAUAAGAAGUACAGUGCUCAAGUCCCUCAAAGUAAUUUACAUGUUAUACUUGCGUAUAUUGAUAAUCAACAUGAUAACCUCCACACAAGACACAAACCAUAUAUUUAGAAUUCGAAACAUUAACAUUCCUAUAUUGUUUAAUCAAGUGCAUCGAAUUGUUCAAUUUAGCAUUUAACCUCUGCAUGCCAUCAUCAAGGGACAUAUCUGCAAGACUUUCUUGAAUUCCUCUAUUGUUAUAGUCUUGAAAGUACGGAGGAUAGAUUUCCUCUCUUCCUCCCCUCAAGCAUUAUUCUCCAAAAGGAUCUACCUUUUCCAUUUCCUAAAAAUGCUUUCAAAUACUUCAAAAGCAAGAUUAGGCAAGAAAGAUAGAUACUAGUGUCACACUCAACAAAAAUAAAACAUAACAUAACAAAAUAAAAUAUACGCACACGAACACAUGUAGACACCAAAAUUUCAAUUCUAUUUAAUUCCAUUUAAUUUAAUUUUUAGUUAAUCAAAGUUCGCAAAAAGAUAGUUAGUUAGUUUUUUUUUGAAUUAGGUUCAUCUUCUUUUAAAAAAUAAUCAACAAAACAAACACUUUUUGCAUUAAAUUUCAGAAAAAAAGUCUCACAAAAAUUUGUUUUUAAUCUUUUCAAAAUUAAUUGCCUCAAAAUAAAUGAAAAUUUGCAAGGCAAUCUCAAAUAGGAGUUUAACAUUUUGUUUACCCUAAAUUUGUUUUGAAAAAUAAAAUAAAAAGAAAAAUAGGUGGAAGACAUGCAUGGUAGCUAACUGAGUUAGGUGAGCAUUAGACAUGUGUCUUUGUCUUUUUGCACAACACAUGCCAAAGGCUAGAUGGCAAGACAGGUGUAGAGUUUGGGAAAAUCUGGAAAAAGGAAGAAACAAGAAGGGAGGCUUGGGGGCAGAGAAGAAAAGGAGAGAAAAGAGAGAGACCGCGAGGGAAAGGAGAACAGGAAAAACAAGAAAGAAAGAAAGAGAAAGAGGGCUUUGGGGAAGGAAGAAAAGAAGGAGAAAGAAGGAAAAACCAAGGGAAGAAAGGAGAAACGGGGAAAGAGAAAAAAAAAGAAACAAGAAGGGAGGCUUGGGGGCAGAGAAGAAAAAAAGAGAAAAGAAAAGAGAGACUGCAGGGGAGAGGAGAAAAGGAAAAACAAGAAAGAAAGGAAGAAAAAGAGGGUUUCAGAAACGAAGGAGAAAAGGAAGAGGAAGAGGAAAACAGGAAAGGAGAAGAGAAAGAAAGGAGGAGGGGGAAAUCUGGGGAAGAUCAGAGGGAAAAAAUAGGAAGAAAAACAAGAGGAAAAAAAAAAGAAAAAAAGAAACGGGGGAAGAAAAAAAGAAGAAAAGGAAAAAGGGAGCUGCGGAAAAAAGAGGAAAGAAAAAGGGAGAAACAAGAGCAGAGGAGGAGGAGAGAAUCUGAGGAGAGUAAGAGAGGGAGAGAGAGAGGUAGUUGCUGAAGAAAGAAAAACAGCAAAAGAGAGGAAAAGGGAAAACCAAUAAAAAGAAAAAAUUUCUGCAGCAGUUUUCUUGAGAACAGGCUGGUUUCUGAGUCACAUUUGGACCCAUUUAUCGCCGUUCUAGUUGCUUGAUACGAGCAGCUUUUGGUUUCUACACAAAUUAGGAAGUUAGGGGAGCAAGUCUUGUUUAGAAAUGGUUUGCAAAAAACACCUGGAAAGCCAUUGAAUCGAAGCCCCAAUUCACGGACUUGUCCCUGCUGCACCCCCACUAUGACGAAAUUUGCUUGACUUCAUCUCACGAACCAGCUGGCAUUUUAAGGAGCAUUUUGCGUUGUCAAACCUCACAAACAUUUCCAGAUAUUCAUGGCCUUUAUUUGUUCUGGUCUGACGCAUUUUUGUAAAGAUUAAAGCCCAUCUUGUGUGCGAAUUCAUGAACCUUUUGCUGGGGUUCAACGAUUUUUGUUCCUUUGCUUUGCCAUGUUUGAUCUUUAUGAUUCUCGGGUUGUCAUUCUCCUUUAUGUUUGUGGAUCUUGGGCGUUGAGUUUGAGAAUUAAAAAAGCAUAAGUUGCAUAAUUUCGCUGGUCUACACUUGAGGAACCCAUGAAGUUGCAUAAGAAAGAAACCAGCGAGGAAGAAGAAAGCUUUUCGAACCAUUUGCAUGGUUUUUUUUCCAAAAAUUGUAUUUUGCCACCUCAAGUUUUAAUUAAAUUCAUUAUGGCCCAUAAAUUGAAAAAUCAAUCAAUUUUAUCCUUUUAAAAUGUUAACUUUCUUUGGCAUGUUUUAAUGUGAUUUUUGGACAGAUUAUUCACAAGUUUUAGGAGGGAAGGUGAGGUUUAAUAAUUUUGAUAGAAUUAUUAUUUUGUUUGGAUUUUAACAAAAAGGUUUAGAGAUUUGGGUAAUAUUUUACUUUGGGUUUAGCAAGUGGGUGUUGGUUUAUUUUUGUGAAUUUUAUCAUUGGGUUUGGUAGGCUUUAUUUUUCUUUAUUUUAGAGCCCUUAAUUUUAUUUUUCUUUAUUUUUCUUAAAGUUUGACCUCUAAUAUUUGUAAUAAUAAUAAUUUGACCUAAAACCUUCAUAAUUGUUUCAAUUAGGUCCAUGCUUGUUUAAAAUUCUUGAAUAUAGGUCGUUUACUUUCGUUUAAAUGCUUUAAUUGUUCAAUUUCAUGAUUAUCUCCAUUGCUUUUCAUAUUAUUGCUUUUAUUUGGUACAUUGACUAUUUUUGUUGAUUUUUGGAACUUUAAAUAGGGUAAAUCCAAUUCUUUAUUGGCUACUAUUUCAAGGGAGGUAUCUUCUUGUGUUAUUUUAAAUCCUUCUAUGUGCUCUUAUGUGUUUUAUGUGUGUAAUUGCAUGCUUUUUGAAUGAUUUUUCUUUUGGGUUAUUUGCUUUAUUUGUUUCAUAUAUUUAAUUUGAUUUUGAUGAUUAUUUGAGAAGCAAUUAAAUGCCAAAUUGUAAUAGUUAGGGUAUUAUUUUAUUCUUAUCCCCUUUAGAUUGUAGUUAGGGCCCCAAAUGUAAUGGUUAGGUUUCUAUUUGUUUUUAUUUGCUUGAGUGCUUGCAUACUUGUGUGUUUACUUGUUUACUCGCUUUCUUAGGGUCGUUGCAUCUAGAUAUCAUGCUUAUGUACUAUGUGCUAUAUGUGAUUUAUGUGUUACUUGCUUUUAUUAUGUUUUAUAUGAUUUAUUUGAUUAUAAUAAAUGCAUGAUGUCACCACAUUAGUCCAAUACUAGUUGUGGUCCUUUUUUUUCGAUUUCUCACUAGUCCAAUACUAGUGAGAACUUAUAAACAUGGGUUAUUUCAACGCUAGACCCUUAGGAACCGUUCACGUACUAGAUCAUGUUUGUGUGACAAAUCACUACAUUUCAUGCAUAUUUUCUACUUUUAGAAUCCUUACCAUUUUGCAUGAUAUUUUUCCUAUAUAUAUCCCUACCCCUAUAUGCGAAAUAUGACAUUUAGACUUUUAUUCUAUUUACGGAAAUUAGGAGUAGAUUAGUGUAUUUCUUGAUUAAAUUAGGAAAAUCGCCCUUCAAAUAUGGGAAAUAGACGAGUAUGGUUUUAUGGCCUUAGCACGCUCGUAUCUCCUCUAUAAAAAGGAAAAUCUAGUCACGAAUCUUAGUUUCCCCGCACCCAUUAUGAUGCAUUCCUUUAGAUCAUGUAUAUUUGUAUAUUAUUAUUUUCUUUUCUUCGAGUCUUAUAUUUUGCACAUCUGUGACCUCCUCAAAGUGUCACUCUUGGGCAUCACAAUUAAUGUGAUUCGUGUGAGAACCAGUAAAAUUUCUUUAUUUUAUAUUAUUUUAUUUUAUUUCUUCGCGUGUAUUUUCUUUACUUUACUUUAUUAUAGUUAUUUUUCAGAGAUUUUUAUAAGGGAGUUUAGUUUUUAAAUCAUUUUCCUAGUAUAAGAUAGUUCAUGUUAAGUGUGAAGUGUAUUAUGGGCGUGGGACCCGCUAGUGCGUUAAGUGCGAUAAAUUUUUUAUGAUUAGGUGAAGUUUACAUAAAGGGAUAUUAUGUUAUAAGGUGCUAGAGGAUAAUUAGAGGGUAGUUAUAUGGUGUACCAUUGGGGAGAAAAGAAGAUAAGAUUAAACAUUUUACUAAAUAAAAAAAAAUUGACCAAAUGCAUCUCGUUUUCUUCAUGCUUUGGCCGAACCUCUUAAAGGAAAAAAAACAAGAGAAAACUUUCAACCUGAACUUCAUUUUCUUGCUCAAUCUUGAGUUUCAACCGUUAAAAUUUCAAACUACUCCAUAGAAGUUGCUCUCUAAAGGAUAUUAAAGGUAUUAGUGGAGUGAUUUUGGAGGGAAAGGCACAAAGCUACUAUCUUUCUUGUGGUUCUAAGGUAUCUUGCCAUAGUUUGAAAUAGUUUUAUGGUGAAAAUUCUGGUCACAUGUGAUGCUUGAGGGUUGUUCAUGUUUUGAUAGCUUUGCUAUAUGAAUUAUUGAGGUAUUAUGUGCUAGAUGGACUUGCCUAAAGAAAUUCCCAGCUUGGGUGCAAAAAUUCCAGCUUUAGGGUUUCUAAUUUGAGCUACCAUUUGACUGUAUUUGAAGGUUAUUGUAACCCUAAUUAGGUGUGUUCAAUAGCUUGUGAUUUAUAUGAGAAAUUGUGGCUGAAAUGAGAUAAGAUUGGGUGUUGAUGUUAGGUUGGAAAAGUAAAGAAAAACAAGGGAAGUGCUGCUGAAAUUUUUUGCGGAAACCCUUGAGCAGUUUUGGGAAAUUUGUUAUAUCUUAUUGUAGAAAUAUCGGAAUUAAGUUCCAUUUUUUUGAGUUUUAAACUAAAUUCAUAGAGUUAUAAACCGUGAAAAUUUCAGACCCUGGUUCUAUCUGUACGAUUUAUGGUGAUUUUUCAAAAUUGACUGAAAUUGCAAACCUGUUCUGUCAUUUACUGGAUAAAACAGCAAUUUUAGGCUCGAAUUUGACUGACUUUUGAUCUGAAUCUUAUAAAUGUGUCUUUUGAGAAAUUGUACCGUUUUGAGUCUAUUUUCCGAUGGUAUAAAUUUUAUCAAUUUUGGACUUAAGAAUCUUGAGAUAUCAUUUUUCAAAUGGUGGUGCGCAAAACUAGAAAAUCCUAUUUUACUAAAAUUGUCCUUACUCUCAUUUUCCACCUUAAGUUUGGAGUUAGUAAAUCAUUGUAGGUAUGGUUUUGUAGCCUGUUUCUGGAAAAUCUUUGGGUAUUGGAGACUCUGGAUUUCCGGUAUACUCGAGUAUUACCACUUCUAUUUCUGAAUGUUUUGCGGGCCCGAAAAGGGGUAUGUUUGGUGGACGGAAUUUGGUGUAAAGCGGUGCUCUACUGAACUGGUUCCUUUAUUUGAAAGUUGACGGAGUGUCAACUACUGUUUGAUCAAGCUCUAGUAAAGCAAAAAGGGGAAUUUGGCUCUUGAGAGCCACCUGUAUCCUUUCUAUUUGAAAUCUUUGUUUACUACCUUAUCUGGCGGGUAUAUUUGACUACGUGUACUUCUGGUACCUCAUUGAGCGUAAGCUCACCCCGUUCCCGUUACUUUGUUUUCCUUACAAGAAUAGUACUAUGAAAAUCAUGAUUUUUGGAAAGAAAAAUUGAGGUUGUAGAUGUAUAUGAUUUUGUUAAGCUCUUUUGUAACAAAACCCUAGUCGUAUUUCGUAUAUGUAUGAAGAAUGAGUACUAUGGCUUGUAUUUCGGGUUAUUUUGUUGAAGCUCAGAUGUAUAUAUGUAUUUAAGUGCUUAAUCAUGUAUAUUAAGUGUAUUUGUUGAGAUGAUACGUUAUUAUGGCUCUGGUGAACGUUUCUUGUAUCCAUUGGGGAAAUCGAGCGAGCGCGGAACUUGAAAGAGGAAGAAAAGUAUUUUGGUGGGGAACCUGUUCACCGAAUCUGAUCGUAUAUCCAGCCAGUUCUUGGCCAGAUAGUUGGCCGGAUUGGCAGGGGAGAUUGAAAAAUUUUGGUUUCGCCACUGCCUCGAAUUCGGCCAGUAAUCCGGCUGGAAAUCUGCCCAAAUCUUGGCCAGAUUGUGACAUGGCAGCGGCACUUUCAUUUUGUUUUCGAUUUUCAUUGGAGCAUCAUAUCAAAGUUUUAUUGCAUCGCUUAGUUUAGUUAAUUUGGUUUCUGAGAGUUCGCGUUCUCGAAGUCUUUUUGUGUGUUUUGUAGGGUUUAUGUAUGUUCCGGAUCCGUAGUCCCGGUGAGAGUUGGGCAGGCGGUCCGCCGAACCCUGUGGUUUGCCUUAGGGGGAGGUGGGGCUGUCACAAUUCGCACCAAUUAAACAUUGAAGAGAUAUUUUGACCCUCCCAAUAUACAUUAGGUCUAGGUUUGCAUCAAUAUAAUAACAUCCAAAUGUGAUAAGUUUUUAGAUUAAAUUAAGAAAAUUGUCGACUAAAUGAUGCAUUUAGUCUUGGCUAGCUUGAAAGGGUGUCUUGGAUUUUAUCCUUGCAUUCCUUUUCAUCAACCGUGACUCCCGAACUCUUUUCUCUUAUUUUUUGAAGGCUUAGGAGUCGUUUAAAAGGGCUUUACCUAUUUUUUAAAAUACGUUUUUAGGUGACUUGGUACAUCUUAACUCAAUACCAAGUGGCCACUCUUAUUUUUCUUAAAAAACCCUUUUUAAACUAUUAUUUUGGGCCAAAAUCGUCACACUUUUGAAGUCCCAUUUUAGGGCAUUAUUCUUUAUUUAUUCUCUAAAAAUCAAAAACUCAUUUUCACUCACAAUUAAUCAAAAAAUUUAUUUUUAUAUAACUCGUAAUUUUAAUUUUUUCAAAAAAUGGGGAGCGACAACUUGACGACUCCACUGGGGACUUAGACAGUCCGAGCAUUUGAUUGAGUCAAUCCUUUUUUUUCUAACCUUUUUAUAUAUCACAUUUAGAGGUUUUAGGUUGCAUUUUUCCUUUUAGGGUUUCUUACAUUUAAUACGCGCAAUCGUCUCAAUAUUCGUGUAUGUGAUGAGUAAUGGGUUUUAUUUUCUUUCAUUCAUUUAUGUUUAUCACGCUUGCAUCUUGGGGGGGGGGGGAAUAGCCACCCUAGAACCUUCAUCCACAUGCGAUGGUAUGUAAUUCCUCCCUUCAAAAGGAGCACUUCAUACAUACAUACGUUUUACUUUGUAACCCCUCACUUCUUUUUACUUUUAGUGGUUGUCACACCACUCUUCAUUAUUAGGAUUAGGAACGAUCCACUUGGACAUGUGGCCGUGGCACGACGUGCACGUAGCAAUGUCCGAGGGAUCAUUCGAACCAUCGACUCUUAGGCCUUGAGAUUGAUGUACCCUUCACCUUUGGUUUGAAGGUUUGGAGACCUGAAAUUUUAUCGAGUCUAAAUGCAUUAGUGAGCCCAACCUCAUGCAUCCAUAUUAGAAAAUCGCUUAGGAUAGAGUCAACCUUACCCGAAUAGGAAUACUAGGCACGAGGGGAGGGAUUACACCGUCUUUCUUUAAUUGUCUUCUAUUUUUCAUAUUAUUUUUGUUUGUUCCAAUGUGUUAUGUGUCAUAUAUCAAUUGAAGUAACCUUUCUUUGUUCUAUUGCAUUCAUAAGCCUUAGAAAUAAGAGUUCUGGCAUGAUACUCUUUUAGAACCUACCUGCUUAGAUAGGUUAUUGCACGUUUAAAUUCGAAUGUAUUGCAUUCGUAGGUAAUAAUUGCACAUCAUUUUAGACUCAUCCUGGCUUAUGAAGGGUCCCUUAGGUCAUGUUUUCAUUUCAAAUUGCAUAUUUAAUCGUUUUGAUAAAUUGGCAGCAUGCAUAAACUUUAGAGGGAAUGUCAUUUAGGGAAUCCCACAUUAGGAAUAAGCCACCUUGUGUCUCGGAUAUGUAAUCUAAAGAGAUUUGCACGUCUAUAUUUCUUCUACCGUCCAAAGGGGUAGUGCACGAGGUAAGGUAGGAUCUGAUCUUUUCCAUGAUAAUAGAGCAACUUUUGCACAUUAGAAUACGAGCAUCUAACAAUCAUCUUUUGGUCAUUUUAUCAGAAUUGGUAAAAAUCCCUUGCGGAAAGGACAUUAAGUUGAAGAAAUUCACAAAUAAUUCUUCAUUGUUGAGACGAUAAAUAUAUCGAGGCCAAAUCUUGAUUUUAGAAAACUCAUAAACUAAUGCAUUGUAACGAAAUUCGUGCAAUUUGAAAACCACAAAUGGGUUGACAAUCUAGUCAAUUUUCAAAUAAUCCAUUUUACCAGUUUAUUCACUUUUAGGGCAAUCUAGUCAAUUUUCAAAUAAAACGUCAAUUCCAUCCAAUCCAUUUUACUAGUUUAUUAGCUUUUAGGGUAAUCCAGUUAAUUUUCAAAUAAGUCGUCAAUUCCAUCCAGUCUAUUUUAUUAGUUUACUCACUUUUAGGGCAAUCUAGUCAAUUGUCAAAUAAACCAUCAAUUCCAUCCAUUCUAUUUUAUGAGUUUAUUUGCUUCUAUGAAGAUCGAGUCAACUUUUUGGAUACACCAUCCACUCUAUCCGAUCUAUUUAAUCAAUUCAUUUUUAGGAUAAUUUAGUCAAUUUUUUGAAUAAAUCAUCAAUCCCAUCCAAUCCAUUCGACCAAUUUUUUUCACUUUUGGAAUAAAUCAUCAAUUUCAUCCAAUUCAUUUGAUCAAGUUAUCCAUUUUUUAAGGCAAUACAGUUAAUUUUUUGAAUAAACCAUCAAUUUCAUCAGAUUCAUUUAAUCAAUUUAUUCUCUUAUAAGGUUUCGAUCUAUAGUUUACUGAAAAUCUAGUCGAGAUAUUGCAAUCCUUUCAAAGGUAGGUUCUUUCACACUAAAUUGAUUUUUUAACAUCACUUUAUGUGUCAAUCAAAAUAAUCAAUUAAUUCGGAUUUUUUCCUCAUUUUGUUAGGACAAAUGUCUCAUAUCAUUUCAAUUAACCAAAUUUUUCAAGUGAUUCUUCAGUCGAAUAUAAAUAAAUUGAUUGGAUCCAUCAGAUAUUGUAUGGUACCUAUCCCAGAGGAUUGCAUUUUUCAUAUUAGGCCUACCCUUGGCAUAAAAGGGUUCCCCUAUAGGACAUGCAUACCGAUUUUACAGUUUUGCUUCCUAACUCUGGGUAUUUUUCUUUUAUUUUUUCCCCUCCCCUACAUUUAUAAAGGAUAUUUCAAUAAAGUAAAAAUAUUUUUUCUAUAUCAGAUAACAAUUUUGGUUUGAUAACUUUUGAAAAAUAACAAGUAUUACUUGAUUUUUGGGCAGAUCCUACAAUGUAAAAACAUGAAAAAUCCAUUUAAAAGCGCUAGGCUAAAGCAUCCAAGAGACUUCAUAAUUGUUUGUCAAAAGAAAAAAAAAAUCCUGCUUGUUUGGUUUGUUAAUACAUUUUGUUCAAAAAGAAAAAGGAGACAAAAAGAGUGUACAUGUGAAAGUGGGGCUCUUUAGAGAUUUUUCUUUCCUCAUUUGUAUUAUAGUUGAACAAGAAAUUUUGUUUCAAACAUUUCCAGCAAUAAAGUUUUUCAUUUAGACAAUUAUUGUUUUGUAUAUAAUCAUGUAUAUUUCAUUCUUUAUUUGCUCAUUGGGAGAUUUCAUGAUGAAUUUUAAGAAAUAAGACUAAGUUGAGAUUUUUCAUCCUCUUGUCUAAAAAUUCAUAAGUGUAUGUUUUCUAAAAUCUUUGCAUACACUAGAUUGGUGAUCCAAACUAUUCAAUAAGAGCACUCGAAAUCAAAAGAAGUCACUCAAAUAUGAGGGUUUGUCUCAAAAAACCAACUAGAUACCUUUUUACCUUUCAUUCUUCAUAUUUUCCCCACUUUUAUUAACCCUCCCAAAAAUCAGUCACAUUGAUUGACAAAUUACAAAUUGGGGCAAUCUUUGCUUGAAAAAUGCCCACUGUGUCUAACCAAGUUCAAUCCACAUCUAAGUCAAAGUAAAAAUGUACAUUACUCUUAUUUGUUUUGAUAAAUUGGAAUGAUACUUUAGACGUUCGUUUCUCUAUUUAUACAGAUUUUGUCAUUUGCCCCCCCCCCAUUCGAGCCUUUAAAGGAAUAGUUUAAUUUCAAGAGCCUUAAUGAUCACUACCCUACAUUGAAAAAUUUUUCAAAUAUCAAAAGGGAAUGGAUUCUCAAUGAACUAUUCUUUCCUUUGGUUGUCAUGAGGCGUAAGAAUGAUGCUUUGGCCAUCGUUUUUAUAAUCUAAAUACUAUUUGUCCCUUGCAUCUUCAUUUGAACUAAAAUGGGUGGUUCUUUUCAAAAGCAUUUAUGAUCGCACCCCACAUUGAGGAAAGAGAUUGGAAAAAUUUUCAAAAAGAAAAAAGCAAAACUGCUAAAAGUAAAAAGAAAAAAGGGAACUACAAGUUGGGAAAAUUUGAUUCUAGCAUUAAUAUUUGGGCUCCAAUUUUGAAAAAAAAAAAAGAAGAGAGGGGGCAUCUAUAAUAUUAAAAUUUAGGGGAUUCUCAAUUCUAUCAUUUUUGGUAUUUCGGUAUUGAAAAAAAAAAAGAGAAGAAGAAAAAGAAAAAGGAAAAUAUGAAAAAAAAAAGAGUAAAGAAAAUGAAAAGAGAACUGCAAAGACAUCUAGUGAUUGACGAUAAAGUCAAAAUGGAGUCCAGGGUUUUUGAAUACAAAACUAGGGCAAUUUUUUGGGAAUGAAUGCGAUCUUAAGUGCAUUGGUCUUGAAAAUCUUAUUUCUUUAACUAUUGUAUUCAAGCCAUAUUACAAGUUUAUAAAGUUCAUCGCUGACUUAUCUUCCAUGACAAUUCGAAAUAAAGAUCAUGUCUCUAAGGGAUUUACCAAUCACUCGUGAUCAUAAGGUCAUAACUUGUUUCUACAUUUUAGCUAUCGUUUCUACCCAUAUAUUACAAGCUUAUAGAGCUUAUAUGUUGACUGAAUUUUCUCAAGAAAUAAGGGUGAUAAACUAUUUGCUUUCAUUAAAAUGUGAUAUUGAAUGGGCUAGACAUAAUCUGGGCAUAAAAACAAGGCAGAUCAUGAAAUACCAUUUUAGCCAUCUCAAAAUCAGAAAUAACACCCACUUGAUUAAUCCUGAAAGAUGAGCUAACAAAAAGUGGUGACCCAUUACCCUCAACACCGAUUAUAUAGCGAGGGAGGAAUUUGUUUACAAUUUGAUCUUGUUUUGAAAGAUUCACAAUGAAGUCCUCUAUAUGAGUUUAAAUACAACAUUUAAAUUUUUUCAUUUGAAAAAUGCAAUUUCUAUUCACAUUGCAUGUCAGUAUGUGAUCAUUUUCUAAAUUCUAGGAAACACAUUUUUCUUGUUUUGUCCAAAUAAAUGGAGAGUCAUUCGAAUGAAAUUUUAUAAUUUAAAUGGGCCCAAACUGGAGCAAAGUUUUUAAUUUGUGAGAUUUCGCUCAAUAAGUCCAAAUUUGGGCAGUAACUUUUAUGAUACAUCUGUGAGAUUUCGCCCAAUAGGUUCAAAUUGGGGCAAAUUUUUUGUAACAAAUUUGUGGGAUUUCGCCCAAGAGUCAAUUAACACACCUUCUAAUCUAUUGUUCAGAAUUUGACAUCACUACUUUUCAUAAUAAAGCAAAAUAUUUUGCGAAAAAUUCAAGUGCAUGUUAAACCCCCCUCUAUGUAGGUGUUAUGACUGAAAUUGAUGAAAAAGCGCAAGUCAGAAUCUUGCAAACUUGAAGACCAAUUUUAUAGUAGGCUUGGAUUUUAUCCCACUGACCAACUUUUCGGCGGACUCGGGUUUCAUCCCACUGACCAAUUUUAUGGCAGGCUCGGGUUUUAUUGGCAAGCUCGGUUUUUAUCCCACUGACCCACUGGCCAAUUUCAUGGCAAACUCGAAUUUUAUCCCACUGACCCACUGACCAAUUUCAUGGCAGGCUCGGGUUUUAUCCCACUGAUCAAUUUUCGGUAAGUUCGGAUUUUAUCCCACUAACCAAUUUUACGGCAGGUUUAGGUUUUAUCCCAUUGACCUUUAUACAUUUGCUUGUUUCGGUUCGCAACAGAAUAAUUACAAGUAAAUAUUUGGUAUCUACGUCUUUGUUUCAAAUAUCUUCGAAACUCAGACAAAUAAGGGCAAGCUGUAGACACCAAAAUUUCAAUUCUAUUUAAUUCCAUUUUAAUUUUAAUUUAAUUUAAUUUAAUUUUAUUUUUAGUUAAUCAAAGUUCGCAAAAUGAUAGUUAGUUUUUUUUUUGAAUUAGGUUCAUCUCCUUUCAAAAAAUAAUCAACAAAACAAACACUUUUUGCAUUAAAUUUUCGGAAAAAAAAGUCUCACAAAAUUUGUUUUUAAUCUUUUCAAAUUUAAUUUUUUCUAAAUAAAUAAAAAUUUGCAAGGCAAUCUCAAAUAGGAGUUUAACAUUUUGUUUACCUUAAAUUUGUUUUGAAAAACAAAAUAAAAAGAAAAAUAGCUGGAAGGCAUGUAUGGUAGCUAAGUGGGUUAGGUGAGUAUUAGACAUGUGUUUUUGUCUUUUUGCACAACACAUGCCAAAGGCUGGUGGCAAACAGGUGUAGAGUUUGGGAAAAUCUAGAAAGCAGAGAAGAAAAAGAGUGAAAACAAAAGAGAGACCGCGGGGGAGAGGAGAAAAGGAAAAACAAGAAAGAAAGAAAGAGAAAGAGGGCUUCGAAGAAGGAAGAAAAGAAGGAGAAAGAAGGAAAAACCAAGGGAAGAAAGGAGAAACGGGGAAAGAGACAAAAAAAGAAACAAGAAGGGAGGCUUGGGGGCAGAGAAGAAAAAGAGAGAAAAGAAAAGAGAGAGUGCGGUGGAGAGGAGAAAAGGAAAAACAAGAAAGAAAGGAAGAAAAAGAAGGUUUCAGGAACGAAGGAGAAAAGGUAGAGGAAGAGGAAAAAAGGAAAGGAGAAGAGAAAGAAAAGAGGAGGAGGAAAUCUGGGGAAGAUCAGAGGGGAAAAAUAGGAAGAAAAACAAGAGAAAAAAGAAAGAAAAGAGAGAAACGGGGGAAGAAAAAAAGAAGAAAAGGAAAAAGGGAGCUGCGGAAAAAAGAGGAAAGAGAAAGGGAGAAAAAAGAGCAGAGGAGGAGGAGAGAAUCUGAGGUGAGUAAGAGAGGGAGAGAGGGGUGGUUGCUGAAGAAAGAAAAAACAGCAAAAGAGCAGAAAAGGGAAAACCAAUAAAAAGAAAAAAUUUCUGCGGAAGUUUUCAUUAGAACAGGCUGGUUUCUGAGUCAUAUUUGGACCCAAUUAUCUCCUUCCUGGUUGCUUGAUUCGAGCAGAUUUUGGUUUCUGUACAAAUUAGGAAGUCAAGGGAGCAAGUCAUGUUUAAAAAUGGUUUGCUGAAAACACCUGGAAAGCUUUUGAAUCAAAGCCCCAAGUCACGAAUUUGUCCCUGCUGCACCCCCAGUGUGACGAAAUUUGCUUGACUUCAUCUCACGAACCAGCCAGCAUUCUAAGGAGCAUUUUGCGUUGUCAAACCUCACAAACAUUUCCAGUUAUUCAUGGCCUUUAUUUGUUCUGGUCUAAUGCAUUUUUUUAAAGAUUAAAGCCCAUCUUGUGUGCGAAUUGGUGAACCUUUUGCUGGGGUUCAAUGAUUUUUGUUCCUUUGCUUUGCCAUAUUUGAUCUUUAUGAUUCUCUGGUUGUCAUUCUCCUUUAUGUUUGUGGAUCUUCGACAUUGAGUUUGAGAAAUAAAAAAGCAUAAGUUGCAUAAUUUCGUUGGCUUGAAAUUUAUUUCGUUGGCCUACACUUGAGGAACCCAUGAAGUUGCAUAAGAAAGAAACCAGCGAGGAAGAAGAAAGCUUUUCGAACCAUUUGCACGGUUUUUUCCAAAAAUUGCAUUUUGCCCCCUCAAGUUUUAAUUAAUUUCAUUAUGGCUCAAAAAUUGGAAAAUCAAUCACAUUUUGUCCUUUUAAAAUGUUAUCUUUCUUUGGCAUGUUUUAAUGUGAUUUUUGGACAGAUUAUUCAUAAGUUUUAGGAGGGAAUUUGAGGUUUAAUAAUUUUGAUAGAUUUAUUAUUUUGUUUGGAUUUUAACAAAAAAGUUUAGAGAUUUGGGUAAUAUUUUAUUUUGGGUUUAGCAAGUGGGUGUUCGUUUACUUUUGUGAACUUUAUCAUUGGGUUUGGUAGGCUUUAUUUAAAGCCCUUAAUUUUAUUUUUCUUUAAUUUUGACCUCUAACAUUUGUAAUAAUAAUAAUUUGACCCCCUAAAACCUUCAUAAUUGUUUCAAUUAGGUCCCUGCUUGCUUUAAAUUAUUGAAUAUAGGUCGUUUACUUUCGUUUAAAUGCUUUACUUGUUCAAUUUCAUGAUUAUCUCUAUUGCUUUACAUAUUAUUGCUUUUAUUUGGUACAUUGACUAUUUUUGUUGAUUUUUGGAACUUUAAAUAGGGUAAAUCCAAUUCCUUAUUAGCUACUACUUCAAGUGAGGUAUCUUCUUGUGUUAUUUUAAAUUCCUCUAUGUGCUCUUAUGUAUUUUAUGUGUGUAAUUGCGUGCUUUUUGAAUGAUUUUUCUUUUUGGUUAUUCGCUUUAUUUGUUUCAUAUAUUUAAUUUGAUUUUGAUGAUUAUUUGAAAAGCAAUUAAAUGCCAAAUUGUAAUAGUUAGGGUAUUAUUUUAUUCUUAUCCCUUUUAGAUUGUAGUUAGGGCCUCAAGUGUAAUAUUUAGGUCUCUAUUUGUUUUUAUUUGCUUGAGUGCUUGCAUGCUUGUGUGUUUACAUGUUUACGGGUCGUUGCAUCUAGAUAUCAUGCUUAUGUGCUGUGUGCUAUAUGUGAUUUAUGUCUAACUUGCUUUUAUUAUAUUUUAUAUGAUUUAUUUGAUUAUAAUAAAUGUAUAACGUCACCACACUAGUCCAAUGCUAGUUGUGGCCCUUUUUUCCGAUUUGUCGCUAGUCCAACGCUAGUGAUAACUUAUAAACAUGGGCUAGUCCAACGCUAGAUCUUUAAGAGCCGUCCACGCUCUAGAUCAUGUUUGUGUGACAAAUCACUAUAUUUCAUGCAUAUUUUCUACUUUUCGGAUCCUUACCAUUUUGCAUGAUAUUUCUCCUAUAUAUAUCUCCUACCCCUAUGUGCGAAAUAUAACAUUGAGACUUUCAUUCCAUUUAUGGAAAUUAGGAGUAGAUUAGUGUAUUUGUUUAAUUAAAUUAGGGAAAUCACUCUUCAAAUAUGGGAAAUAGACGAAUAUGGCUUCAUGGCCUUAGCACGUUCGUAUCUCCUCUAUAAAAAGGAAUAUCUAGUCACGAAUUUGGUUUCCCUACACCCGUUAUGAUGCAUUCGUUUAGGUCAUGUAUAUUUGUGUAUUAUUAUUUUCUUUUCUUUGAGUUUCAUAUUUUGCAUAUUCGUGACCUCUUCAAAGAGUCACUAUUGGGUAUCACAAUUAAUGUGAUUUGCACCAAUUAAAUUUUGAAGAGAUAUUUCGACCCUCCCAGUAUACAUUAGGUCUUGGUUUGCAUCCAUAUAGUAACAUCCAAAUGUGAUAAGUUUUUAGGUUAAAUAAAGAAAAUUGUCGACUGAAUCACGCAACCAGUCUUGACUAGGUUGAAAUGAUGGUUUAGAUUUUAUUCUUGCCUUCCCUUUCUUCAACCGUGACUCCCGAAUUUUUUUCUCUUAUUUUUCGAAGACUUAGGAAUCGUUUAAUAAGGGUUUUACCUAUUUUUUAAAAUACAUUUUUAGGUGACUUGGUACACCUUAACUCAAUACCAAGUGGCGACUCCUAUUUUUCUUUAAAAAGCACUUUUCAAACUAUUGUUUUGGGCUAAAAUCGUCGCACUUUUUAAGUCCCAUUUUAGGUCCUUUUUCUUUAUUUAUUCUCUAAAAAUUAAAAACUCGUUUUCACUCGCAAUUAAUCAAAAAAUUCAUUUUUAUAUAACUCGUAAUUUUAAUUUUUUCAAAAAAUGGGGCAUGACAACUCACCAACACGCAAAUAAAAAAAAGGACCAAAAUAACACAAGAAAUCAAGUGAAAAUGUUUAAACUAAUAGAGUCACUCUUUACUUCGAUAUUGCCGCAAACGUUCCCCAACAAUGGCGGUAAAAACUUGACGUGUGUGGGAUAUGCAUACAACAAUAAAACUCAAUCUACAGUUAAAUUUUAAAUUUAUAAUCUCCUACACUACGCCACACAUGAUUUUUCGAAAGUAUAUAGGUCGUGGGCGAAUAUAGGGUAAUUAGGCUUGAACCCACAGGAAAGACAGACAACUACCGGCACUACUAAAGUUUCUCACUACCAAUACAUUAGAACCAACAAAUCUAAACUACUAAUGGGAAGAAAAUACAAAUGAAAACUUUCGAGUAAUGGAAUCUCUAUCUACUCAUGUUAGUGCAACUUCUCGACUAAUUGAGUACUAAAAUCUUGGUUAAGUCAUGAUCUAAUUUCCUUAUGUAUGUGAUAGCCACUUUCGCCGGUGUACCAACUAUACCUAUAGUUAAUUCAUACCUACUUUCGUGGCUAUGAAAUCAACCAUAAACUUAUUUACUUUUAUGAAAUUACUACAAAACAAGCAAUAAAAGUGCACCUCUAAUUUCAUAAGUGUACUCUCUAUGUUUAACACUUUCAUGAACUAGUUUCAAAUUUCAAUUUUUAUUGCAAAUCUAACACCUUGAGAUUAUUACAACCAAUGGCCAGUUAAUCAUGAUUUUGUGAACAAAAGUGCUAAAUAACUCAAUCAAGACAAUAGUCCAAAAUAAUCAAGAAAUCAACACAUAGCAAUCAUAGAUAGUUCAACCAAAUACCCAAGGCAUAAACUUUAAAACAACAUUACAAACAUAAUAUCCAAAACUUAUAUUAACAAAACUUAGAUUCCAAUGCAAAGAUAAAGAGGUGGAGAGAAGAAAAACCCUUGUCACUAAAGCUUCUUGAGCCUUUCCAUCUUCAUCUCCAUCGGCCUCCUUGUUGAGCUACUAUAAGAGUGGAUGAAUACACACUACAGUAUUGUACACUAGAACAAGAAAAGAAAGAAAGGAGGGCUACAUUUGCUAAGGAUUUGUGUCUUGCCUCAGAAGGCAAGACGCAACCCCUUUUGUCUUUUUUCUUUACUCCAAGACUCUUUCUCUCUCUAAAGCUAACUAAAAAUUAAAACUCCCCGUCUAAGACUAAAGGCUCAUCUAUUUAUAAUCUUCAAGUCCCCUUGAGUCUUCGACAAGAAGUUUGGUUUGGUCUUGAAAAGUCAAGAUUGUGAAAUGGAAUAACAUAAAGUUGACAAAAGUUGAUGUCUUGGAUCCAAAAAGUUAUUGCCAAAACAUCAUGGAUGUUGCAAGAAAGAAAGAUGAAAAGAUGUCUGCAAGUUGUGCAAGUUGCGCAAUUUGCAGAUUUUUUCCGCUCAAGUAUACGACAUGGUAUCCGAAACGAAUUUUACUAUUAAUUUGGCGGCCUAUAUUGCUAAACACUCUUCUUUGAAAAACUCACUGACGAGUAUCUGGUGCGAUUAUCUAUUUUCACUUCUUCAAUCCAACAUUGUAUAUUGCUCAACACCCUUUCUCUUGUAAAACCUUCUAAUGGGUAUCCGAUUUGGUAUCUGACUUGAAAUUCACUAUUUGAUCCCGUAUACUCUCAUCCAAUUCGAUGAUGACUUUUUGUAAAUGGCCCCAUAUUGUCCUUGUUCAUUCAUCCUUACCAAAAAUGACAAACUUUAACAAGUAAUAUGAAUUCACAAGUCUUCUCAAAGUCACUCAAGGACAUUAAAUAUUGUCAAAAUGGUCAUUCACAUUGUCUUAAGAGUUCAAAAUUAGCUAUAAAUAAACUAAAUUAUACACAAACUAUUAGGAAAAAUAGACACUUCUCAACAGAUAUAGUGAUUGAUGAGUGCGGUGUGUGCAUAUAACAAUUAGCUCAAUCCACAAUUAAAUUUCAAAUUUAUAAAAUCAUAAACACCUCAUACGCGAUUUUCAACAAGUAUACAAGUUGUGAUUGAAUAUAGGGUACUAAGAAUCGAACCUACAGGGAAGAAUGCACAAAUACCAGCACUACUAAAGGUUCCCUAUUAUUAUACGAUCAAAAAGUUGAAAAAAAAAAAAAAAAAAAAAGAUACAAUGUACAAGAAAAUAAAAAUGAAAACUCCUUAGAUCAUGGUAUCCCUAACUACCCAAACAAGUGCAAUUUUUUUGGAUCAUUGAGCAUUACUACCUCAUCUAGUUAUGACAUAAUUUAUUUAUGCAUGUGAAACAUACUCUCGUAGUAAAUCAGAUAUACCUGUACCUAAUCAACACCUACUCUCGUGAUUAUGAAAUUAGCUACAAGUUCAUUACCUCUAUGAAAUUACAUGAAAUAAAACACUAAAACUAUAAAGAUGUAUCUCUACUCUCGUGAGUGUACUUCCUAGGUUUAGUACUUCUUUGAAUUAGCGUUAAAUCCCAAGUUUCAUUGCUAACUUCACACUUAUGAUUAUCACAAUUAAUGACAAGUUAAUCAUGAUUAGAGGAGCAAAAGGGUUAAAUAACUAACUGAAAAUAAUAACAUCAACUAGUCAAAUAAUAAACACAAAACAAUCAUAGAAACUUCAACCAAAACCCAAGGUAUAAACUUUAGAAACAUUUAUUGAAAAUAAAAUCCAAAUUUAUAUAUUAACUAAACUUAAAAUCAAUUACAAAAGAUAAAGAGUUGGAAAGGUAUAGUAACCCUUAUCACAUGAACUCCUUCAUUGCCUUCUUCAAUCUCCAACUUCAUUUUCAUCUAGUUAAUACACAAGAAAGGAUGAAUUAGUUAAAACUAAACUAUCCUACAUUACCUAAACUAAAGAACUAAGAAACUAUCUAAGAACUAAAUUUUAGUGGUAUUUCUUCACCUCUCCAAGCUCUCCAAAAUGGAAGACACAAAAUCCAAUUUAUAGAGAUCUCUUUCCUCUUUGUGUCUUCCUUCAAGUGUGAACAUUGGCUUCAAAUGUCAAUAUUUUUUGCUCCAAACUAAAUCACAUUAUUAUAGAAGAAAUAAAGUUAAGAAUUGUUGCUCGAAUCUUCACUUUAAAGUUACAAAUCUUCUAUAAUGAGAUUUUACUAUGUACCAAAUUUUAAUAAAAGCUAAACAACCCGUUUUCUACAAGUGUACAAGUCAUUUAUCGAGUAUAGGGAUAUUAGAUGUCGAUCCCAAAGGAAAGAUUGUCAAUUACCGAUGGUUUCAAACUCCUUCAUUAUUUAGACUACUACAAAUGUAAGAAAUUAAAUCUACACUACAAACAUGAAAUAAAAGUGAUAAAAAUAAUAAUAGAAAUCCCUUAGAGCUAUGAAAUUCCUUACUACUCUUACAAGUGAAAUUAUCGGUUAAUUGAAUGUUAUUAUCUUGGCUAGUUAUGGUAUAAUUUUCUAAUGUAUGUGAAAUCUACUCUCGUAGCGAAUCAAUUACACUUGUAGUUAAACUAUAUUUACUCUCGUAGUUAUGAAACUAACUACUAGCAUAUUUUUUUCUAUGAAAUUACAUGGAACAAGCCACUAAAACCACAAAGAUGCAUCUCUACUCUCGUGAAUGUACUCCUUAGGUUUAACACUUCUUUGAACUAGUGUCAGAUUCUAACUCUCAUAGUAAACUUAACACUAACAUUAUCAUAAUUAAUGGCCAGUUAAUCAUAAUUAGAUAAGCAAAAGUGCUAAAUAACUUGCUCAAAUAAUAUCAUCAAAUAACCAAGUAAAUAUUACAAACAAAAAAUAGAAAGUUCAUCCAUAACUCUAAGUAUAAAUUUUAGCUAAACAUGACAGACAUGAAAACAAAAUCCAAACUUGUAUUAUAACCAAAUAUUAGAAUCAAUGCAAGAAAUAAAGUGAUAGGAGAAAUGUCACUCUUAUCACAUGAGUUCUAUGCUCUCCAUUGAUAGAGCGGUUAUUUGGCACAUUUUGCACUGUUAUUUUGUCCUAAUUUUGGUUACUUACUGUGCUAAGUAUUGAGGUUUAACUCAUAUUUCAUAUUUGUAUGAAUUAUAGAUAAUUGGCGUUAAAAGUAAUCCCUUGAGGCAAAUUUCCAGAAGACCUUUCAUCUCAGGGCGUGCCCACGCCAGAAAAGGUAGAUGUUACCGAAAAGCCGAAUCCGCAGGACCAACAACAGGAGACCCAAUUAAAAAAUCCGAUCUACGUGGACCAGAUGCGUGAGAUCAGAGCCCUUGGACAAAAAAGCCUUGUUCCUAAUGCUUUUCUCCUGCGGCGGCUAUAAAAGAAUACAAAAGCAGAUUCAUGUGGAGGACUACAUUAGCUUUAGUCUCCUGUUUGGAGAGAUCUGUCAGACGCUUUUUGCCCUUUUUCCUUUCUUCCCUACGGUAGCUUUAGUUUUUCUUUUCCCAGGCGCUAGACGUCCUUCCCCCUUUUUGAUUUUUAACUUUUCCGCUGGACAAUUUCUGCAUAGCCUUUCGCUUUGUAAUUGCGGCUCUAACACGAAGCCAGAGCCAGGUUUCUCUUUGUUGUUAUUUCGAGUAAUUCACUUUCCCUAAUUUCUCGGCAAUUAAUUUCUGGGCAAUUGUGUGGAUGAUAUCAAUCGAGUCACGCGAGAUUGACACGAUGAGGAGCGGCUAAUUUUCUCCUCUACCCAAAGGUUGACGCGAGGGCGCGGUCCAUAAUAUCUGUGAGAUCUAAUCGAAUCUUCAUUAUUUCUUCCAAUUUAUUGCUAUUCGUACGUUUCCUGAAUUAAUUGUUCAUGGGUAUUUUAUUAAUUGAAUAUCUACGGCCGGGUAUUUGAUUUAAUUUAAUAGCCUACUGUCACAUUAACUAAAUUGAAUCCGUAAUUGUUUGUUUAGUUGAUACCUAGUGGCGACCACCAUAAUUGGCUUUAUGUUGGGGAAACGUAAGAUCUAGCUUAAAUAAACCCUCUUAGCGUGUUUAUUGGUUAAGGUUGGGUUUUUCUAGUUUUAAUGCAAUUGGGUAAUUAAAUUCCUACGGUCGUAUUUAGGGUUGUUAUCUGGUUAGGGAAGCAGUCAAUGGUCGUACCUUGACUGUCGAAAAAGUAAGGAAGAACUGGUUGUCAGAGCUUAUUGAUAACUAUAACCAACCUAGUGACGAAUGGAUGAAAUAUUUUUGCAUCGAUUAUCAUUUAAUUGGACCGUGCCUGAGUAGUUGAGCCUUUGGGUAGAAUUUUAUUAAUUGUUUUUUUUAGGAAAUUGUACUUGUUGAGUUAGCUCUUGAAUUUUAUUUUUUUUAUUUUUAUUUUCAUCCCAUUAAUUAUCCCCCGAUUUCAUUCUAUUGAUUUGGAAAGAAAUAAUUUCCUACCCGCUCCCUGUGGAAUCGACCCUACUUGCCAUUGUAUGCAAAAUUAAUAUUUUUAUAGAUAAAUCUGGUAUAUCGGAUUGGACAAUGCUACAGUGCCUAUAGUUAUGGUAACGAUAUUAGAGAAACCUACUAUUACAGGUUUCUAUUACCUUUAGUGACAGAUCCAAUUUUUUAGCGACUUUUGAAAUAUUAUAUUAAAAUAAUUAAUAUUAAAUUUAGUAAGUUUUUAAUUAAAACAAGUAAAUUUAUGCCUGAAAGAUAAGUUUUUGUCAGAAAUAGAAAUUUACACUUUGAGUAAUUUAAUUUACUUAUUAUUUGACGAAAAUUACUUAUUUUUGAAUUAAACUUACCAAUACUACAAGUAAAAAAUGUUCAUAUUUAAGUAAAAAAAUUACCAGUUUCUAAAAACGGUUUUGGGUUCCUGAAACACUUUCGGAUAUCAUCUUGUCAAAGUCAUCUCCCUUCUUAUUACUUAGUUCUCAGUUCCAACAUACGAUUGAAGGCAAAGAUUUCCACUUUGGUCCACACUUUCUCUUGGUUACAAGCGAAUAAAUUUUCCCACUUCAAAUUUUCAUCUUCAGUUCCCACUUUCCCUCUAUCCUUUCUCAUCGAUAGAUUGUUUUUGGGUGCUGCCAAAUGCAGACACAACAAAAGGGUUUUUCGACGGUGGUAGCCAAUCAAAGAUAGCAGUGACGAGGUUAGCCCAUCAUGUCCUCUUGAAAUCGUUUGAUUAUAUUGCUGUAAUUUAUUUAUAUUUCAUUUGUUUUGUUUGUCAAGAUUUUCUUGCGAAAUCAAGGCUGAGAAUUUGAAGAUUUUAUUGCAAUUUUGGGGCUGAAAAUGUCCACUGAAACAUCUAGCCUUGAUUUGGUUGUAGUUUGGAUUGUCUACUGGUAAAACAUGCUUAAUAGCCAUAUGAAGCAUCUAGGACUUGACUAGGCGUUUAAGUUAAAUGUGAUUAAUUUGUGAAUGCAUAUAAGAUGUUUGGUGAAAUGUCAAAGAGAAAUCUGUGUGUUAUGAUUGCUACUCUGUGCUCUUCAGCAGCCAGAGAUGAGACCAGCUCUUAAAGAAAUCACCCUCGUCAGUUGACAACAGCGCUCAAGAUCACCCUUGGGAUUGGCUGAAAAUAGACCUACUUCUGUUGGAAACUAAAUAAUCAUAUUAGAGACAGUGAUUUCAUCUUCCUUGUACCUGCUUUCUUCCUCUUCUUCUUCUUCUGUUUUCCCCCCCUUUUGUCUUAUGGGUUUUUGUAGCUUUUCUUUUUUUUUUUUGUUGUUGGGUUUAAUCAGAUGUACAUAUUUAGAUGAGAAGCACUAAUACUCUCUUUCCAGUCUUGUUUGUGGUGAUGGGAUGAGUGCAGCUUCAUCAGUUUCUUAUAAUAUAACUUGAAAUUUUGCAGAGAGGGAAAAGAUAUUAAUAUACCUCCUUCAAUUUUGCAUAAAGGGAUGUUUUCCUAUCUUCCUUUUUUGCUUGAUUCUGCAUUUUUUGCCUUUUGAAUUUCUGGUGUUCCAAUAUAUAUAUAUAUAUAUAUAUUUUUUUUAAGCUUUAAGUUCUUGAAUCUAAGGUUGUGAAUUUGCUGCGUCCUGAUUCUUCCUCCAACCGACAAAACAGAGGUCCUUGCUGUUUUCUUUGAUUUUAAUUUUUUUGUCCUUUAUUGUUGUGGCUGUUUUGCAAAACGUGGAAGUUAAGGCCCCCUCAAGGGUGGGUUUGGCCGGUGCAAUUCAAUACUAAGAAAUGAAAAUCAGUAGAAAUGACUUGCAGACAAUGACUACCUAUUUCCUGGAAAACGGUUUUGUCCUUUUUCUCUAGAUAUUUUUUGAUCUUUCAUUUUGUAUUCCCACUUGAAAAAUGGAACACAUUAAUUGUUAGUUAUCAUAUUGUCUCUGGUUGGCUGGUGCUUAAAUUUUAAAAAUUAGAAGUCAUAAAUCAGACUUUGAUUUUUCUUUUCUAUUAAUUUUUGGUAUGUAUAAAAAUUACCGCAAUUAUUUUCUAUUAAAAUAUGCCUAAGUAUCCGUUGACAGCUUUGAUGAAUGAAUUCUGUACUUAUUUUCUAUUAAAAUAUGCAUAAGUAUCCGUUUGUAUAUCCUCUUUCCUUUCCUCUUGCUCUCAAUCCAGUGAUCAGUAAUGGGGUAGGUUGGUACUGAUUGAAAUAAUUUUCUCGCAAAAAGUCUUAAACCAGAAUUUUAAAAGGAAACCUAAGGUUUUGAUGUUGCAUUGGUCUUUCUUUUGUGUUUUAUACGCUCGAGUUGUUGAAGCCUCCCUCUUUCUAUCUCAGUCAAGCCAGCUUCUUUGCUCCUGCGUUGUAUGUUCUUGUUUCAGAAAGAGGGUUUAUCAGGUUGGGUAGUUUCGUCCACCCCUACAAAUUUAACAGAAGUAAUCCAACAUAUUAACAUUAGCAGCAUCAAAAAAUUUAAGAAAACUAUAUUUUAGUAAUUGUUGUCAUUGACACUUAAUUGAAGUUCAUUAAGAAUAAUUGAAAUAUGUAAAUAUCAAUACUCUAUUCAAAUGUAAAUAUUCAACCUAAGUAAAAAAAUAAAUGAUAGCUAAACAAACGAAAUAUGCGUUCAAUUGAUCGUGUUCAAACUACACAUUCUGUUAAUAGUUAGUAUAUAUGAAAUUGUAUUUUCCAUUUGUAGAAAAUUAAUAUGCAUUUUAUAUCUACUAACGAAUAUAUUACCUAUGUUUUGAACAAAUCAAACGAAAACUUAUGGUGUGAUAUGUAUAUAGUUGCUCACAUUUAUACGUAUGCCAUCAUCCUUUCUUUAUGCUGCAAAUUUCUUUUGAUUAUAUUUAGGGGUGGCAAUUAUAAAAUGUCGACCUGAAAAAAUGAUAUGAACCUAGCACAAAAUUAAUUGAUUCGGAUUGAGGUUUCGCGGGUUCGGGUCAGAAUCGAGUCGCAUGCAACGAACCCGAAAUGAAAAUGGGUCGAAUUCGGGUCAAACCAUGGGUGAUCCGAUAUGACCCGAUCACCUGUUUAUGAAUUAAAAAUUUUUUUACCUAACUAAACUACGUUAUUCUUUUUGUUUCAAAGGCAUUAAUCACUUAAUCCUAAAUGAAUUUAUUUAACUUAUUUGAAGUUGAAAUUAUUAUAUUUGGACAAAUAAUGUAUUAUAUUAUUUUUUACUUUUAUACUGCUUAUAUUUAUUUUAUAUUUGGUUUGGAACAAAACACUUUUACGAUAUUUUUAAUUUAUUUUAGAUUUGGUUUGGGAUUAUUUAUUUAAAUUUUUAUUACUUGAUUAUGUAAUUAGUCUUGUGUGAAUUACAAAUUACAGUGAUAAAUUAAUAAAUUAAAAUUAAGUUUUGGGUCAUUCGGGUCGUCCCGCCAACCUGACAACCUGGAAUUUUCAGAUUCGGGUCGGAUAUCCUGGCCCGUUUCGGGUUGGGGGAUCAAGUUCGGGUCAGCCAGUUUUCUAUUAUACCUGGGUCUCAACCCGACCCGUCACUCCGAUUUGGACCCGAUUGUCACCCCUAAUUAUAUUGUAAAAAAAAUAACAUAUUUUACAAAUUAUUCCAAUUUAUUUAGAAAAUGUUACUAAUUUCAUUAGAAAUUAUGAAAUGUAAUCAUGGUUUAUUAAUUUUUUACUAAAUAUAAAUACAACUUAUAUCAGGUAAAAAUAUUUGACUUUGUUUUACUUUGAUCAGAAAAACUUGUGGUAGAAAUAACGAAAUAGUGACAAGGGUGCAAAUUUCAAAUCAACAACCAACGUACACUUAAUUACGCUAAUUUUUUAGUUGACCAAACUAAUAUAUGCCAUAAAGUAACUAGAUUUUAGCAUUUAUAAAUUGGCCAUUUUAGCAGUUUAUAUACCAUUCACCUAUAAAAAAUAUGAUUAUUAUAAAAUGACAUUUUAUAAUAAUUUACAUACUAUUUGCCAAUUAAAAGUAAGUUUGAUAAAAAAUAUAUAUAUGCAUAUAAAUCCAUAUUGUAAAUGAUACAAAAUAUAUUUGAAUCUCACGAAACUUAAUCUAUGGGUAAAUUUACUAUAGUUUUCAAAGAUUAUGCCACAUUAGUACAAAUUUAACUUUUAUGCUUGUGACCUAGAAAAUAAAUUUAUUAGAACACAUAACCUUUGUAAAUGAUACAUACAUUUAUUAAAAUGCUUAAAACACAUAACAUUGAUGAAUGAUACAUACAACCAUAUAUUAUACAUUUACGUUACCAACAAUUACUAACUAUAAUAUUAAGUUUCAAUCCUUAACAAAAAAAUCUUAGCAUUAUUUUAAAUAAACUUUCUAAUACUUGUUUCAUAUAAGUUUUUUAAAGUAAAAUAUUAAAUUUAUGCCACAAACUAGUAAGUCUUGAUGAUUAACCAAAUUUACUAUUCUAUCAACAGGAUUUACUAUUAAUCCGUGAAAACUUACUAUUACUUGAACUAAACUUACUCUCCAAAAAGAAAGUUUCGAAUAUAGAGUAGUAAUUUAUUUUUUUUUAAAAGUAACUUUCAAUUUUAUUUCAUUUUACUUUUUAAGACAUAAAUAGGAUAACAAAUUUCGUUACCAUUUUCGAUUUAUUUUUUAUUUGCUUUUAGCGACCAUUUGAUUAUUUGAUCGGUCUAUCCACCUAAAUAGGAUAACACUUAAAAAUAAGAAAGUAAGUUUUCUAUCUAAAAUAAUAAGUUAACAGUAAAAAAUUAGUAACUUUUAUACUUCAAAAAGGUAAGUUGGAAUAAAUAUUAAACUUACUUUUUAAAUAGAUAAAUUACUACUUUAUUUCCCAAACUUACUUUUUAGAGAGUAAGCUUAAUUCAAGUAAUAGUAAGUUUUUAUACAUAAAUAUUAACUCUUGAUAAAGUAGUAGUAAGAUGAUAAAGUUUUAAUAAAUUUACAUCUGAGACACAAGAAAUAAUAAGAGUUAAAGCCUAAACAAAAUGAGAAAUAAUAUAAUAAUAAAAAUGACAAAAUUAGUAUAACAAUUAAUAUAAGAAAAUCAGUAUGAUCUUGAUUUUUUUCCUUGGGAGAUUGUUCAUAAGAAUAGGAUCCAAUAAUUAUAAAUGAAAAUCACAUGCAUGUAUAAUCUAUUGUAUAAUUUAAAUUAUAUUUAGUUCACCUAUAAAAUGGUCCUAAAAUAAUUAGUACACUAUGAUAAAUGUUAUUUUAACAACAAAAUUUUUUUUUACUAAAAGUCGGAAAUAUCCAUGACAUAUGUAUGAGGGAUAUUUUACCAUUUUUGUAUCUCACAUCCAAUCAUGAAAGUUAAUUUGAGAAAAACUAUUUUUGACAAUCGAAUUAUUUUGAAUUUAACCAACAAGUUGAGAUUUUUUAAACAAUAAAAGUGAAAUAUUUUGGGAACUUAGUUGUUUAUUUUCCCGUAAUAAAAAAUUUAAAAUAUGACAAAUUAUUCUUACAUAUUUUAUAAGGUCAUAUGCAAAAAAAAAAGUUUUCAUAGUAUAUUUAAAAUGCUUCGAACAUAUAACAUUUAUAAAUGAUACGUACAAUUGUAAGUUACUUUAAGUAAAAUAGUAAAUUUAUGCCACAAACUAUUAAGUUUUGAUGAUUAACCAAAUUUACUAAUCUAUCAACAAUAUUUACUAUUAAUCUAUAAAAACUUACUAUUACUUGAACUAAACUUACCCUCCAAAAACUAAGUUUCAGAUAUAGAGUAAUAUUUUAUUUCAUAAAAAACAAAGUUAGUUUCAUAUUUAUUCAAGUUUACUUUUUGAGACAUAAAAGUUACUAAUAUAUCGAGUUAACUUACUAUUCUUGAUGGAAAACUUACUAACCACCAUUUUAGGUACUAUUUCAUUUAGAUGACCAGUACAACAGGUCAUCAAAUGGUCGCUAAAAGUAUUUUUACCUGUUAUAUCAGGUAAAAAUAGUUUCGUUACCAUAACUAUCGUUACUUCAGACUUUUCCUGGAAAUGAAUAUGCUAUCGUUUGGGAAAAAAAAAAUAGCCUAGUCUUAGCUAUUAUUAGAGAAUUUGGGCUUGAUGAGAUGUAAUUCAUUAUUUGGUUUAUUACUUCUCCCAAUGCGAUUUUUUAAUUUUUUGGUGGGCAUCCAUCCCUUCAUUCCUGGGACAUUUUAGGCAGUGACAUUGCCACCGCUCUAAUUUUGAUGGCACAUAAGGCUUUUUAUUUAAAUGACAAAUUUGUCCUUAAGAGUCGAUAUUCGAAUUUGACAAGUUUUGCAUGGGACCCACACGCAUCAGCCCGUUCGGAGUCACCGCUUGUCAUCUCCCAUAUAAAAAUAAAAGAUUCGAAACAUGCCGUUUUAUUAGGGGCCAAAUAAGAUUGUUCAUAACUCACGGGGGUAAACUAUAAAUUAAUGUUUGAUUACGACUGAAUAUAAGGACAAUAUUGGUUGUUGAAACCUAUUGUCUAAUGGUUCAGUUCAAAGAGAAAAAAUAAAACAUAUUGUCUAAUAGUCAAACAUAAUUUUGAUUGACAGAAAGACAAAGUACUUCAAAAAUAACAUCAGAAGACAAAGUGCAAAUCUAUCCAAACAUCAAGGGAUUUAGUGCUAGUAACCCUUUCAAAUAAUAUGCUAUGCGAGAACGAUGAAUAGGAGAAAGCAUCUAAGUUACGUAACACAAGCAACCAUGAGGCUACGAUGAAUGGGAAAGAAAAGUACUCACUUGUGUAAAAAAAAUCAAGAAAAAAAAAUAAAGGAUACGAAAAACUCAUGAAUAAGAAAGGCAAAUACUUUUGCUUAACUAUAAUUCUAUCAAAUACCUCCCUUGAGGUAUACCAUUUAAAAAUUUCCUUUAGUCCUCUUGGGACUAAAAGGUUAGUUAAACAGAAAAUUUAACAAAUAUUUCCUCUGUCUCAAAUUGAGAGUCAUUUUUCAAAACUUUAACUUUUCAUCUAUAAUAGUAAAAGGUUGUUGUCGGGAUAUUCUUUUUCAACUUUUGUCUUUGCAUAAAGUUGUAUUUUGGUUAUUUGGAUUUGACAAAAUGAUGAUUGGGUCAUCCAAAUUAAAUGUUCCAAGAUAGAAACUUCAAACUACCUUCGGAUUAGUUGGAAUUACGCACCACUAUCCAUCAAAUAAUUUAGUGUUUAUUAUUAUGCGCGCACCAAGUUAUUGAUUGGAAAUAUCUUUGAUGGGUCCCGUGAAAAUUGUUUUUAUCUUUUUUAAGAUGUCAUUGAAGGAUAACUUUUGACAAAGUGAAAGAAAGAAGUAUAAUGUGGCUCAACUUUUGAGUUGACUGAAAAGGUGCAUUAUGAUAUUAAAGAUUGAAGGAAUAAAAUAAAAGACAAGAAUGAUGAUAGAAACAGACCAUUCUAUCAUCUUCCACAUCGGCUAGACUUUUUUUUUUAACGAUAACUGUUUAUCUUGCUUGUAUUUCUAUUUUAUGGAAGAGCUUAAAGAGGUUUAUGUAGAGAUUAGGAGGUGAAUAAUUACUGUGCUUUUUGAAUUUUCAAAGAGUAAUAAAUAUUGUUGUUCUUGUGUGAUGGAAUUCCGUCUAAAGAAUUUAAAAGGGACUCUCCUAAACUAUUAGAGCAAAGCCGAAUGGUUUUGAAAUAGGCUAGUUGCGAGGACGUGAUGUUUAUGGCAUUGGUCGAAUGACCAACUAUUAAAGUCAGUGAGAAAUCUGCACCCCACGUGUUAGACCCUGACAAAAUAACUGGAAUUCUGCGGGGCACAUGCUUCUAAUCGGAUAUAGGGCACAAACAAUCAUAAGAAGGAUUGUUCAAUAGCUGAAAUCCACCCCUAAUAUCUGAAAGACCCCACGCAUCUUUUCCAACAGAUUCCCCCUUUCCUUCUCAAAACUUAAUAUGUAUGCAAGUUUAUCUCUCUACUGAUUUUUUCCUUUUCUAGCUAGUGAGAGAUUCAUUUCAAAGUCACAAAUCAAAUCAAAAUUCCAUUUCAAAAAUUGAAAUUUUGAAAAAACCUGUUUGGCUCUAACAGAGUCUAUUAGGGUACAUAAUCGCUUUUUUUUUUUUUAUCAGCCAAACUAAUUGAAACGAGGUCAUUUUGGCUUUGCUGAUUCCUUGGCGAUGUGGCUAUUGCUAGAUCUCUUGUUUGGUGAUGCGAGAGGACUACUCCUGAACUGUUCUUCUAAUGAUCGUUUGUGCCUUGUAUCCCUUGUAAUUUGCGCUCUUGAUGACAGAUCCAUAAUGAAUUCAGUACCUAGCUAGUGUGGAAGCCAACUAAGAUUCAUAAAUUUAGUUGAAUAUUGUAGCCAUUAAAAAUUUUGGAGUCAUUUUCUUCAAAAAAAUAAAAAAGAUUUGCAGUCAUUAAGGAAUCUUGGACCCACAAAUUUGUCCAACUAGUUGAUUACGUCAUUGCAAACUUGUUGUAUAGAGUAGGGUUGCUGGCGAGUCAAACCGCUCGCAAGUAUUUCAUAAGAAGCUCAAUCAAAUGUUUGGCUCAAACUUGAUUUGAUCGAAUUCAAACUCAAUCUCGAGUAGCUAGAUACAUAUAUACGAAGUCGAGUUCGAGUCUCCAUUUGUGCUACACGAGUGCUCAUCGAGUAGCUUGAUUAUUAGUAUAUUAUUUCUAUUAUAUUUUUUUUUAAUUAUGAAAUGACUAAUGAGGGUUUAUGUUUUAAUUAACUUAUCGUAAGUGUUGUCUACUCAAUAAAAUUCAUGAAAGGCAAAAAUGUAAUAUUGUAAGAUCUAAAAAAAUGAGGAUUUUAGAUAAUUUACCAUAAAAUUUUAAAGUAUUUGUUUUCAAAAUUUUGAGUUUUAUUUCGAGCGCUGGUACUUGUUAAAGCUAGAGACUAGUCUCAGCCUUAACUAGUUGAGUUUGAGGUUGAAAAUGCAUAUUGUUGAGUUGAAUUGAGUUAUAUAAUUUUCUGCUUGCUCGAGUUGAGAUCGAGUUCAAGCAGGCUUGUGUAAUAUUGAAUUUGAGCUCAAGCAUAGCACUACUCAAUCUCGACUCGACUUGACUAGUUGAUACUCCUAGGAUAGAGGGCAGCUUGUCAACAAGCCUAGGGAAUGUCUUGUCCAGAACCGUCAGGUUGUAACUUUUGAAGAAAAAUUUUACAUUUUUCGUAAUCACAUUUUUUUAAUUUAGUUUUCUAUUUUACAUACAUGUAAUCAUUGGAAAAAUAUUUUUCUAUCAUUCGGUUUGCUAAUUAGAAAAGUUAUGACUAUGCAACUCUCUAUUUUUUUUGAGCAAAAUCUUACAAAUUUUGUGGGAACAAAAUGCAGAAGGUUUCAAAAGAAGUUAGACCCCAUUCUGAUUGCUAUUUUUUAGAAUUUUUAUAGAAAAAUUUACUGGUACAAUUUGAUGAUGUAUGCAAAAAAAAAAAGAUGAUUAAAAAAUAAAUUCACCAAAAAUAUAAAGGUUUUUGAAUUUGAAAAAUAACAUUUUAAACAAGGCCUAAUUAAAAAAAAAAACUUUAUAGCUUUCUUGCACGCCAGACACUUAGGGGUAGACGCAAGACAAGUACCCACUGCUCAAAUGUAAAUUCAUUUUCACAAGUGCCUAGCAAAUACUUGUUAGAUAAAUUGUUUUUGAAUUGGUUUACCAUGUCAGCACAAUAUUUUAGAGAAUAUACCAAUGUCUUCGUCAAGCUUUUCUAUGUCAAUUAUUUUUGUCGUUACUAAGAAAGGCCGAAAAGCCAUCACCUUGGUCGAAUACCCAGCUAUACUUAACCUUUUCCUAGUCAUUGAGAAAUAUGCCUUUUGCAUAGCGCUGCAAACGAAUCGAGCCGCUCGCGAGCGGGCUACAAACGAAUCGAGCCGCUCGCGAGCGGGCUACAAACGAAUCGAGCCGCUCGCGAGCGGUUCGAGUCAAGCUCGAGUCGAGCUCGAGCCGGCUCGAGCUCCAGCUCAGAAUAUUAAGCUCGUUAGCUCGCGAGCCUGGGGUAUAUAUAUAUAUUUUUUAUUUUUAUUUUUAUUUAAUAAUAAAAUUACGUAUAUUAUAAAUAUAUUUUUUUUAUUUUUUAUUUUCAUAGUAAAAUUACGUAUAUAUCCUUAAUAUUUUAUUAUUUAUUAAGAAAAAAAUAUUAUUUUAUUUAUUUUUGUUAAAAUAAAAUAAUUAUUUUUUAUUUUUUUUCGAGCUCGAACUCGGCUCGACUUGAUUCGAGUCGAGCUCGAGCUCGAAAUUUGCAGGCUCGUCGAGCUCGAGCUCGAGCUUGAGAUUGGUAAAAUUUAGUCGAGACUCGGCUCGAUUAGCUCAAAACUCGACUCGGUUCGACUCAUUUGCAGCCCUACUUUUGCACCCCACAUGUUGGACAAAAUUUGCAGUAAAUCUGCGUCCCACGUAUACGUAAUCUGCCUUCUUAUUUAUGGAUUCGUCUAUUGUACGCGACUCAGAAUAUCGAUAAAAAAAAUUCGAACAUUUAUCGGUCUGACAAGAGGUAACUAUAAAACUAUGUCAGCUCAGCAGUCAAAAAGCCCAAUUUUUUUUUUUUAAACUCUGACACUGUUGUCGGGCAGCAAACACAGCCCGGCAGCAGACAAAAAAAAAUUUUUUUUAAGGCCUGCCCAGCAGCCAAUCCAAUUUUAAAAAAAAAAAUUUCCAAACAAUGAAUCAGAGUUGCAACAGGUAUUUACUGCAUUACAACUGCUAAGGCAAGAGCAAGCUACAACAAGAAUAUCCCGACCAGGGGCGGAUUUAACUGGGGGCACAGGCCCCCACUGUCCCCCUUAAAUUUCUAUAAUACAUCUAUAAUUUUGACAUAAUUUUAAAAGUGUCUCCAGAAUUUUUUUUAGAAAAAAUAUGAAAGAAUGAAUCACAAAAUUUAUAUCAUUCACUUUUCUCCUCUAGUCCCCAUUUUCCUCCCAAAAGGGCUAAGUACCAAUUAUAUCGGUCAUUCCUUUUGGUCCCCACUCCCCAAGUUCCCUUUACUCUUGUGGUCCCCCAUUUCCCUUCACAACUGGCUCCUAUUCUUCCAUAUUCAAGCCAACUACUCUUUUUUUUAUCACUUUAUCCAAUUAUCAUUUACUUCCUUUGUCCCCACUCUCCAAUUUUCCUUUCCUUCUCUAGCUCUCGGUUGUCCCCACUCCCCAACAUACAUACGAGAGCCAUUUUUUCUUCCACAAUCAAAGCUUGUUACCCUUUCUGUUGAUCACUUCAUUCGAUUUAGAGAUUGCACCAGAAUCAAUUGAUCUUCUAGGACCUGGGUCUGCCACAUUUUGCAGCUCUUUUCAUCAACUUUAGGAGACCAUCAAAAUCAAGUUCUAAACAAUUACUUAUUAUUAUUAUUAUUUCUAAUUUGUUUGCAAAUAUAUUUCUAGAGCAUGAGGCUAUUACUGUUUUAAAGAAAUUUGAAAAUUGAUUAGUUAAUGCAAUAACUAAUAAAUGGGUUAUUUGAUAAAUAUUUUAACUUGUGAAAUGGUGAUUUUAUGCAUGAGACUUUUUUUUUUUUUGCUUAAAAAAAAUUAGAAAAAGAGUAGAUAAAAAAUUUUAAUGUUAUUUUUGCCUCCACUAAAAUUUUUUUCUGGCUCCGCCCCUGAUCCCAACCACAAUCCGGAACCAUCUCUCACCAGCAGACUUUAUGUGGUUUCUGAGAUUCAGCGCAACAAAGGUUGGAGACAUGAACCCCGCUACACCGGCAAUCACCCAUCUGACUAUCUGUGAUGGAAUAACAGAGAGACACUGCAAGCAGAAAUGAAUCAAUAAUUCAGCAGAAAAUCAUUUCAUCAAGAAACAUCAACAGAGGAAUCCGACAAUUUGAUGCACAAGGGGAGGUUGUCAUCCACAAGUAAAUGUGACUUUCUUUCAAAGAAAUUAAUGAUUGUAGGAAUUUAAUAAAUCCAGCCUCACUUAAGAAACACAGUGAAUUAUUAAAAGAUAUUUGACAAAAUCAUUGUUGGCCACGUUGAAAAUUGCGCAUACAUGAAAAAAUUCUGUAAUUUUAUGCUAAACAGUAUGUGCAUAAUUUAAAAGUCCUUCAGCAGCAUUAGAUAAUCAUAACCAGCCAAGUAGCAGCUUACCAGAGCAGGAAUGAAAACAAAUAGGGAGUAGCCAUAGAGACAAAACAGCUGGACAAGGCCAGAUGGGGCAGAGAAGUAUUUGAGAAUGUGAUACAAGCCAACAGGAACUAUCGUAGCCACAAGCCAGCAGACCAAGUCACCAAAUUGAUAUCGUAGUCCUAUUCCUUUUUCUGCAGCUUGUGUGACAAGUAUGUAACAAAUGUGCCAAUGGAAGCUGCUACAAAUAUUGAACUAGUGUAUAUCCAGAAUUGCCCGUACCUGCAACAAAUAUUAACAUAAAGCUAUGAAAAAAAUCACCUUUUUAUGAAGUAGAUGAUGGAAGCAACACUCCCCUUUUAUUCCUUAUGAUAUAAACAUGUAUUUAAGAUAAAAGGGUAGCUGGAAGUGUUCAAAAUACACAGUAUCUAAAGACAUUCCUUUCUUUCCAAAAGGGUGCAAAUAUCUAAAUUUGAUAUAUCUAAACAGAGCUAAUUCAGCUAUUUAAUCCAAAAACUAUAAUUCCUAGAAUCAGCACAACAAUCAUCGCAAAAUAGUAUGCUUAUAUGGACUGUUAAGAUGAACAGAUAAAGCACAAUGCAUCUUAAAAUAUCCUGCGAUCCUGUUUAAGAAAAAGAAAAGGAAUAGCAUGUGCUCUGGAAAUACACACCUUCUGUUUUCGCUUUGGAAAAAUUUUUUUUUUUAAAUUGGACUGCCGGCAGCCAGCAGACUUAUAAAAAAUAAAAAAAAAAAUUUGUCUGUUACCGGGCUAUGUGAGCCCGGCAGCAGUAUCAGAGUUUUUAAAAAAUUUUGGGCUUUUUGGCUGCUGGGCUGACGUAGUUUUGCAGUUACCUCUGUCAGACCGAUAAAUGUCCGACUUUUUUUUUUUUUUUUUUUGAUAUUCUGAGUAAUUAGCCAUGGUAGGCAUCCUCUACGGUUCCUAUCCUAGAUAAAGGAGCAUAGAGAAAUCAAAAGGCGACGGAUUAUGAAAAGUGUUAACGCAACUGGCUUAGUGGUCUGAACUAUACAAAGACCGAUGGCCAAGAUUCGCGCUCAUGGGGGAAACUAGUAGAUGACCAGGGUAAAGAAUUAUAAACAAAGAAAUGAGACAAAGAAUAAAAAAUAUGCAUUGGCAGCGGAGGAAGCAUCCGAGCAUGUAAAUGAAUGCACAAAAUAUAAGGUGUGGGUGUGAUACAAAAGAGAUAUAAGGUGUGGGUGUGAUACAAAAGAGUACCCAAGUGCAACUUGUUGGGAAUCUCUUUGCAGUUAUUGGCACAGUUAUUAAACCCAAUCCGAUAAGGAAUUCGGCAGUGGGAUUGGAUCAAUGGGUCACUGGUUAUUGGUUGAUCCGAUGAGUAUUAAUUUAAUAUUUAUAAAUAUAAAAUAGUAAUUUUAAUAAAUAAAAUAUAUAAUAAAGUGCUUUUAGAUACUAAUUAUUGUACUUAGAAAGAUAUAUAAUGAAUAUAUAUAGAUAUUAAUAGAAGAUUUAAUUUUAUUUUAUCAUACUUUUACAUAAAUAAAUAAUAUAGUCAAGUAUAAAGCAAAAUUAUAUCACUUGUUUUAAAAAAUAUAGCAUUAUUUUUCAUUCUUUUAUUUUUUUGUUUAAAAACAAAGUAAUUUUCUAACUACUCAAAUAUUGUCAGUUUGAAGUUAAAAUGAUUAAUUGUAUAAUGAAAAAAAUAAAAAAGUUUAUUAAAAAUUUUAGUUAUCAAAUAAAAAUUAAGCAAGUGGUAAAGUCUUGUGCACAUUUAAAUGAAGAUCCAUUGUACAAAUUUUGUCAAAAGUAUCUAUAUACUUUAUUUCGAAAACAAAGAUCUACAAUUGUAAAAUAAAAAAAGAAAAUGUAAAUCGGAUCAAUUGAAAAAUUAGGCAGGAUUCUGAUUGAAUCUCUAGCUCAAACGAAUUUUACUGAAUCAAUUCCUUGUCCGAUCAAAGUAGAGACCUGCCCGAAUCAUCAGGCUAAGCUAUUCAACUACCAUGCCGGGGAGGUUGAAUUUAAUAACUACAGUUACAAGAGAGGUUGACGGAGCAAUGAGCUCGAAGGUGAUGAAUGCAAUAUUAACAAAUAAAAGAAAAAUAUAAGCUAUUAAAUAUGCAACCUUCGCGAUGGUCAUGCAUAGUGAUUUAUGUAUCCAAUAUUUAAUACUUUUUAUUUUCAUAUUCGUUUGUAUUUAUUUACAUGUUCCUCCACUAUCAGUGAUUAUUUUUUGUAUUCUUUGUUUCAUUUCUUUAUUUAUAAUUUUUUAUGUAGAUCAUCCACUAGUUCCCCACAAGCUCGUGGAUCUCGGCCAUUGUUCUUUGUGUAUUUCGGACCCCUAGCCAGUUGCAUUAAUACUUUUUGUAACGUAUCAUCCUUCUGCUUUCCUGAAGCUCCCUUAUAAACGGUAGUUUCUGAACAGGGUACGCAUAAUUGACGGAUCCCGAUAAUAUAGAUCCAUCAAGAAUUCAUUAUCUACUGUGGAAGCAAACAGAAAAUUACGGGAAAGAAUCCAAGAAUCAUGAUGUUGGCCGAUUGUAUCAAUUAAAACUGUUGGAGUCAUUAAAGGAUCUUGCGUCCGACGAAUCAGGCCAGCUAAUCGAUCGCAAAACUUGUUGAAUAAAGAGACAGCCGAGCACCACGUUAAAUAUCUAGAGUAAUGAUUUUUCCCGCACUUUGCCUAAUGUUCUUGAGAACCACAAUGCCAGAGAUAAUUUCAUUUUGCAUCCUUUGACUAUAUUUAAAUUUUCACUGUGGUACCUAGAUUUUAAAAUGAGGCACUCUAAUCCUUAAAUUAUAAAAUUUGUCACACUUAAGUAACAUUAUUAAGGAAGUGACAUUUUAUGCAUAAGUGGAUAGACUGUGGGGAUUAAAUGAAGGCAAGUUUCAUACUUUAGGGACUAAAAUGGAUAACUUUUAUAUUAUAGGGACUAAAAUAUGAUAAAUUUUAUAAUUUAGAGAUUAAUGUGUUCCAUUUUAAAAUUUAGGACGAAAUAUGGAAAUUUGAGUCCAAUUAAAGGUACAAAGUAAAACUAACCCUCAAUACCAUGUUACACAAGUUGUCAGGAAUUCUUGGUCAUGGACAAAAAAAUGAGAAUUAUCAUUGAAUAAAUAUGCAGGCUACCCAAACUUUCCUAAAUUAAAUCUACAUCUUUUGGAAGCUCGAAAAUACUACAAUGGCCAUAAUUCCCUCUGUAUAAUUUGACUGCAGACACUAGAUGAAAAAUCACACUUAGAAAUAAGUGUUCAACAGAUUUUUAUUUCGCUUGCACAGAAAGUACACCAAAUAUCAACAGCAUUUUAUGAAAUUUCAGUGUAACUUGUUUUUUUAACUCUUUAAUAUCACUAUAACUUACUCUCGAAUGAUUGUCUUAUUGCACUACAUAUUUGUGGUUAUUUUAGGAUAACAUUUUGUAUUAUGCAAAAGACGUUUAUGCAACAUAACUUCAAUGCUAUAGGUCCACAGCCACACCAUCAUAAUAACCAUAAAUAAAUAUAAACUCAAAUGUAUCAUAUGCUGCUGCUCAUUUAUUUUAUCUAGGAAAAUAAUAAACCGAACAGGCGACGACUACAUUUCUUGGAUUUUUGUUAAUCAACUAAACUUGGUAUGCAAAGUGAUAAGAAGAACAGUCUGCUUUUUCUGAAAUAACAAAUAUGCUUCACUAAUUGACUUUUUUUUUUUUUUUUUUGCUUUCUAAAGUGAGAGUGGUGGUAAAAAAAAAAAAAAGAUUUUCUUACGGUCAUUUUUUAAGGGGUUGAUCGGGGUCAAUAACUUCAUGUGAUAGUUGAAUGAGAAGAACUGUAAAACUUGACUUAGAGUUAUUUUGGUGUGCUCACUGGAUUUUCUCAACUUCUAUGCAGUGUUUUGAAAAUCGGACCAGACCGGCCAGUUCGACCGGUUGAACCGCGAAACGGCCAUGGCACCGGUCCGGUUCCAUGCUUAGGUUGACUUUGCCAGAAAACCGUUCAAACCCGGUAAAAACCGUCAAACCCGUUGAAUCGGAUUGAACCGGUUUUCAAGUUUUCCCUUCUUUUUUUUUUUUUUUUUUUUUUUGCAAAAUGUUUCUAUCAAAAUUUGAACUCAAGACCUUUGCAAUAGAAGACCAAUGUAAUAACCAUUGCACCAUCACAUCUUAUUUGCUUUUUAUGAUAAUUUAUUUAUAUAAAACAAACAUCUAUAUUUCAUUUUUUCAUUUUUCUUACAAAAUCUCAUUCUCUCAUGACUCUUUCUUUUUCAAGUCUCUCUUUCUCUCUCAUCUUUUCUUUUGUCACUCCCUUUUUUAAUCAAACCUCUUUAGUUUUAAUUUAUUGAUGUUUUCUUCUAUCUUUUAAUUUUGUUUUUGUCCAUUAAAUUGGAAAAAGUUAAAAAGGAAUUAUUUUUCUUUAACCCAAAUUAUUUAAUGCCACAACCACUCACUUUUAUCUCAUUUUUUGUUUCUUAUCAAGUUUGCAUUUUUAUUUUCAAUUCUCUUGACUUCUUUCGAACUCCAAACUUUCUUUUUUAAAUUACAAUAUUUAAAUCUCAAAUAUGUAAAUUAAAAUUUAAGUUCACAAUGUCAAAUUCUCAUAGACAUGAAUUUUGUAUAAUUUCAAAAUAUUGUGAUAUUUUUGGAUUUUUUUGGUAGAUAUAAUUAAAAUUGAGAUGAAAUUUAUUUGUCUUAACUUAUAAUUUAAAAAAUUUAUUUUUGAAAAUCCAAAUUAUUCAAAAAUAGUGAACUUUUCAUCAUAUAAAGUUUUAAAUUAGUCCAUUGCAUGUCUUAUUUUGUGCAUAUAUAUUUAUAUAAAUUAUUUUUUAAAAAAAUCAUUGAACCGAGGUUGAACCGGUCCGACCGGUUGAACCUCGACCCUUUCACCUCACCGGUUCAAUUGAUGGUCCAAGUUUUAAAACAUUGCUUCUAUGUAGCGCUUUCAAUCAGGACUUGUAAGCUAACUAUGAGCAUGCCUAAGUUCGGCUCGCAAAAGAAAUAGAGCUUUCGAACUAUAGAUUCAAGCUCAUAUUUAGAAGGCUCAUACUCUCACAAAAUUUUUGAUGUUUUAGGCAUAAAUUGGACUCGACCAAAGCUCAGAAUUGAAUAUAUAAUUAUACAUAAUACAUGUUUGAUGUUGAUGUAUUAUUACACCGUUAUAUAUAAAUUAUUAAUUUUUAACAUUAAAAUAUGUACAAUUAUAGAUUAUAUACAUUAUUAUAUAUAUCAUAUAUGUGCUUAAAUAUAUAAUUACUUGGGUUAAGGCCUUAAACCAGCAUGUAUUGAAAUCAGGCCUUAUAUUUAGGCCUAAACACUUCUGGACCCAAUUCGACAUCAGGCUCAAUCCUACUGUUUUCGGGCGGAGUGGGCCAAGACUGGUCAAAUUAAAUACAGUACUUAGCCAAUGGUUUCUUAAUAUAUCGUUGAGAUCAAUAAACCUCUAUUUUUGCUCGACGAACAUUCUUCAUUUUAUAAAGGGAAAUUUGCCAAAUUGGUCCCUAACAUUUGCCAAAAACACUUUUUUAGUCCCUAAUAUAUAAAAUCAGCCAAAAUGAUCCUUCACAUUUAAAUUAUGAGCCAAUUUGGUCCUAUUGCUCGUUUUUGCUCAUUUCUCCAGCUAAAAAUAGCACGCCCCCCUCACGUGGUCAUAUUUUUAGGGGCAAAACCGGAAAACACAUUUCAUUACCGGUUGAAAGAAGCCAUCUUUCCUUCAUCUAAUCACCUCACUAACCCAUUGAAAUUGAAGAGGGAAAAUACAGUAGCAAGAAAUUGGGAAGAAGAAGCUGACCUUUGUAGAGUAAAAUGGAUCCAAACGAGCUAUGUCUUUGUGGAAAGGAACCCAUCAUUGUGACUUCUUGGAAACCUACAAAUCUGGGGAGAAGAUUCUAUGGUUGUCCAAAUUAUGGAGUAAGUUUUCUUGAAAUUUCAGGUCAGUUUGGGUUUGGGAUGUGGGGUUAAAAUUUGGUCUUGAUAUCUGAUGUUCUUCAUGCAUUUUAGGUAACUCGUGCUUGUGGCUACUUCAAGUGGUAUGACCCGCCAAUGUGUAGUAGAUCUGUGUCAAUAAUACCUGGUCUAUUAAAAUCAAUCAACCGGCUACAAGCUGAUCAAGAACAGAGAAUUCGAAGAGAGAAAUUGCUUUGGGCUGCUUUGGUUGCCUCUUGGAUGUGCACUUUGCUGUUGUUAAUAAGCUGGAAUUAAACAAAAAUUGGAAGAUAGUUAUUGGUGGGUCUAACAGGUUGUUUUAAUUCUGUCUGGCUUUAUGGAGGAUGUGAAUCCGAGAGCAUGUAGCAGCAUCCAAAAUAUGAGGAGGCUUUGUUGUACUUGCUGCACUUUUGUUAAUGGUUGUGUAAUAGUAACAGCAGCACUUUUGGUAAUUAUUGUGUAAUAGGAAAGGCUCAUGUUUGUACCAUUAACAAUUAUGAAUGCAAAGCUGCUUUUUGGUCAAUUGAUUGUCGGAAAGGGAAAUUUGCUAAUGUAAAAGUGAAGAUGAUGAAUGGCCAUGUCUCUUAACAUUGAAUUUGAAGACAAUAAGCUGCAGAUACACUCAAAUUUAAACAUCAACAAUUGAUAAGAAUGGAUGUAAAAAAACUGGAAAUUUGUGGUCAAGACUGAGAAUCAAUCCCUUGGAUAAUUAAGGUGCCUUUUGCUCCAUUUUCUACUGUGCAUUGCAAAUGUAAUUCUGUGUAUAACUCUGUUCAGAGAUUUCUUUAGUAACUUGUUGCUCAUGACUAACAAUUUCACAGGAACAAAUAUAAAAUUCCAGAAACUGAAAAUUCAAAACCUACAAGAUAUUGUUAAUGGAAACUUUACAACCAAAUGUAUGUUUACUAAACCAAGUUAAAAGUAUCAAUAUGAUCUAAAUAAAAUUGUUACAGCUAGUCAAAUCUUAAAGAGCUACAUGGUUAUUGAUCAUUUCUGCUGCUGGUCCAGUCCCAACAACAAAGAAAAAUGUACUAUCAACUUCUUAAGGACCCCAUUUUGGUAGCAAUAGUGCAAAUAUCUAGAUACUACAGCAACAUGCAUGGAAGUUCUCUUGCCAACUGUUUCAGGUGAUCCCAUAAAUGUAUCAUAUCAACCAGAUAUUGGAACCACAUAACAGUACAAACAUAAAAAAUAAGAUCAGAUAUAGCAGGAUGGUAACAUCUUGUCCAUCUCCUUGAUCUAUGGAGCCAAGCUUGCUGAACCUAAUACAGUAUGCAAAAUUUUUCAAAACAUCAGAGGCUAAGGAGGCACCAAAAUUGAUCUCUCAUAACAUGCACACAGAAAUUAUUUACUUGCUUUAGACUAGCCAAGAACAGAAUUAUACCCGUCCAAAAUACUUAAUAGAGGGAAAAGAAACUUGGCCAAACUCAGUUCCACAAAAGAUAAGAAACCAAGAUGCUUUUUACAGAAAUGCCAAAAACUAACAGUAAAAUAUUUAUAGCAAAAACUAAUAACCAAGAUGCUGUUUACAGCAGUGCUAAAGUCUUAGCUCAAGUCGUAAUACAUGAACUAUAAUAUCCCAAAAGCAAAAUACAACAUAAAAGCUGUAACUAAAGCCACCAAAAGAUGCUUAAACAAGCCACCAGCACUUCAGUUUUUCUUUUGCUUUUUACCGAUCUUUGAAGAUUCAUGUGCCUGCCCUCGAGAAAGCUCUGCAACAGUGAAAGUGCACCAACCUUUGGUGUGACCAUAUUGGUAGCAGAUAGAGCACUUGUACUUCCCAAUAUUCUCCAUCUUGACAAUUUUAACGAAGGCUUGUUAGAUAACAUAAAGGUAAAAUAUAAGUAUUUGACAAGCAAAAGAUGUUUAUGAUACUCACUGGAGUAUUUGCAGCAGUAGAAUGGUUUGAUGUAGAUUGUUGACUUCCCAAUGGUGCAUCUGCCAUGACAUCCUCAGACAUCUGAGUAUUUGACUUAGGAACUGGAGGUGUAGGUGUAACAAAUCCAUGUGAAUCAGUCUCAGCAGAGGCAUUUUGUGUCUGGCUUGGACACUUCCUACUAUUGUGGGCCAGUCUUGUUACAUUUUUGACACUUAUACACCAUCUGCCCAGUUCUAGACAGCUUUUGCUGCUGCUUAUUUUGCUUUUUACCUGAUGCUGGCUCCUCUGGCUCCCUUCGUCUAGCCUUUCGUGGUCUACCAGGAAGUUUUAUGUUCUCAGGAGGUAGCACGGGCGGCAAGUCAGAAUUUUUCCACAUGUGCUCAGCAUUCAUUGGACUUAUCAUGGGUUCAUAUGCCCUCAUGUAAGCUUCUUUGGAGUAGCAAUUAUGUACAAACUUCUCGGGUUCCUCUCCAGUGUCACAAAUUGCAGCAAUGGCAUGUGCACAACGAAUGCCAUUAAGAUCCCACUUUCUACAACUACAACAUCUACUAAUAAGGUCCACAGUAUACCUAUCACCAUACAUGCACCUAACUUCAAAUUUCCAGUCCUUGGAGUGGCUAGGAAUGCAGUCAUUUGCAGCAAGCUUAUUUUUCUCUAACUUUUCAGAAUUUUAGGACAUAUCUCCCCAGUGUAUUUCUUUUUCCAUUCCCUCUUUUUUUCUAUUCUAACCAUUAAGUAAAAUCUAAUGGUCUCCAACAUGUCAAGAAUUGGUUUCUGCCUAGCAUCAAGGAUUGUGGAGUUAAAACUUUCACACAGAUUAUUCAACAAAAUAUCACAUUGUACACUUGUUCUAAAAUGUGAUCUUGUCCACUCCUUUGGAUAAGUAUGACUUACCAACCAAUUGUAAGCACCUUUAUCAACCUCUUUUAGUGACUCCAUCAAUCCAGCAAAUCUGUCCCUAUAAGAAGCUCGUGCUGCAACCCAUAUCCUUUCCUUAAGAGCCAGGUCUGGAUGUUGUUUUUUGAAAUUAUUAUACAUGUGCCGUACACACAUGCGAUACUCAACCCCUGGCAGUACCUCUUGAAUAGCUUGAACUAGCCCCUGUAUAAAUGAAAUAAAAAAUCAAACUUAUAUUACUGUCACUAAGUAUUAUCAUAACAACAAGACUGAUAAAAUUAGUUAUAUAUUACCUUUUGCUUGUCGGUUAUAAAUGUCCAAAUGCUUUCAUCAAUAAUUUCAAGGUCACCCUUUAGCUUUUCUACAAACCAUUUCCAAGAGUUCUUAUUUUCAGUCUCAACUACAGCAUAUACUAUCGGAAAUAGUUGAUUAUUUGGAUCAAUUCCAACGGCUGUGAGAAGAACUCCCUUGUGACAGCCUCUUAAGUGACAUCCAUCAAGACCUACAACAUAUCUACAACCCUGCAAGAACCCUAUUUUACAACCAUCUAGACACACAUAGAAUCUAUGAAACUCAUCAUCACCUUCAUUAUUCUCAGUUAUAGUCAUGAACACAUUAAAGUCAGGAUUUGCCUUUUGAAGUUCUUCACAGUAGCUCCAAAGUUUGCUGUACUGGGACAUGACAUCACCAUGUAUCAUCUCUUUAGCUUUUGCCUUUACCUUAUACCCCACAUUAGGUGUGAUACUAACUCCCAAGUCCUUGUGGACCUUUAUCAUAAAAUCACCUACAUUAAAAUUUGGGUUCAGCCUAAUGUCUUCUAAAUACUUGUUGGCCAAAUAUGUCACACUUGCCAGGCCACGAUAGGUUGUCCUACCACAAGUGUGAGUUAGCAACAUGCUUUUGAUUUGGAAUGUCACUUUAUCACUCCUAACUGAGCAAUAUAUGUUCCACAUGCAUCUCUUGCCUCUACAUAUGGCUUUGCAUCUGUUUGAAUCAUUUUUCUUAAACCUGAUUUUUCUUCCAUACUUCACUCCAUGUGAUUUUGCAGCAUUGAUAAAGUCAGCCUUACACUUAAAUAAUAACCCAAGUUCAAACUUUGGGUCAUCCAUCUUUGUUGCAGGAUUGAAUACUCUAAACUUCUUUUUGUCCACAUCCUUAAUCCCUCCUUCAUCUUCAGAACUCUCAUUGCUGUGCAGCCCAUCAUGUGAUGAAUUAUCUGACUCCUCCAUGCUGCAUUCAUUAUCUUCUUCAUUAACAGCAGUUUCCUGUACCUUUUCUUUACCUUUUUUUGCUGUCUUGAACUGUUUAGCAACAUUAGUCCAAUCUGGAGGCAUUUCACUAAUAGAUUUCAUUAGCUCUUCCUCAUCACUUAUAGCAUAUUCGCUAUCAUACAAACUCUCAGGAUCACUUGAGACAAUAUCCUCUAUGAUCUGCUCUUUAUUUUUUUUGAAUGACUUUUUACCUUCAGCCUUUCUAUUUGAUGUCUUCCUUGACUUAGUUCGUGCUCUUCUUCCUUGUCUGCUUCUGCCAUGUCUUUCAUUUUCAUUACCAUCAAUUUUUGUAACUCCAUCAGUUGCAUGUUCACCUACAUCAGUUUCUACAGCCUCAGCAGUCUCAUAUUCAGCAGCAUCAAGAGUUUUAUCAUCAACAGCAUGACUUUUUGUAGUUUCUCCACUCUCAUGUUCAGCAGCAUGAGAUGCACUUUGGUAUGAUCCACUCCUGCCACUAACACCACUCUGAGCAGUAACAUCUUGAUGGCCAACAUUCUUUCUCCUCUACUGCAUUUUCAAUCUUUUUGCAGGUGAAGUUCUCUUCUUCGCAAUCUAUUUCAUCCUCUUACCAGCACAUGAAGGAGUUCCUCCAUCCAUGUUAGAGUCUUGAAAACCACCAUCAGUAGCUGGUGUUGGUGUGGGCACAUGUACAGAUUCUUCUUGACCAUUCUCUGGUGUGGCCACACGUACAGAUUCUUCAUUAUUUCUGUUACUAUCAUGCCUUCUUCCUUCAUCAUCAACAGCAAAAUGAGGCAAAUUAUAUGUUCUUCGAUGAAUGAAGAACACAUCAACUAACCCAUACAUACUCCCUAAUUUAGCCAAUUCAGCAGCAUCAUCCUCUUGCAACAUAUACACUAAUCCAUCUGCCAUAUUCCUACCAGGAAUCAGGUAGUAGUAACCCACUGUAUAAGGCUCAAAUCCAAGUUUAUUAGCUAUUUCGUCCAACUUACACAGAGACCAUUUUUCUGGAUUACAAUCAUCGACUAUGUCAACCGAACCUCCUACAUAGUCUCUAUUUCCUGUAUCUCUAAGUUCACCUCCAAAGUGUAUACGAAUAGAAAAAUGCAUCUCAUUGGCCCCUGUCAGCCAUUAAAAUGACAAUUACUUUGGACCAAGACAGAAAGGUGGAGGCUUUCAUAAUAAAAAUGGGGACCACAGUAAAACUAAAUAAAAAUUGGGGACCACAGCAAAACUAAGUAAAAUAAUGAACAAUCUUCAAUUAAUUAACAUAAAAUACAGUCCUAAGCAAGAUUCGUCAACAAUUGCUAACCACAUUGGUAAAAAAAAAAACUUACCGUAACCCUUUGUGAAGUCCCAUUUUCCCGAUUCAUUCUGCAUCUUUUCGAAGAUUUUCUUCACGAUUUUCUGGCCAAACCUUCAAUCGUUUCUCAAUCACACCUUACAGGUUUGUCGUCGUCAUCAUCGGCAGUACAUUUCCAAGUUAUGCUUGUUAAUUUGGGGAUGCAAUUAGGGUUUCUUCAAACUGUAAUUUGAGGGCCAAAGGUGAAAUGUGUAUUUUGCUGGUGGUCCCCUAUCCUUUUGCCUUCAACCGGUAAUGAAAUGUGUUUUCCGAUUUUGCCCCUAAAAAUAUGACCACGUGAGGGGGGCGUGCUAUUUUUAGCCGGAGAAAUAAGCAAAAACAAGCAAUAGGACCAAAUUGGCUCAUAAUUAAAAUGUGAAGGAUCAUUUUGGCUGAUUUUAUAUAUUAGGGACUAAAAAAGUGUUUUUGGCAAAUGUUAGGAACCAAUUUGGCAAAUUUCUCUUUUAUAAAUCUAGAGGAGAGUUAACAGGGAGCAAGACGGAGGAGAAGAAACUCUUACCUACAUAGGACAAAAAAAAAAAAAAACGACUCAACAGGGCAUAGUAACCACCGUGACUUUUGAGGUUAACUUGGGAGUUAGGUUUAACUACUUAUUUCUAAAUAUCUGAAAAAAAAAAAUAAACAGGGCAUAGUAGCUGGCAAUUGCUUAAUGAUGGGGAAGAAGGGCCAGUACAAUUCAGAUUUUCGUACAAUUGCACGGUUGUAAUACAUUUCACAUGAUUUAGUGUAUAUUUAUAUUUUUUUUGUUAUACAUUUAAUUUACGUUCUUGUACACAAAUUUAAUAAUUUAAUACAAUUACGAUUGUAAAUGUACGACACCUUUUAAAAAAAAGUACAAUAACUCUAUCGAUUGUACAAUAGGCUCAAUUAUACUGCCCCUCUCCAAUGAUACGCAAGUCUUGGACGAUACAUGAGAAAUUCUAAAACCGACUUCGUUCUUUCUCAUUAUACAUCAACACAACUAUUAAUCAUUUGAUCGGCUGGCAGUCAUGUGUACUCAUUCUAACCACAAAAGGUGCGUAUGGAAUAUGUAUGUAUCUACGUUUACUGGUGUCAAUAACAAUCCAAUUAUAUUUAUUCAUCUAAAUUCGUCUAUCAAUAAUUCAUCCAAAUCUGUCCAUUAAUUUUAAAUGGACCUAAAUGGGUAUCCAGCAAAACUUAUUUAAUUGAUAGAUAGUGAGUUGACUCGAUUCACCAAUUUUAAAAAAAUUAUAUAUUUAAAUUCAACUUUUAGUAAGUGUUAAGAAAAUAAAUUUGAAUUUCUUACCAAUCUAAUAAUAAUAAAAUAUUAUUAUUUCUUGUUAAACAACAUGUGCAAAAUAAAAAAAUAAGUAGAAUUUUGAUCGACUCAUAAAUGGGUAAUUGGCUAUACCCAUACCUAUUUAUUAAAUAGGUAUAAAUAGGUUGACUUAAUUAUAUCUAUAACCCAAUUAUGAGACACUCUUAAACUUGCCCAAAUCACUUAUUUUGACACCUUUAUUUACAUCCAUCACAGUUAGAUUAUGUAUAUUGAGAAGGAAAAUAAGUUGGUAAGGAUUAACCCUUGAUUUCUAUUCUAUGAUCACCGAUCAUAGAAGUCCCUUUUACCAUUCUGUAUAAAUCGGCUAUUCUAUUUGUACAGAUAUGGUAGAGGGGUACAUUCAACCCUUGUUUGUCUAUUAGUUUUCGGUUUUUCUCCUCAGCGCGGGGUAGAGCAGGUCUCUUAAAUACCCUAUUGCAGAUUUUUUUUUCUUUUCAGUUUUCCCUUUUCUUUUUGCAACUCUUAGAGCAUCGCAGACGACUCAUCGAGGGGAACCGGCUGUGGUUUUCUCUCAAGCAGAUCUCACCUCCCUUGCACUUCCAUAUAAAUUUGCUUUGGUGGGGAAAUUCUCCAAGGGACGUCCGUCCAUGGAGAACUUACGAAAAUUCAUAAAAACGCUAGACUUGAAGGAGAUGGCCUCUGUUGGUCUGCUAGAUUCCAGGCAUGUUCUGCUCAAGAUGGGAAACGAAGCUGACUUUCAUAGAAUGUGGUCUAGAGGGAUCUGGUAUGUUUCUGGGUCUCCUAUGAGGGUUUUUAAGUGGGCACUAUCCUUCCAUGUGGACAAGGAGCCUUCGGUGGUACCGGUGUGGUUCCAACUUCCUAAACUGCCUUUGCAUUACUUCCACAAAGAUUGCCUCUUUCAGAUUGUGAGUGUCCUGGGGAUUCCCCUUUUUAUGGAUGCUGCUACUAUGGCUGGGUCUCGCCCAAGUGUUGCAAGAGUGUGUGUAGAGAUUGAUUUGCUCAAACCGCUGCCUCCGCGAGUGUGGAUUGGUAAUGGUGACUGUGAUGGGUUUUGGCAAACGUUAAUCCCAGAAAUCCUCCCCAAGUACUGCUGCCAUUGCUUUCAGCAGGGACAUACUCAAGCUGAGUGUCAUGUUCUGAACCCAGCUCUAAAACAAAGGCCUCCUGAUGUGGUCAAGUCUGGUGCAGAGAAGCGGCCUGUGCAGUUGCAGUUCCGUCCAAAGAAGAACUCCACCAUGGAGGAUCGUCCUUUGGAUCCUGCCCUUGGGGGGAAUUCACCAGGUGUGGGUUCUAAAGUGGCGGGGGAUUUCCCAUCUAGCUCUCUUCCCCUGGAGCCUGAUGAGCAACUUGUGGGGACGGCUGGUAUGGGAGUCUCGCAAUUGGUCAGGGGAGCUGCGGACUCUCCUGUGCAACAGUCGGGGGCUGGUCUGACUCCUUUGGUGAUUGGGGCGGAGCCUUGCCUUGGUGCUAGUGUGUCAGUGGAUGUUCCAGCAGGUGGGGUGAUGGAGGAGCAGGCUGCUGAGUCGGCUAUGCUAAAGGUUCCAUUGGCUGAUGACAGGGCUGGUGACCUGCAGAAAUUUGAGCUGCAUGAGGUGAUAGACGAGGUGUAGGUUAGGCAAGCGGAAGUUGUAGGAGGGAGUUUGUCUCCUCGGCAAAGCUCCGACCACAUUCAACCUCUACAUGGGUCCCUGGUUGUGGAUAUAUUCAACUUGGACCCGAUCAUUCAAAAGGUCCAAACAGAUUUGCAGCAUGAGGAGAACUUCCAGUUGGUUUCUCAUCGGAAGCACAAGGGUGUGCGUGCUAUGUUUCCGUCUGACCGUCAGUUGCGCUCUAAGAGUAAAGUUUCCUCUAACUCUUUUUCUGCACUAUCUGAUGAUUAAUUACCUUUUUUGGAAUAUUCGUGGGGUGUCUCACGCCCCUAAUUUACGUAGGUUAAAACAUUUAAUUCGUCAGUACAACAUUCCGGUGGUUGCUGUGUGUGAGCCGAAACUGGCUCCUACCCCAUCUAAUGUAAACUCUAUUAAGUUGAAGCUUAGUAUGGACUCGGUUAUAGUUAAUAGUUGUGGUUCGGUAUGGGUUUUCUACGAUAGAUCAGUUUCUUGUAAUGUAGUGGGGGAGUCGGAUCAGCAUGUGUCGGUUCAAAUUCAGUCUACUUUAUUUGUGGCUCCCGUUAUAUUUUCCUUUGCCCAUGCUAAAUGGACGGUGGUGGACCGUGCAUCGCUUUGGGCUGGGUUGCUAGAGGAUAGAUCUGUUUCACUUCCAUGGUUUGUGGUGGGUGACUUUAAUGUGAUUGUGGCAGAUGAUGAAAAGAGAGGGGGUCGUCCAUUUAGAAAUUGGGAGGGGGGUGAUUUGUUGACGUUUAUGUCCUCUGCUGGCUUGUUGGAUGCGGGUUUUUCGGGGUCCAGAUUUACAUGGUGUAAUAAUAGACAGGGUCAGGCUCGUAUUUGGAAAAGGUUAGACAGGUUGCUAUAUGAUCAACUUGCUUUGGAUUUGGGGAUUAUGUACGAGGUCCUGCACUUGGGUAGGGCUCCUUCUGAUCAUGCACCUUUAUUGAUGGCGGCGUCUUCUCGUUUGGAUAACUCGCCCAAGCCUUUUCGGUUUUUGAAUUGUUGGACGUCUCAUCAGAGUUUCCUGGAGGUCAUUCGGCAUAAUUGGCAGGUGGAUUUUAUGGGUGACCCUCUAUAUGUCCUGGCAGCUAAGCUGCGAAAGUUGAAGAAAGUGCUGCGGGAAUGGUCUAAGCAUGAAUUUGGAGAUAUUUUUGAGAUGGUUAAGGUGGCAGAGCAGGAGGUGAUACAGGCGGAAAACUGUUUUGAUGAGGACCCUUCGGUUCAGCAUCGAAUUUGUUUAAGUGAGCGGCGGGCUAGGCUGAUUCAAGCGCAGGCAAAUGAGGAUUCGUUUUGGCGGCAGAAGGCGAGAAUCAGAUGGUUAGCGGAUGGGGAUAAAAAUUCAAAAAUUUUUCAUGCAACGGUGGCUGAACGUAGGAGUAAAUCCGUUAUUCAUCGUAUUAAAUCUUCUGGCGGGGAUUGGCUUUGCAGUGAAGAGGAUAUUGGGAGAGAGGCUGUUAGUUUUUUUCAGGGCUUGUUUUCGAAUCAGUCGGGUACGAAUAAUUUUCAUGGGUUAGAUGUGAUCCCCAAAGUGGUGACGGAGCGGGACAAUGAUGAAUUAGAACGAUUCCCUUCUCUAGAGGAAGUUAAGGAAGUCGUUUUCUCCAUGGAUGCGGAUAGUGCGGCUGGUCCUGAUGGGUUCUCCGGGAAGUUUUUUGUGGUUGCUUGGGAGAUUGUUGCUGAGGAUGUUUUUGCAGCUGUUUAUCGUUUUUUUGGUGGAGCUGAGUUGCCGAAAAGUAUUGCCGCCACAUCAAUUGUUCUUGUCCCCAAAGUUAGCUCUCCUCAGGAUUUUUCGCAGUUUCGCCCAAUUAGUUUGUGCUCCUUUGUGAAUAAAAUUAUUUCUAAAUUACUGGCGAGGAGACUAGCUAAGCUGUUGCCGGUUAUUAUCUCUCCUAACCAAAGUGGUUUUGUUCAAGGUCGGCAAAUGGCCGAUAAUUUUUUAUUAGCUCAGGAGUUAAUUUCUGGCAUUCAGAGGCCUUGUCGAGGAGGUAAUGUUGUUCUCAAACUUGACAUAGCUAAGGCCUAUGACAGGGUUUCGUGGCCUUUUUUAAUGCAAGUGUUGCGUCGAUUUGGAUUUGGUGAACGGUGGAUUGAUAUGAUCUGGCGGUUGGUGUCCAAUGUGUGGUUCUCGGUGAUCAUUAAUGGAUCUCCCAAGGGGUUUUUUAAGUCGACCAGGGGAUUACGGCAGGGCGAUCCUAUCUCACCGGCACUGUUUGUUGUGGGUGCAGAGGUGUUGUCUAGGUCAUUAAAUGCUUUACUGGGUCUUCGAGCGUUUGUUCCAUUCAAAGUUCCUAGGGGUUGCCCGCCGAUUACCCAUCUGGCGUAUGCAGAUGAUGUCAUCAUUUUUUGUAGCGGUUUGAAGGCCUCUUUACAAGUAAUCCUGCGUACUUUGGAUGCCUAUUGCAGUAUAUCGAGCCAGCAGGUGAACUAUCACAAGAGUUGCUUUCUUGUUGAUCGGAAACUGCCUUUGGCGCGUAAACGGGCUAUUGCUCGGGUUACAGGUUUUCAGGAGAGGUCGUUUCCCAUUAAGUACUUGGGGUGUCCGUUGUAUGUUGGGAGGGCGAAACUGUACUUUUUCUCAGAGCUCUGCAAUUUGGUGUCGAGGCGUGUGUUAUCCUGGUCUGGUAGAUUGUUGUCGUCUGGUGGUAAGCUGGUUCUGAUCAAAAGUGUUCUCUCCUCUAUUCCUAUUCAUAUUAUGGCGGCUUCUAUGGUCCCUAAAGGGGUAGUCCGCCAAUUGGAACAAAUCUUUAGUAGCUUCUUAUAGGGUAACUCGGAUUUCGGCCCUCGGUUUCACUGGAUUAAAUGGGCAGCCCUGACUAAGCCUGUUGAGGAGGGAGGAGCUGGAUUGCGAUCGCUACAGUCGAUUUUUGAUGCUUUCUCUUUAAAGCUUUGGUGGUCUUUUCGCUGUAACACCUCCUUAUGGGCGUCCUUCAUGCACGCUAAGUAUCUCAGUGACAGGCUCCCGUGUCAGGCAGAUGUGGUUCGGGGGCAGUCUGGUAUCUGGAGAAGGCUGGUUGGCGUCAAAUCGUUAGCGGAUUCUCAUGUUCGCUGGGUUUUGGGCAAUGGAGCAGUGGAUUUUUGGCAUGAGAAUUGGAUGGGAUCUGGUCCGUUAUGCGAUAAGGUUGAGAUUUUUGGGACUCACUCUGUGGCGAACUUUGUUGACCAAGGUCGUUGGAAUAUUCCUAUGUUGCGUCAUUGGCUCCCUCCUGCUAUUGUGUCAUCCAUUCUGGGUAUCUCUCCUCCUGUCUCACAGCGGCCAGAUGAGAUGGUUUGGGAUUUAACCGAGUCGGGUGUGUUUUCCAUUGCAUCUGCUUAUCAGUUGGUGCGGCAGCCUGCUAUUAGGUCGGCUUUUUCUGCGGCUAUUUGGCAUGCGUUACUUCCCUCUAAAGUGUCUUUUUUCAUGUUGAGGUUGGUUGCGGCACGGCUCCCCGUCUUGGAGACGCUUCGCCGUUUUGCGGUGCAUGGCCCCUCUCGGUGCUCCUGCUGUGAAGCUCCUGCGGAAGAGACCUUAGAUCAUAUUUUUUGCAAUGGGGAUUUGCCCAAACGAGUUUGGAAUUCGUUUACAAGUGGGGUGGGUGGGCGUUCCUGUGUUUCCACGGUGCGGCAUGCGCUGGCGGUAUGGUGGCUUCAUCCCACAUCUAAUCCUUGUUUGCGGUUGAUUUUCCAAUUUCUUCCUUGUUUGGUUUGCUGGCACCUUUGGAGGGCUCGUAAUUUGAGGGUUUUUGAAGGUAAGGGAAUUUCCUCCCAUCUCAUUCAUUUGAGGGUUGUGGGGGAGCUCCGAGAUAUUCUCUCUUCCCGCUUUCCUUGCCUGGCGGGUCAUAGGUUGUCUUGGGAGGAGCUUAUUGGGUUGGCUUCUAGGUGUCGUAGAGCGAGUACGGUACGUUGGGUGAAAUGGAGGACUUCUCCUAUUCCCCUUCCCAAAUUGAAUGUUGAUGGUUGUUCGAGGGGUAAUCCUGGUACAUCUGGCGGGGGUGGUAUUUUGCGGGAUACGGCGGGGUGCUUUGUCUUUGCUUUCUCUUGCUUUUCUGGCGAUGUGACUAGUUUGCAUUCAGAACUAAGAGCUAUGCUAUAUGGGGUGAAGCUGUGUGUGCAACGCGGCAUUAUUCCUAUUCAUGUGGAGUCUGAUUCUUUGCUUUUGGUCCGGAUGGUGCGAGGGGAGCUCAGGGUUCCUUGGUUUUUGCGACGAGAGUUUGAGGAGCUGAUUGCAUUCCGGCAUCAUUUACAUGCGGUGACUCAUUGUUUUAGAGAGGUCAAUAGGGUGGCUGACAGAUUGUCUAAUGUUGGAGCAGACUCUGGCUCUGAUAGGGUGUAUGAGACGUUGGCUUUACUUCCAUUGUUGGUUAGAGGGGAUUGUCAAAUGGAUGCUUGGGGGAUGCCUAUGGUUAGAAGGGUUAGACCGUAGUCGUUUGAAUAUGCAUGUACUCCCAUUUGUUGGGUUCGUGGAUUUGCAAAUGCUAUUAAUAAGACAUUAUUGUUCAAAAAAAAGAAAAAAAAAAGAAAUGUUACAAACAAUGAAUCUACAGAAACUGUGAUUUUGAAAGUUUUAGACCAGCUUUAGCAAUUUAAAUUCUCAAACUAAAUCUAUCGUUAUUAUAUCUUGUUAUUCUUUUAUUUUAAGGUAUUUCAACUCUUGAAUUCUAGACAAGUGUUUUACAUCCCAAGCAAUACAAAUAAUUUUAUAUAUGCUUGUUACUUUUAUCUAGAGUACUAUUGACAAAGUUGAUGUAAGACAUACAUGGUUACUCGGAUGAAGGCAUGAUCAUAUGGGUUUAUUUCUUUCUUCCCUAAUGAAAGCGCCCCCUCCCGACUUCAAAUAAACUUCUCUCUGUUUGCCCUUCUUGUCGUUGGCAUUGGCAGUUUGGCUGGUACUUUUCUUAGAGAUUUUAAGGUCAAGAGUCACUGUCCUGAGAUUGGAUUAGACUAUGAAACCUUGAGGGCCCCGACCCCCGAUCCCUCUAUAUUCCAUUUGAGAUUCUCUUCACAUUAAUUUAUCUCUAAAUUAUUAUAAUAAUAUAAAAUCAUCCAAUUGUAUCAUUAUUUUUCUUUUGCUCUAGAUACAUAUACUAAAAAGUGUUAUUAUAUUAAAAAAGUAUUUUUGAUUUAAUUUACACUAAAUAUUUGAACGGUGAAGAAUGGGCUAAAAUUGUGAUAAAAUUUAUAAUGAUUAUUUAGAUGACAAAAUUUAAUCUAUUUCGCAUUAGAUUUUGUCUAACUAACAUAACCAAUGAAAUAUAUUGUUAACAGUAUUGAUUUCUAAAAGUAAUUUUUAAUUAAUUUUAUUGAGAUGCAAUGAAGUGAAAUUCUCUAGAGAGUAGACUAGUCCUCUAUAUUCUACCAGUACAGCCCUAUUUUUGGCUUCAGCGACUUCCUCCUUCUGCGUUCUUUUCAUGUUGGUUGGUCCUUCUCGAAGCAAUAUACACAACCAAUCUUCUGUCCCAUAUUCUGUCCCAUUCUCUGUCCCACUUUUUAUUAUAUUGCUAUUUCUCCUUUAUAAACAUCAUGUUUUAAUUCUUUUUUGUUUCCUUAAGAUUCAAUAACUAUUAAUUAAGUAAAAAAUAAAUACAAUAGGUUCAAAAAAGUAAUAUAUAAUAGAGAAUUAAAAAAUACAGUAGAAAAUUCAUAAAAAAUUCAUUUUUUAUGCAUUUUGAUUUUUUGAGUUUGUUAAAUUUUGUGUAUUACUCAAUUAAUAGUUAUUGGAUCUUAAAAAAAUAAAAAAGAAUUAAAACAUAAUAUUUAUGAAAGAGAAAUAGCAAUAUAAUAAAAAAUGGGACAGAAAGUGACACAGGAUAUGAGACAGAAGAUCCAUAAUGGGCCAUGGUGCCACAGGCUUUUCAGACAUUUUUGGGACUAUCCUCCUCCACACGGUACACCACGUAACACAACUAUAAAUAUGUUAUAAAAUUAAUAAAAUGAAAUACUACAAUAGAAAUUGAAGAAGUAUUAGAGAAAUGAGUAGAGAAAGGGAUAAUGAUAUCCUUAUAUUUCAACAAGAUACAAAAGUCAUCCCAAAGGGUCUUAAUGUACCUCUAUAUAUAGGCACUAUAAGAUUAAAGAUACAUAAAUCUUAUUAAACAUCCAUUACUACAAUAAUAUGAAGAAACCUAUGAAACGGUUUCUCCACUACAUGAAUGGAUUUAUGAAUUGUAACUUCUAUACAUAAGUAGCCAUAAAAUCAUGAAUUAAUCCCCUUGGGAAUACAAAGGGACAUCCACAUUUUUGUUAUUUCAUAACACUUCUCCUUGGAUGUCCAUUACACAAAGAAUAUGCCUCGUUAAAACCUUACUAGGGAAAAACCCAGUGGGACCAAAAACCCUAGUGAAGGAAAAAGAGUACACUAUUCUUGUGUAAUAAUUUCUCCCCCUGAUGCAAACGUCAUUUGAGAUCUUUUAAUCGUUGCAUUCCAAUACUCUUUACCAAUUUCUCAAAUGUCGCAGUUGGUAAUGCCUUGGUAAAUAAAUCGGCCAGAUUAUUAUCUGAUCGGAUUUGUUGCACAUCAAUUUCACUAUUCUUUUACAAAUCAUGAGUAAAAAAGAAUUUUGGUGAAAUAUGUUUCGUCCUAUCUCCUUUAAUAUAUCCUCCUUUCAAUUGAGCUAUACAAGCUGCAUUAUCUUCAUAUAUAAUAUAGUUGGAGGAUUUUCUUUUCCGGAGGAUAACCCACAAUUCUUCCGGAUAUAGUGGGUCAUUGAUCUUAACCAAACACAUUCUCGACUGGCUUCAUGAAUUGCUAUUAUUUCAGCAUGAUUCGAUGAAGUGGCGGCUAGUGAUUGCUUUGUAGAUCGCCAAGAAAUGGCUGUGCCUCCAUAUGUAAAUAAAUAACAAGUCUGAGACCUUGCUUUAUGCGGGUCAGAUAAAUACCCAGCAUCAGCAUAACCAACCAAUUCAGGUUUGGACUUAUUUGAAUAAAAUAAACCAAGAUCUAUUGUUCCUUGGAGGUAGCGAAAAAUAUGUUUAAUACCAUUCCAAUGUCGUCUUGUGGGCGAGGAACUAAAUCUUGCUAAUAAAUUUACUGCAAAUGAUAUAUCAGGUUUUGUACAAUUAGCAAGAUACAUUAGUGCAUCAAUUGCACUAAGAUAUGGUACUUCAGGACCAAGUAUCUCUUCAUUUUCCUCUCGUGGUCUAAAAGGAUCCUUAUUAGGAUCUAAUGAUCUGACAACCAUUGGGGUACUCAAUGUAUGUGCUUUGUCCAUAUAAAAUCGCUUUAAUACCUUCCGGGUAUAAGCAGUUUGGUGGACAAAAAUUCCACCUUUCAAAUGCUCAAUUUGUAAACCAAGGCAGAAUUUUGUCUUUCCAAAAUCUUUGAUCUCAAAUUCUUUCUUUAAAUAUUCAACACUAUUUUGAAUCUCUUCAGGAGUUCCAAUUAAAUUUAGAUCAUCAACAUAUACCGCAAUUAUCACAAAAUUUGAUCCAUUUUUCUUGAUAAAAACACAUGGACAUAUUGGAUCAUUGGUAUAACCUUCUUUUGUCAGACAUUCAUUGAAACGGUUAUACCACAUACGUCCAGAUUGUUUGAGCCCAUACAGAGACCUUUGUAAUUUAAUAGAAUAAAUAUUUUAGGAUUUGAUUUGCAUCCUUCAGGCAUGUUGAAUCUUUCGGGAAUUCUCAUAUAAAUAUCAUUUUCAAGAUUCCCAUAUAAAUAUGCAGUAACGACGUCCAUUAGACGCAUAUCUAAUUUUUCAUGUACUGCAAAACUCACAAGAUAUCUAAAUGUGAUAGCAUCCACUACAGGUGAAUACGUUUCAUCAUAAUCAAAUCCAGGCCUUUGUGAAAAUCCUUGGGUUACAAGUCUUGCUCUAUAUCUCACAAUUUCAUUUUUCUCAUUUCUUUUUCUCACAAAUACCCAUUUAUAUCCUACUGGCUUUACACCUUCAGGUGUUUGGACUACAGGUCCAAAAACUUUUCUUUUAGCCAGUGAGUCCAAUUCAGAUUGGAUCGCAUCUUUCCAUUUUGGCCAAUCAUUUCUACCUCGACAUUCAUCAACCGAUCUAGGUUCAUGAUCCUCGUCCUCUGCCAUAAUAUCAAGUGCUAUAUUAUAUGCGAAAAUAUUAUCAAUAAUUAUUUCUUUUCGGUUCCAACUUUUUCUUGAAGUGACAAAAUUCAACCUCCUGAAGAGGUCGCUCCUAAAGAGCCAAUUCUUGAAGAGAAUGAAAUCUUUGGAACCAAGAGGUCUCCCACGCUUCAGGCGUGCUUUAGACUCAUUAGCACUUGUGAUUUGUCCUUCAGGGACAUCAAUUUUAAUCAGAGCAUUUUCAGCAGGAAUAUGUGAUUUAGUAACUCUUUUGGAGUCAUUAAAUGCAUCCGGUAAUUGAUUUGCAAUUUUUUGUAAAUGUAUAAUCCUUUGAACUUCUAAUUCACAUUCUUUAGUACGAGAAUCAAGGAAAUUCAAUGAUAUUUUCCAAGUGAUUUCCUUUUUCGGUUGAUUUUUAUCUCCCCCUAAUGUCGGAAAAUGUGAUUCGUCAAAAUGACAAUCUGCAAAUCUCGCAGUAAAUAAAUCACCUGUUAAUGGUUCCAUAUACUUAAUGAUUGAAGGUGAUUCAUAUCCGACAUAUAUCCCCAAUCUUCUUUGUGGGCCCAAUUUACGACGUUGGGGCGGUGCAAUUGGGAUAUAGACCGCACAACCAAAUAUUCGUAAAUGAGAAAUAUUUGGCUCAUAACCAAAAAUUAAUUGUAGAGGAGAAUAAGUGUGAUAAUUUGUCGGCCUAAUUCUCACAUGUGUUGCUGCAUGUAAAAUAGCAUGUCCCCAAGCAGAUGAAGGAAGCUUAGACCUCAUCAACAAUGGUCUAGCAAUUAAUUGUAGCCGUUUAAUAAGUGAUUCGGCUAAACCAUUUUGUGUGUGAACAUAGGCUACAGGAUAUUCAACAGUUAUUCCAAUGGACAUACAAUAAUCGUCAAAAGCAUGCGACGAAUAUUCACCAGCAUUAUCUAGACGAAUUUUCUUUAUUGAAAAAUCUGGAAAUUGUGCUCGCAAUUUAAUUAUUUGAGCAAGUAAUCUCGCAAAUGCCAAGUUACGAGUAGAUAAUAAACAUACAUGUGACUGAUAGGGUGUAAUUUUAUUAUUUAUUUUAUUAUUAAUUUCCCCUAUUACCUGAUCCAAUGUGGAUUAAUUGUCAGAUUCUAUUCAUUUUUGGCAUUUGUACUUAUCAUAGGGACUAGGAGCAAAAUAUAAUAAAAUGAGUGAAAAUCUCGCAUUCCAAGUGAUGUCUGGCGGGGUCGUGUCAACUCAGGUCUUCACAAGUCCAGAAGUUUAGCAUAGAAAGGAAACUUACUUUGGCAGCUCAGCGGGAGAGAAAAAAGCCAAAGUUUGAUUAGGACUCUAGUGCUUUUGGGAGUAGGGCCGGCCGCAAGAGAGAAACAAAUAAAAGCAACAAAUGGAGUUGGGGGCAGCCGUGACUUCACUUGGGGAAUUAAUCCCGUAAGCCCCUGGCUAGAGGCUAGGGAGAAGACAUUAGCAUCCUCUUCCACUUUGUACUUUUUCUUUCAUUCUUAAUUAUUCGGAUUCCUUCAUCAUAUAGAGAAGGAUGUCCUCGACAAUUAUUGCUGAAUUUUCGCAUGGAAUUUUCUCUAUAGAGAUGAAUUAAAUUUCAUUACUCUAGUCAAGGAGCAACGAAGGCUCUGAUUCGCCUAAAAAUUGUGAGAUCGAUUUAAUUUUAUCUUUUUCUUUUAUUUAUUGGUAUUCGCAUAUUCCUUGGUUGCAGUGCUUAUGAUUGUUUAAUUAAUUGAUUGUUUUGGAUCCGGAUAAUUGGUUAAUUUGAUAAUCUAUUGUCAAUUGGGACGUUAAAUCCGUAAUUGUUUAAUUGUCUCAAAAUAGUGAUAACUGACAUGAUUGGAUUUGUGUCAGGGGGAUACGCGGGCUAAUCUAAAAUAACCCUGGUAGUGCGUUAUUUGGUUAGAAUAGGGCUCUUCUAAUACGUAAGGCAAUUGGAGAAUUAAAUUCUAUGGGCGUACCUAGGAUUGUUUUUCAAUUAGAGCAGUGAUUAACGGGCGUACCUUAAUCAUCGACACAGUAAGGAGGGAUUGACUGUCAUCGCUUGUUUGGCAGUUAUAACCUAUUUAUUAGUAAAUAAUUGGAAUUGCCUUUGCUUAUCGAUGAUCAAUUAAGUGAACCAUUGCUGAAGUUAUUCCUUGGCUAGAUCCUUAAUUAUCACUCAUUUGAUUUUAGUAAUUUUUAUUUAAUUUUUAGUAGUUUUUUAGAUUUUAGUUGAACUUCUUGGAUUGUCACCUUCUGCACAAAAACACCCCCCUUGUCACUGUGAAUUUGAAAAGAAACAAUUACUCCCAAUCCCUGUGGAUUCGACCCUGCUCACCACUAUCUACAGAAAUUAAUUUUAGUUUGAGCAGGUUUUAUUAUUGUAUAGGUUUCGACAACCUGUCAAUUUUUGGCGCCGUUGCCGGGGACUGGUGCCAGAUUAAUUUGUUUCUUUUUGAGUUUAUCUUGUUUUCAUUUUUUUUAAUUUAUUUUUCUCUUAUUUUUUUUAUUUUUUUAUGGCUGCUAACAUUCCAUGUUUUGAUGAUAGACUGGACUUUGUUCCUGAAUAUGGUUAUGAGACUCAUGUUUUUCCUAAUGAUCAAUGGGCUGUUGCAAAUUGUGGAACUUAUUUUGAUUCAGGUUAUUCAACUGACACAUGCCCCGCAUUUCAAGAUAAUUUAAGCGUUCCAAUUGAUACUUUUGGAGAUUUUCCAUCUCGAUUUCAAACGUGGUAUGACCCUUAUUCAAACGAGUAUGAUCAAGGAUGGUGGGAUAAUUCCAAUUUUGAUUAUGCGACCGGGCCAAUGGAUUUUCAACAGCAAGAGUCUCAGCAAUCAUCCUCCGUGUCAGGUAUGUCUCUUGAAGAAAUGAUGGGAUUACUAAUUGCUAAUUCAAAUCGAUUUCAUCAGGAGACACAAGCGAGCCUAAAUCGAUUUCAUCAGAAGACACAAGCGAGCUGUCGCGACCUGGCGGAUCAAAUGCAGCAAUUGACAUCCAGGAUAGAGCGAUUAGCUUCUCACCUUGAAGAAUUGCCCUCACAAACCAAUAUCAAUCUUGAAGGAGAUGAGAGUGCAAUUAUCCGGCCAAAUGACAUGGAAUUGCAAGAGUUUCAAAGAAACGGAUUUAAAGAUGCAGUUGAAAAGGAAGUUGAAGUGCAAAAAAUGAGACUCCAGGAUCAACUCAUUCAAGUGAAUGAAUCCAGUGAACAAUCUCCAAAUACGGUGACAUCUUCUCCAUUCCUUCAUCAAUAUUCUCCUGACUCUUACUCUUCAAUUCCUGUUAACGAAAUUGACUUUAUUAUACCAGACAAUUUUGAAUUUCAUGACAGGAAUAAAUUAAGAGUGGCGAUGGCGAGAUAUCUUGAACCAAUAAAUGCAAGUGAGGGAGAAGUGAAUGGAGAAUGCAAAUUAUCAUCGACUCGUUUGGCGCCAUUCAGUAGUCCAUGGAAGCCCGUAGCUCGUAUGCUCAAGGAUUAUUUUAUUUACGAGGGUUAUCAGGACUAUAUAGAGGAUGAAGCAUUAAAACGAGCCACACGAUUUUAUCCUCCAUGAACAAAACAUGAUAAUGUCUAGCCAAAGACAUUAAAGAAAGGCGCUCAUUGGGAGGCAACCCAAUUUCUUUUAGUUGUUUGUUUGAUUUUAUUUGUUAGUUUAAAUCUGUCUUCUUUGAAUUUGACUGAUUUUGGGUGUUAAUUUUCGUUUUUGCUGAUUUGUAGGUGACCUUCAGUCAUGACGCGCCUGCGUGGUGACGUGCAUGAAGCUCACGAUCAGAAACUCCUGGGAGAUCUCUUGCUCUCUUGACGUGCCCGUGUCAAGUUCGUGGGAAAGGUAAGGAUUAAAAAAAAAAAAACAAUUUUCAACCGUAGCUAGGUUUCUCAAUCUCAAAAAAAAAAAUUUAUUUUCUGUGGAAAAAAAAAGAAAAAAAACUGAAAAAAAAAGAUAUUUCUCACCGUAGCAAAUAUUUCUCACAAAAAAAAAAAAUUUCUUUUUCCUUCUUUACUUUUCUUUCUUUUCCUUCUUUUUUCUUUCUUUCUUCUUCUUCUUCUUUCUUCCUCCCCUGCUCCCUCUCUGUUGCCCGAAUCCCUUCGCUCGCCGCCCACUUGCGCCGCAACCCCCAUCACGCAGCAGCCUAACGCCGCACCUCCUCCCUCUUCGCCGCGCGCCGCCACUACGUGGCUCUCUUCCCCCUCGGUCGCAAAUGCUGCCCACGCUGAUGGCCGCGCGCCGCCCCUCUGCUCUUGCCGCCAGCCGCGGCUAUUUUCUUCCACCGCUGCCCAGACCACCAGUGCCCCACUGUCGGCUCCUCCUCGGUCUCCACAGUCGCGCCACCACCAUCUUCAUCGCGAGCUGCCAUCGCGCGCCAUCGCAAGCUGCUACCCUCUGCGCAGCCACUGCUGCUUCAACGCACGAGGCGCGCCCCUCCCAUCUCUCUCUCUCUCUUCACGAGACCGUGGCCGAGCAACCCACGCCGCCUCCACUCCAGCUUGUUCGCCGCUGAAGCUCGAUCCGCCGCCCACUGCGCGGCUUCCUUCCAUCUCCCUCUAGCUCUGCUGAGCUCCGCUGCCCCCGCUACUGCACGCCACCUCCGCAGCAGCAGCCUCCACCUCGCUGCACACGCUCUCACCUCACGCCCCCUCUUUCGCACAACGUGGUGGUACCUCCUUUCCUUAACACUCGCUUGUUUAUUUGGAAUGUAUGUUACUGGGUUUGAUGAUUGGAAUCAAUUGAGCUUUCUGUUGGGACUUUGAGUUGAUCAAUCCUGCUUUUAUUUGUUGAAUUGGGAGCCUAUGCUGCUUGAUUUGCUUGUUGAGGGUAGUAGAAUUUCGUUUAAUUGUUGGGGACAUCCUAGUGAUUGGUUAAUAUUGCUAUUUUGGGACCAUUGUCUGUGACCUCAGUGGCCGGGGUUCCCAACUGGUGGAUUAGUACAUACUUGGGGCUAUUGUUUUACUACUGCUUUGAUCUGCUAUAGCAUUUGUUGAAAUUUCUAGGGAUAUUUGUUGAAAUUUUAGUUGGACCGAGUUUACUUUUGACUGUGAGUUGGAGUUCUCGUUACUUUGGGCCAGCCGUUGGAAUUGUUUCAUCAACUCUGUGGGUAUUUUGACUCCACUAGAUUAAUUCGACUUUACUGGCUGACUGCUUGGAAGCUGGGGGGUUUGAGAUUCAGUUGUUAAUGUCAGAGUUUUCCACUACUAUUGCUUGGCUUGUUCACUUCUUAAGGUCCACUGCUGGGGGCAUUUGUUGAGUCUUUAAGUGCUAUUAUUGGAAUAUUUUAUCUGGAACUUGUUAACUCUAGUUGGUUGGAUAUUUGAUCAAUUGGCAAGACUGUGUGACUGUGUUGCUAUUGCUAAUUUUCUACACUUCUAUUGCUGAAUUUAACAUAUUAUUGGGGCAGUUGUUAUGGUUUGACUGGUGGAGGCAUUUGUUGAAAUUUUAGAAUGCAUUUGUUGAGAGUAUGGAUGGCCCGAGUUUGCUUGUUGACUGACUGAUUUGGGUAGCCCCUGUGCUUAUUGACGUGACCUUGCUAGUUUUUAGUUGUUGAUGAUAAUUGCUGGUUGUUAGUUUUGGAGUGCAACUGUUGCUUUGUUGACCAUAUUUGGGCUUGGAUGGCCCGUAUUUGCCUUUAAUUGUUGAGUUGGAGAGCACCGGUGACUAUGAAUGUGCGUUGGUGAUUGCUAUCUUUGUUGGAUAUUCUGUCUUUUGUUGUUUGGGGUGAUAAUUGGCGUCAAUGGUGAGUGGCGCCACUUACAAGCACAGGUUCACAACGUAGAUGAACGAAUGACGAACAUCACCCGCCAAGUGGCAAGGAUGUCUCAGAACUCGGCUUCCCUCCACUGUUCCCUCCUAUCCUUUCGCCACUCGUGAGGGAAGUUCCGUUGCCCUCUUCGCUUUAAUUGCUUUAAUCCUUCCAUUGAGGACAAUGUAGGAUCUAGGUGUGGGGGGGACAGCUAUACUAGUUUUUUAUUUUUAGUUUGUUAUUUGUCCACCUCUUGUUCAUUUUUUCUUCUUUUUAGUGAUUGGCUCGUAAGUGCAUGCCAAAAUUUGAUGUUGGAUUAUUGCCUCUAUUUCUACUUUUGCCAAGUUUUAAUAAUAAAAGGGUAUCAAGUUAAUGUGGUUGAAUCCAAGAACAUCUCUUUGGUGAAUAUCGAUGAUUGUUUUACUCUUAUAAUUUUUGGUUAACUUUCCUAGGCAUGGGGAAUGAUUAUUGGCAUUUUCAUGUGAAUUGGUCCGGUUAUUAAUUUUAGCUCUCCAUGUUUGAAAAUGAGGCUAGCUGAUGCAAGUUUUCUUUUGGUUCGUGUGUUAUAUUAAGUUUUUAUGAUUUUUAGUUAUGAAUAAAUUUGACUGUACUCCGCUAUUAGUUACUACUGAAUAACCGGGGAUCUGCACCUAAAAGUGUUGAUUCUCGCGUCAAAAGGUAGUAAUUCCUAUGAGUACGUGGUCACGUGACGAUAGAAGCUGAGUAACCGGGCUCCUUCAUCUGGCCAAUGUUGGAGUUCGCGUCAAAAGGCUCAAAUGGCUAGCGACUAAGUCUUUUGUUACUAUUGAAAAAAAAAAGAAUAAAAAAAAGAGAGAAAAGUAGGAAAAAAUGUGAAAAAAAGUGAAGGUUGUGUUAGUGUGUAAUAAAAGUCAGCUUGCCGAAUUAUGGAUUUAAUGUUGAGAUUUUGGUUAAUAGUUGGACCAUUUGUUGAUAAACGUUGUGCGUCAUUCCUUUUUCUUAGAUUAGUUAACCUGAAAUUAGAGAAGUUUGUGGUUUAGAAGCUAACCGGAGUGAUGUUUCUUGGACUUGACCAUUGAUGCUUGAUUAUUAUUUUUCUUGGUAUCUUGGCAAUUUGUUGGAUAGAGCAAUAGCCAUUGUCAAAUAUUGGUAUUUGUCUACUGUUCUUAUGCUUGAGGACAAGCAUGGUUUAGGUGUGGGGGAAUUGAUAGGGUGUAAUUUUAUUAUUUAUUUUAUUAUUAAUUUCCCCUAUUACUUGAUCCAAUGUGGAUUAAUUGUCAGAUUCUAUUCAUUUUUGGCAUUUGUACUUAUCAUAGGGACUAGGAGUAAAAUAUAAUAAAAUGGGUGAAAAUCUCGCAUUCCAAGUGCUGUCUGGCGGGGUCGUGUCAACUCAGGUCUUCACAAGUCCAGAAGUUUAGCAUAGAAAGGAAACUUACUUUGGCAGCUCAGCGGGAGAGAAAAAAGCCAAAGUUUGAUUAGGACUCUAGUGCUUUUGGGAGUAGGGUCGGCCGCAAGAGCGAAACAAAUAAAAGCAACAAAUGGAGUUGGGGGCAGCCGUGACUUCACUUGGGGAAUUAAUCCCGUAAGCCCCUGGCUAGAGGCUAGGGAGAAGACAUUAGCAUCCUCUUCCACUUUGUACUUUUUCUUUCAUUCUUAAUUAUUCGGAUUCCUUCAUCAUAUAGAGAAGGAUGUUCUCGACAAUUAUUGCUGAAUUUUCGCAUGGAAUUUUCUCUAUAGAGAUUAAUUAAAUUUCAUUACUCUGGUCAAGGAGCAACGAAGGCUCUGAUUCGCCUAAAAAUUGUGAGAUCGAUUUAAUUUUAUCUUUUUCUUUUAUUUAUUGGUAUUCGCAUAUUCCUUGGUUGCAGUGCUUAUGAUUGUUUAAUUAAUUGAUUGUUUUGGAUCCGGAUAAUUGGUUAAUUUGAUAAUCUAUUGUCAAUUGGGACGUUAAAUCCGUAAUUGUUUAAUUGUCUCAAAAUAGUGAUAACUGACAUGAUUGGGUUUGUGUCAGGGGGAUAUGCGGGCUAAUCUAAAAUAACCCUGGUAGUGCGUUAUUUGGUUAGAAUAGGGCUCUUCUAAUACGUAAGGCAAUUGGGGAAUUAAAUUCUAUGGGCGUACCUAAGAUUGUUUUUCAAUUAGAGCAGUGAUUAACGGGCGUACCUUAAUCAUCGACACAGUAAGGAGGGAUUGACUGUCAUCGCUUGUUUGGCAGUUAUAACCUAUUUAUUAGUAAAUAAUUGGAAUUGCCUUUGCUUAUCGAUGAUCAAUUAGGUGAACCAUUGCUGAAGUUAUUCCUUGGCUAGAUCCUUAAUUAUCACUCAUUUGAUUUUAGUAAUUUUUUAUUUAAUUUUUAGUAGUUUUUUAGAUUUUAGUUGAACUUCUUGGAUUGUCACCUUCUGCACAAAAACACCCCCCUUGUCACUGUGAAUUUGAAAAGAAACAAUUACUCCCAAUCCCUGUGGAUUCAACCCUGCUCACCACUAUCUACAGAAAUUAAUUUUAGUUUGAGCAGGUUUUAUUAUUGUACAGGUUUCGACAACUUGUCAGUGACCAUCUAGUUGAUGCAUCAAUUAGCACCAUAAAAUAUCGAAAUGGUCCACAUGGUGGAUCUACAGGCCCACAUAUAUCACCAUGAAUUCGUUCUAGAAAUGCAGGGGAUUCAGUCCCAACUUUAAUUUGUGAUGGUCUAAUAAUUAAUUUCCCUUGAGAACAAGCAACACAAGAGAAUUCAUUGGCUUUUAAUACUUUUUUAUUUUUCAAUGAGUGGCCAUGUGAAUUCUCAAUUAUUCGUCUCAUCAUUAUAGAUCCAGGAUGUCCGAGACGAUCAUGCCAAAUCAUAAAAUCAUCGGGAUGAGUAGACUUCUGGUCUACUAGGUGAUGAAUUUCAAUUGCACUAAUUUGUGCAUAAUAUAACCCAGAAGAAAAAGAAGGUAAUUUUUCUAUUUCGCAUUUUUUCCCAUAAAUGAUACUUGUGAUUAAUAAAAAUUCACCAUUUAUCUCAGUCAUUGUCUCGAUAUGAUAUCCAUUUUCACGGAUAUCUUUAAAACUUAAUAAAUUUCUUCGAGACUUGGGAGAGAAUAGUGCAUUAUUUACAAUAAUUUUAGUCCCUUCAGGGAGAAAUAUAGUGGCUCUUCCGGAGCUUUCAAUCAAUUUUGCACUACCACUAAUGGUAUUAACAUUUGUCUCUCCCAUUUUCAAACAAGAAAAAUAUUUUUUAUUUUUCAAUAUGGUGUGCGUAGUCGCACUAUCAAUGAGACAACUAUCAUCAUCACCAUUAUUUAAUCCCAAAUAUUUGACAUCCAUUUCUUCUUCAGGAAGAAAAUUUCAAACAAAAAUAAAUAUUAAUAAAGAUGCGAAAAUAAAUAUUCAAUGGAAAGGAAAUUACAUGAAAGAUAUAAAGCAUCAUAAAAAUAUCUAAAUAAUCAUGGGAUAUUUGUUGACAUCUUCAGGAUGUUCAAAAAAAUCAGCAACAUCGAAGUGUGUCAUGUCAGCAUCAUCACCAUCAUCAUAAUCAUUCUUUUGAUCAAUGAAAUUUGUCUCAACACCUUUGUCUUUCUUUUUCAAUGAUGCUUGAUAGAGGUCAACAAGAUGUUCGGCCGUACGACAGGUACGAGACCAAUGACCUUCCAUACCACACCGGUAGCAUUUUUCUUCAUAAACUUUCUUUUCUCCAUUUUUCUGAUCGUAGUUAUUUUCCUUCUUUUGGGAAACAUUUUGUUGCUUGCCCCGGUUAAAAUUUUCACGGGGCACAAAUUUACUACGAUCACGUCCACGGCCAUGACCACGUCCGCGGCAUCCUCCACGGCCACCUCUACGGCCACGUCCACGACCUCGACCAGAAUUUUGAAAUUGGGUCGCAUUCGCUUCAGGGAAUGGGCUUGCACCAGUUGGUCGGGACUCAUGAUUUUUCAGCAACAAUUCAUUGUUUUGUUCAGCCAAGAGAAGACAUGCAAUAAGUUCAGAAUAUUUUUUAAACCCCUUUUCUCGAUAUUGCUGCUGCAGGAGCAUGUUAGAGACAUGAAAAGUAGAAAAUGUUUUUUCUAACAUAUCUUCAUCAGUGACUUUUUCGCCACAUAAUGAUAAUUGAGAAGUGAUUCUGAACAUGGCUGAAUUAUAUUCAUUGACAGUUUUAAAAUCUUGCAGCCGUAAGUGAAACCAAUCAUAUCGGGCUUUUGGAAGAACGACCAACUUCAGGUGGUCGAAUCUUUCUUUCAAAUCUCGCCAAAGGACAAGAGGAUCUUUAACAGUAAGAUACUCUGAUUUUAAUCCUUCAUCUAAAUGAUGACGAAGAAAAAUCAUAGCUUUGGCACGGUCUUGGUUUGAGGAUUCAUUUUUUCCACAAUAGUAUUACCAAGACCCAUUGCCUCAAGAUGGAUUUCAACAUCUAAUACCCAUGAUAAAUAAUUUUUUCCAGAAAUAUCAAGAGGUACAAACUCUUGUUUUGUAAGAUUAGCCAUAAAAAAUUGAAAUAAGAUUGUGACUUAGAAAUUUACCUCAAAAGUUACUUGAAGAAAUACGGGCAGAAUUUCGGCAAAAUCUUGUGCUUCACUUUUGCUCAAAGUAGCGCCUCCGUUUUCACCUUUUGCUCAAAAGAAGAGCUUUCGUGCCGAUAACGUGUUAUAAAAUUAAUAAAAUGAAAUACUACAAUAGAAAUUGAAGAAGUAUUAGAGAAAGGAGUAGAGAAAGGGAUAAUGAUAUCCUUAUAUUUCAACAAGAUACAAAAGUCAUCCCAAAGGGUCUCAAUGUACCUCUAUAUAUAGGCACUACAAGAUUAAAGGUACAUAAAUCUUAUUAAACAUCCAUUACUACAAUAAUAUGAAGAAACCUAUGAAACGGUUUCUCCACUACAUGAAUGGAUUUAUGAAUUGUAACUUCUAUACAUAAGUAGCCAUAAAAUCAUGAAUUAAUCCCCUUGAGAAUACAAAGGGACAUCCACAUUCUUGUUAUUUCAUAACAAAAUAAUAAUUCUCCUUGCCUUUUAUUUUCUCACUUGCAUCGCUUCACUUUCUUGUUUACUACUAUUUCCUGUCGUUGUUCCUUUUCCCCCUUCUUAAUAUCUUUCUGUACUUCACUCACACCUCAGAGCUCUCAUUGUCUCUGCUGCGAUUACAGACUCGUAAUAUGUGUGUGUCUAUAUAUAUAUAUAUAUAUAUAUAUAUAUAUUUCAAGUGCCUUCAGAAGAAAUUAAUCUUUCAGUGAAUGGUCAGUCUCAAGUACCUCCAGGAUUCCGUUUUCAUCCUACGGAGUAGGAGCUCCUUCGUUACUACUUGAAGAAGAAAGUUGGCUCCAAGAAGAUUGAUCCAGAUGUUAUCGAUGAUGUGGAUCUUAUAAUGACGGCCCUAGUGUUCAUUGGGUUACUGGUAAUCACAGGUUUCAUGCUAUGGCUAUCAUCAAUGCUGUCGAAGAUAUUACUACUUAUUGCCCCACUUUCCUGCUUAGAGGUUCUACCCAUGUAUACAAGGAUGCCGUCGAGAAUGCCAUCGUAAUCUGAAGCUGGACUACUAUACCCAAGAUUUCUUGAAUCCAUGGAGGCAGCUGCGUGUUGGCAACUUUUCACAGCCUUAUGGUAAAUUUUCUUCUUCUUCUUCUAGUAAACAAGGCAGACGACCCACGCUUCUUCUGGGCUUGCUGGAUCUCCAACUAAACUGGAGGCCUGUACAUAUUGUAUUUUAAUUUUUAUUCCAAAAAGAAAAUGAAAUAAGUAUUCUAUUGUCCUGAUCAGUGGUAAAUCUGGAAGUUGAUGCAUCAUGAAACUAACUAAAAAUAUCAUUGGCAUGCAAGAUGAAAUCAAUUGAGGCAGGGAAAAUAUAAAAGCAUGAUGACUGCUUUCAUUUCAAGCAUUUUCAUUACACCUUUUAGUAAUAGCAUGAUGACUGCAUGGAAAGGCAAGAUAUGGCAUAUACAUGAGUAGGACCAACAAUCUCAUGGGAGGCGGCGGAGACAUUGUUGUUGUAGGGGUUGUCAUCUAGUCGAUAUUCAUGUAUGAUCCAAUCUGAUAGCUGUCCGUCGGGUGCUCGACCUUUAUAGAAAACAAUAGUCUUCCUUAUUCCGAAUCUUUUAGAGUUGCUGUAAAUGACCUUGUCCCGACCCGUUGCCUUCCAAAAUCCAGCCGCAAUUGCGCAAUUUGUUCAGGUCCCGUGGGGGAACUUUUUGCCUUUGUGACUGAAGAAUUACCAGUCGUUUUGUGGGGUGGAUCCUAUUUUGCUUUUCUCCGGUCCCAUAAAAUUAAUUAGUUAAUUAGUGGGCAAACAAAAUGUAGUUAAGGGAUGCUCCUGCUCAACAUAAACUUAAUUAAUUUCUUAACUACAUUUUGCUUGCCCACUAAUUAACUAAUUAAUUUUAUGGGAUCAGAGAGAUGCAGAAUAGGAUCCACCCCACAAAACGACUGGUACUUCUUCAGUCAGAAAGGCAAAAGGUACCCCACAGGGACUCGACUAAAUUGCGCAAUUGCGGCUGGAUUUUGGAAGGCAACGGGUCGGGACAAGGUCAUUUACAGCAACUCUAAAAGAUUUGGAAUACGGAAGACUAUUGUUUUCUAGUAAGGUCGAGCACCCCAUGGGCAGCUAUCAGAUUCGAUCAUACACGAAUAUCGACUAGAUGACAACCCCAACAAAAACAACGUCUCCACCGCCUCCCAUGAUAUUGUUGUUCCUACUCACGUAUAUGCCAUAUCCUGCCUUUCCAUGCAGUCAUCUUGUUUUUACUACUAGGAGGUAUAAAACGCGCGAUGCGCGUAGGUAACUAAAGACAAUAUGCCCUGCCAAGUAUGAGGAUCAAGGGAGUGAUUGAAUUUCGGUGCAUUCUUCUUUUAUCCAGCAUGUUAUGCAAAUUUAUUUAUUUUUUUGUAUAUCAAUAUGAAUUUGCAUGGCAGUUGACAAAGGGAAAAAUAGAACUGUGUCAUAUAGAUUAAGGUUGAUAAUCCAAAGUGCUAUAAACUUCAAGGAAGUGCAGAGACUUUAAAUCUAUUCCAUUACAUGAAUUUGGCAAUGAUUCUGAUAAUAUAACCCACAAAGAGACUUGGUAAAAGAAGCAUCAGUUGUUCUCAAGUUGACACUGCAAUGUCCUCCUUUCCCUAUUAACGGUACCAAAUCUAGUUUGACUACUGAUUCUCUGCAAUGCUGUAAUCCAAACCAUUUAAUGUGUAGUAUAUAUCCUACUAUUUCCUAAUUAAAGUUACAAUGAUUAGUACCCACUACAAUGGAGAAGCAGAGAAGUCCUUCAAUGAAGCCCGCUAGAUUUCUGGUGUUUCCUCUUACAAUCUCUUCCUCUUUAACCUUUCUCGCCGUCUUUUCCAUUUGGGUUCUCAAAGGUACCUCUCCAUUUCAACGCCAACAGUCCCCUCCUCUCCAUCUCCCCUUCAACCAAACUCCUCUGCAGAGUUCCUGUCCCCGCAAAGUUUGGAAGCCAAUAGCAAAGCUAGAACACAUGUCGGAUCAACCGCCCUACUCAACAACUUCCUUGACAAAUUCAAAGCAGCCCAUUUAUCGCCUUCUCCAUAAUAACAGAGGGCUAGCUUCUCAUACCUAUCUUUCUGCUCUAUUGUCCUCGGAAGCAAUUCUUCCACUUGGUAAGCUAAAGCCCUUAAACCCCUUGAUACAGACAAUGCAUAAGUAAGGUGAUCCAAAACCGAUGGAUCCCACUCAAUUCUUUUGAGAGAAACUUUUCUCAAUAGAAUCAUCAAAAGAAGAAUAGCUUCUUCAAUAUUGUUUCUAGGAACAAAGAACUGUCCAUUUGGGAUCACACGUUUGGAGGGUUUGCCUCACUUUCACUGUAAAGAAGAAAGACAACAAGCUCUUUUUGAAUCCUGGCAACAGUGUGUGCAUCAAGAUUCCAUGACUGGGAAAAUCAGCAAGUUUCCACAGUUCUGGAAGUAACUCAACAGCCUUGCUCAGUGUUUCCUGCAAUUUACAAUCAGCAGCAAAGUUUUUAGGCAAGUCUGCUGCUAAUGAAGAUUCAACUAUGUCUAGAAUAACUGAGCAUGAUUGAACAGCUUCUGCAAGAUAAUAGGAAUUAUGUAUUAGCCAGAAAAUAAAAAUUUAUGUGUUGGCCUUGGAAAUCCUCCUUCUCUUUGUCACCAAUACAGAGGAAAACUUGGAAAAUUUGCAAAAAGCAAGAGCUUUACAUUCAUGCAUGUCAGUGUUAGAAUACAAACCCCCAAAACACAAAGGGAAGUACAAAAGCUAGGCAUAAGUGUUAUUCAAUAGAAAUGAUCUCGCUUACAUCAGUCGGUAGACCAAAUUAAAUAGUUAUAUAUCCAUUGCAUUGCAAAUUUAAAAAUUUCAGUAGUAGUAAAUCUAUUGCCCACAAAUUCCAGUACAAUGAAAUACACCACCAUCUCUGUCAUGAAAUUAUAGAAAGUCUUUUGGAAUCCAACUUCUGAGUCAAGGUGUUUUGAUUGUGGUAGCCCUCCAAGUUCAAAUUUUCAAUUGCAUGAAGCAGAAAAUUAUAGUAAUACAUGGGACAGUACUGGGAGAAUAACAAAAUAAGGGGGCAAUCUCUAUUUUCCAAGUAAUCUGGCAAAAGGGCAAUAAAUGUCAGGAAAAGUCUUACAAGCAUUUUAAGAAAGUGACCGUAAAAUCUAAUAAUUAUGAGCAAUAAAAAAUGUACUGUAGUCUUAACAUGACAUCACUAUCAAAAGAACAUCUAAGAAGAAUGAUCAGAGUGCAGCAAAAGUAGGUAAAGACAUUCAAAACUCCAAAAAACCAGCAGAAAUGUAUGAUAUGGACUUAUAGAAAACAGAUUGAAGUUUCACCAAGUAGUUGAAAACUACCUUUAUAUCUCCUGAGAGCCUCAAGAGAUUUCGCUUUUAGAAAUAUUGCUUCCAGGAGCAAACUAACAGCAUGUAAUGACAUGGGCAGCGAGGAAUAAUUUUGAGAUUGUUUUCUGGGAUGGUCUCCUCGUCUGGCAAGUGUGAUUUUCAUCUUCAGAGUAACUGUAACAAUAUUGAUUCCUUCAAAAACAUGUAAAGUAGCUUCUAUGUUUCCCUUUUGAUAUUCAUAUCUUCCUAACAGUGCUCUAGCUUCCUGAAAAGUAAGGACAAAUUAGUGCAAGCAAAGGAUCAGCCAAGAAAUCGUUUAACUUUGAAAAAACACAAAUUAAGAAAGCAUUCACAAGCAAGAAACUGCAAAACUUAAGUAAAAGAUGUUCAGAAAAGAAAGCUUUUGACAACCCCUCAUAAUUCAAAGAACCACUCUCACGCAGAGACAAUUCAACCUCUUCAAUGUUGCCUGCAUCAGGCUUCAUUUCAGCUUCUCUAGCUUGAGAAGAAUAAACACUUGUGGAACAAUCUUUAGUUGCAAGUGAUUCAGAAGAAGGGAUCAUUUCAUCUGCUUUUGCAAGUUCCCCUGAGCAGAGGCAAUUCAUGGCCUUUCGCAAUUUAACUUUAACUUGAGCCAUCUUCUGCUCUUUGCCCAACUUUUCAUUCCUCAUGCUUUGUCACCAGUCUCAAAAAUCUUCAGCAUGCAACAACAUAGGGAAUAACAAAUUAGAAUCCAUUCCUUAAAGGGAAAAAACUAAUUGCAAUGAAUCCUGUCCAGAGAUUCAGUGAAGGGAUAUGCCAAUGGUAAUUAAGAAACAUAAGCAUCUCGACCUUAGAAAAAAUGAGAACCUAUUUUAUGCAUGGCUGAAUCAUGAAAAACACAACAAAAGAGGAAGUAAAUACUGAGGAAACAUUCCUAAAUAGGAACAGAACUAUAACAAUGCAACACUAAGAUCAUUUCAGAAAUGGGAACCUUUUUAGCAAUCAGUAUGAAGCAACAUAUUCGGAACUUAUUCUCAAAACCUUGAGCCUGAUAUAAUCAAUUUCAUCAUCAAAAGCAAAUAAAUUUCCUUAAAAUCAAAAAAAUUCUAAAAGCCCAUUUCAGAUUUCAAAACAUGAACCUAUUUCAGAACGUCUGAAGCCAGAAUUAUGGGACUUGGAUCACAAAAUUCACAAACCAAAACCUCAACCCAACACAGCAAGCUACCAAACAGAUGAAGUAAAAUCCCAUAGAAUAUUACCAAAAAAAAAACCAACUGCAAACAACACAAACAAUGACACCUAUCAAACUUGAUGAAUCAAAAUUAAAACAAAAAAUUCUCACCUUUCACUAUUCUUGGAAGAAAAAAAGGGAUGACAGAGCUUGAAAGCCGACAAGGCAUCACCACCAAGCUUCAUCUCUUAUGCCCAAUUUUAAAUUCCCACUUUGAAGGCAAAUUUGGUAUGAUCCCGUGGUCUCGAAAACUCUAGAUCCUCAUGUUUUCCAGGGAGAUCUUUCAGUAAAAAGCAUCAAUUUCUUCAGUCCCCUCCAGGGCCUCGAACUCAUUCCAGAGUGUCAAUAUAAUAGGCUUCAUGCUUCAAUCACAGGGCCAAACAAACAAAAGUUAUCAAAUCAAAUACAACAAGUACCAAUAACAGACAGAACAAAAAUAAAAUCGACACAUACUCAUAAUUAACAAUUACAUAGUCCCGUGCAACAGAUGGUCCCCCUUCAAAAUAAACAUCCCUAGCAGGAAAAGCACAGAGAACAAUUCCCAUGAUAUCUGCCAAGUUCAAAAAAAAAAACCAGUGAAAACCAGAACAUACAGAUAUAGUUGUAUCCAUUACAUAGAAAACAGAUUAAUCAAUAAUGCAUUACUUAUAAACUUUUCUGUCUCAGCAACAGUGUGACAAGAAGAAAUAGAAGCCAACGCAAAAUAAUAUGGAAGUUUUGGAGCCUCUAUUUCAAAUACUUCAUCAAGCACAGUUUCGUCGGUCAAAACCCAAUAAUAAGGAUAAGAUCCAACAGCCACGCAAUCAGGGAUCUUAUAAACACGAGCCUUGGAUAUACGGUACUUUCUAAACGGUACAAGUAACUGGCUAACACAAUCAAUGUUACCAUCAAUUGCAAGUGCAGUAACCUUCACGCCCUAAAAGAAACAAAUGCACAGUCAGUGAAAGCAUCAAGGAAAGUAAAACAACAGAUCAGCAGAAAUCUAUACCUGGAAAUCACAAAAAACAAAGUAGCGGAAUUUUUUCGGUAAAUCGCUUCCACAGGUUGUCUUUACAUGCGAUGCCUCGAUAAGUUGAACUUGACAUGUCCAAUGAACCAGGCAAGAAUCAAAGAUAAAAACCAAUUAGAAAAAGAGUAUCCCAAAAAAAUAACAGCAACACACAAUAAAAGCCACCACAAAUAAACACUGAAUAAAAGCAAAAACACUAAACUUCAAGAGAGCACCAAACAAGAAACUACCACAAAGCUAAAAUUCCAAAAAAAAAAACAGAAAACAAUCACAGGUAUACCAGAAGCAAAUGGAGCAAACAAACCAAACCAUAAAAAAAAUAAAAUAAAAAACAAAUGAAGAAAGGAAAAACAAUUUACAAAUCACAAAAGUACAAUAACAAAGCAAAGCAGAUAACAAUAUGCUACCAAAGUAAAAAAGAAAAACAAAUUGUCAAUCAGAAGCAAACCACUAAAAAAAACGUAAAACCAGCCUCACACUGCGAAAACAAACCACUAAAAAAGCCAGCGUUACAACCCCACAUAAGAAAAUACAAAGAAGAAACCUGAAAAAAAAAAAAGCAGAAAGCUACAAAAGACACAGAAUAAAAAAUAAAUUCAAAGAAAAAAUACAUUGACAAAGAAAUAAGAAAACAAACACAUACAAAAAAAAGACCACUUUCGAAGGGAAAAAAUUCUCAUAAAAGGCAACAUCCAACUACAAAAAAAAAGAACCACGGACACCAACAAAACAUAUAGUUGGCCUUAAAAAUCCACAUAAGCAAAAAAAAGACGAAAAUACAUUUUCAAAAAAACCAUCGAACAAGAAAGACAAAAUCUAUAUCGUAGAAGUCCCAAAAAAACUACAACAAAAACUCAUUCGACAAAACAUACAUACAACGCUGGAUGCAAAAAAGGGGAAAAAUCGAAGGAAAAUCAAACCAGCAACAAGUUCCAACAAGGAGUCAUUAUUUUCUUGUUACAACAAGAAGCAAAAAAAAACAGUAAGAAACGCCCCCUUUUCUUUCCACCAGAAGCUAAAAAACAGCUGGGAAAAUAGCACAAAAAAAAAACAAAAAGCAUGAAACAGAACAAUGGAGGCAAUACCUUAAAAAAGCAGAACAAAAUCAGAAAUGCUUACAUCAUGGCCAUGGAUAUCUGUUUGAAAUCAUGUUUUUUUUUUGUGGGAAAUGGAGAAGAAUUGCCCAAAAAAUUUCUAAAAUUUAAGCGAGAAUCCAGGAAACUUUAGCUUUGCAGUUGAUCGGAGAAGGAGAGAGAGGUGAUUGACAACUUCUUUGUAGAGGAGAGGGUAUAAGUGGGCUGGAGUUGCGGCCUGGAGGGAUAUGAGAGAAUUUUUUGUUGGAAUUCUGCCUAGCUGGAGCUGCGGUUUAGGGUUGAAAGGAAACAAAGGAAAAAGGAGGAAGAAAUGGAGAGUAGGGAGAAGAAAGAAAGCGGCUGAGGUUUAGGGUUGAAAAGAAGACAAUGGAAAAAGGAGGAGAGAGAAGGAAUGGAGAGUGGCGUGAGUAGCACGAGGGCCGACGAAAAAAAGCCUGGCACGCGAGGAGCACGAGGGCCGACGAAAAAAAAUGAGCCUCAGGCCGACGAAAGAGCCUCAGACCAAAACCCCCCACUCGCUCUUAUUCUAUAUAUGUUGAAAAGGUGUAACGAAAAUGCUUGACAUGAAAGCUGUCAUCAUGCUUUUAUAUUUUCGCUUCCUCAAUUGAUUUCAUGCUGCUAAUGAUAUUUUUACUUAGUUUCAUGUUGCAUUGACUUCCGGAUUUACCACCGAUCAGGACAAUAGAGUACUUAUUUCAUCUUCUUUUUGGAAAAAAAUAAUAAAAUACAAUAUGUAAAGGCCUCUAGUUUAGUAGGAGACCCAAUAAGUCCAGAAGAAGAGUGGGUCGCCUGCCGUGUUUACAAGAAGAAGAAGAAAAUUUACCACUAGGCUGUGAAAAGUUGCCAACAUGCAGUUGCCUCCAGGGAUUCAAGAAAUCUUGGGUAUAGUAGUCCUGCUUCAGAUAACAAUGGCAUUCUCAACCGUAUCCUUGUAUACAUGGGUAGAACCUCUAAGCAGGAAAGUGGGGCAAUAAGUAGUAAUAUCUUUGACAGCAAUGAUGAUAGCGAUAGCAUGCAACCUGUGAUUACUAGUAACCCAAUGAACACUAGUGCCCUCAUCAGCGAGGGGGUUCUUCAAGACAAGUCAUGCAUCCUCUGCCGUUGUCCCUAGCAGACUGUUAACAGAAAAAGGAUAGCGAAUCAUGAGAAGAAUUGUGUAUCUUAUAUUUUCUGUACAAGGAUACAACAUCUAUUUAUACUUGAAAAUCUCUUUAACAAAUCUCCCAUAAUUAUACUAAAUAAAAUCUCCUAUAAUUAUGCUACAAUUAUGCUAAAUAAAUCUCCUAUAAUUAUGCCAACAUGUCCCCUCAAACUCAUGAUGGUAUAGUAGAUGCUAACUUGAGUUUGUCUAAGAGAUCUUGAAAGCAAGGCGGAAGAUGUGUUUUGGUAAAUAUAUCAGCUGUUUAAUUAGAGGAAAUAGUUACCAAACAUUCACUGCCAUGAGUAACAUUUAUACUGCCUUUUUUUAUUAUUAUUAUAACUCAACUUUUAUUGCCACCGAUCGAACAAAGAUACACAGAGCCAAAAAAGCCUAGACAAAACUACACGAAACUAAUGUCGGAACCUGCCUAGCCGAAUCGAGGGAACUGAGAGCCUGUCCAAUUGGAGGGCGGACCGGGCCUUCCGAGGAAGCUCAGCCCGGACAGUAAAAACGCCAUCCUGUUGAGGCCGCGAGCACGCAAGGGCAUCCGCUACCGUAUUUGCUUCUCGAUAGAUAUGUGCCACUGAGACCCCCAUUUGCCCUGAAAGCCAUUGAAUAUGACGUAGAGUGUUGACCAAAGGCCAUCGGGCAGGGCCGCAAGAGGAGACCAUGCGCACCAAAACACUCGAAUCCACCUCAGCCACAAAGUGCAUGAUGUGCCGAGCAUAACAUAACCGCAAACCUUCCAAUAACGCCAACGCCUCUGCUGUGAGCACAUCGCACUCCCCGAACUCCUUGUAGAAUGCAAAAACCAGGUCGCCAUCUGAGGUACGCACCAGUCCCCCCCCGGUGGCCAGCCCCUCGGUGACGCUAGCAUCGGUAUUCAGUUUCACUGAGGACGUGGGUGGCAAUGCCCAAGUAAUUGCGCGGGGUAUAACCUGCCGUCGAUUGUCUAUGCCAAAUAUCGCCCACUCGCAAUCCGCAUCCCCCUGGAAGUCCUGCCGGCGUAACCGACCGCCCCUUCCCAGCUGCUGGAUAAAAGCGCUAACCUGCAAAAUGAUAAUCCCUGGGGACAUGGCCGUCCCCUCAAAACGAGCUGCAUUACGGGAUUUCCAUAGAAACCAUAGGAUCACCAUAGGAAGAAGGACACGAAUAUGAUUCCUGCUCACACAGGAGUGGGAGAAGAACCAGCUGGAGAGUCUAGCCUGCACCCCCCGCCCCUGUGUCAUAAUCCCAAAGCGAUCUGCAAAAAACCUCCACACUGUCACAGCCACUGGCCCAGAUACCAAGAGAUGGCCAGUGGUCUCCGUCGCACCCCCACAACAUGAGCACCUUGACGCCAAAGGACGUCCCCGCUGCUGUAAUACACCAUCCAAUCACUGCCAUGAGUAACAUGAUAACAUACAAAGUGACAAUCAAUUUCAAUGUGUUUUGUAAGCUCAUGAAAUACAUCAUUGUGAGAUAUUUGUAUGGCAUUUCUAUUAUCACAAUGAAACAUAGUGGCAGAAGAAUGCGUGACACCUAUAUCGGUUAACAACCACCAUAAUCAAGGUAAUUCAGAUGCAGCAUCAUCAAGACCACGACAUUCAGAUUCUAUGCUAGAGCGGCGAACGGUAGUUUGCUUUUUUUCUAUGCCAAGAUAUAAGACAUUCACCCAAGAAGAAAUAGUAACCAGUUGUACAGCAACGAUCUGUUGCAUCACUGGCCCCAUCAGCACUAAAGAUGAGUUAGCAGAGAAGUGUAAACCAUGAAAGAGUUCCUUUAAUAUAGCGAAGGAUCCGAAGUACUGUAGAGAAAUGAGAUGAGUGAGGAGUAGACAUGAACUAACUAACGAGGUGAAUAGCAUAUAGGAUAUCAAGACGAGUAACAGUGAGACAAACAAGACUCCCAACAAGUUGUUGGUAUGACGGAAGAUCAGCAAGGGGAAUGCCAUUGAGAGGUGUAAGUUUGCAAUUGAGUUCCAAGGGAGUUGAUACCGUUUCGUUAUCAGUGAUGCUAGCUCGAGAAAGUAAGUCAGAUGCAUACUUGGCUUGAGAGAGAUAAUAACCUUCAGAAUUUUGACAAACUUCAAGACCCAAAAAAUAGCUAAGAAAACCAAGAUCUUUCAUUUCAAAAUGAUGACUAAAAUAAUGUUGUACUUCUGAAAUACCAGAUGCAUCAUCUCCUGUUAUUAUCAUAUCAUCAACGUAGAGUAAUAGAAGGACAAUUCCACCAUCAGUUCGUCGAAUGAAUAAUGUAGAAUUAUAUGGACUAGUGAUCGACGAAUUCCUGCAAGUGCACAUGGUCGAUCACAGUAAUAAAUUACUUGGAGUAUUCCAGGAUUGAACCCAUAGGAAUGAAUUAAUUUUCUACUUUAAUUAUUCUAACAAAAGAAUAAAAUUCAAAUUCAAGAGUUAUAUUUUCUAACUAAGCAAUAAAAUAAUCAAUGCAAAUAAAGUAGUGGUGAGAAAAAAUAGACGCCAGUCUAGGGUUUCAUAUGUUAAACUAGAAUUUGAAUCAAUUAUCUAGUUAUUUCUUAAUAAACUAUGAACGCAUCACACGACUAUAUUUUAGACCACCUCUCGAUGCAUCUAAAGUGUGUUUAACUAAAUCCUAUACCUCUCUCAAUGGUCAUAAGAGUUCAAUUAAACUCAUUAAGAUUCUCAGUAAUAUAGGUGCGUCACGCACAUUCUAAUCUACUCUCAUGAUUAAUCUAUAUAUGUUUAUCUACCUAGUGCACGGUUGUAUCUUCUUUCUCAAUUUGACACAAACCCAACUUCAUGUUCGUGGUGAUCAGGCAUAAUUACGCAUUAAGAACAAGAUAAAUAAAUCAUAGUAAAAGGCAAGGAAUUAAACUAAAAGAAUGAAUCAAAUUCUUUUAUAAAAACCCUAACCCUAGAAACAAUUUAGUUCAAUAUGAUUUGAAAAUUAUAACCACUAAUUCAAAGAGUUGCUACAAAGAUAAGACAAAGAAUAAGAAAACUUCUCAAUUGCUCGCUUCAAUCUUCUCUCCUUGCACGCUCCAUGAUUCAUCUCUGUUUGAUCUUAAUCUCUCAAGAAGAAACUAGGAAAAGAUGUUAAAACUUGCCUAAACUAAUGUUUUCCACCCUAAAAAUGACCUUAAAAACCCCUAUUUAUAGUUUCUUGAAGAUAUAUCCUAACUAGGGUAGGAAUAGGCUUUAUUAGACUAAAAAAAUCACAUUUCUGCACUUUUUCUCAAUGAAGGUUGGCCCAAUGACCAGCCCAAUGUCUGGCGUCGGUCUUCGGGCCAAGCAAGAAGCAUAACAGAAUCUAGCAAUGUUCGGCGUGAAGUCCGGUGCCAAGUCUGAUGCUGGAUUUUUCAAAAACUCUAUCAAAUAGGCCAAAUCAGUUCUUGUUCAAAAUAAAAAAUUGCCUAAAAUAACUUUCCAAUGCCACAAGAAUCAAGUCAUUUGGUGGUCUGUACGCUGAGAUAUGCCUAAAAUAUUGAAACCUAGUAGUAAGAGUAUCGCAACGCACUUAUACUUCAGUAAUUUGAAUUUUUUACUAUGAAAACGUGAGAACGAAAAUUUGAUGUCUUCAUAAGAGUUGUAGAGCAUUCGCUUAUCUUCAAAUUGAAUUAAGAAUCAUCUCAAUCUACUUUGUGUAGCUCAAGUUAUUGCCAAAAUCCUAAAAUAUAUCAAUCCUGCCAAACCCGUUCCUCUUGACUUUUUCCUUUUUCAUUGCUACUUCACAUCAGAUUUUUAGUCUGUUUUCUCUUCAAUUGAGCUCUUAACCUAUUAGAACAAUAUACGAGAAAAAUUAAACAAUUUCUAUCCAAGAUAAAACUCAAAUAAUAUAAUUAACUAGCAACUUAUACCUAUAAAUGCACUAUAAUUUACAUCCUAUCAAAUUCCCUCACACUUAGCCUGUGCUUGUCCUCAAGCACAAGAACAAAACUAAUUAAAUCCAAACAAUUGCUAUAUUCAAGGGUAUCAAUAUUAAAGCAACCAUUCUACACAAGUGUUAAGCGUUUAAUAGUGAAAACCAAAAUGAUACUUCUUCGGUUUGUUUUUAACCCCAUCGACCCUUUAACUUUGGCUAACUAAACUAGGAAUAUAAAAUAUUUAGCCAGCAUUUUCUCGCAAAUGACCCAACUAUUAAGCAAAAUCUUAAACAUAUAAUCAUAUGGAUUUGUAGAUUAUUAUUAUAUCCACUUAUUUACUUUUUUUUUUUCAUAUUUUUCUCUUAGUUCUCUUCAAAUUCCCCCACACUUAAGAUUUUUCACAUUUUAACAGGGGGAAUGUACUUAAUUCUUAGCCGUUCAAGCAUUUUGACGUGAACUCCAACAUCUUCUAAAUGAAAGAGCCCAGUUACUCAACUUUUCAUCGCUCAAAAAUCAUAUAGUCAUAGCUAUCAUCAUUUUUUGACAUGAAAGUCGAUAUUUUUAGGUGGAGACCCCCGAUUACUAGGCAACGAUAACUAGCGGAGUAUAGUUCAACUAAAUAAAAUAAGUAUAUAUCACGAAUAAGAACAUAAAAGUCUGCUUCAUAUCCCAAUAAUGUGGAGAAUUAAUAUUAAUAAUUAGGCCAAAUUCACAAGAAAAAUGCUAGAAAAAUAUUUACAAUGCCUAGAAAAAUUAGCUAAAAAUUGAAAAAGUCUCAAAAUACCAAAUAUUCACCAAAGAAGCUCUUUAAAGCAACACCUUUUAACACUUAACACAUUCAUACACAUAUCGCUUUAACAAUAAUAACACUCGAAAUGCAAGCCAUUGCCUUAUCAGGGAAUCAACAAUAAAAAUUUGAAAAAUUUUGUCCCAAAUAUUCAAAAUUUUCGCUUCACCCAUUUACCUCUCUCCCAGACUUAAGACAACAUUGUCCUCAAUGUUAGGGAUAAAAUAAGGAAAUAACAACAGGAAAAGAGAUGAAAAUGAAACUUCUCUAAUAACAAAUGAAGUGCCAAAGACCAAAUGGGGUGAGAGAAGUUGCUAGUUACCAUCCAAUAGUCAAGGUCAAGAAGCCAUCCUACCAACCUAUAAAAAGACAAGAAAACACUACAAAUAAGAGUUAACUAUACCACCAAAUAACCCAAACGAGAAAGCAAUAAAAUUGUAAGGAAAUAAACACCACCAUUAAUCCUAAAUGAAAGAAAAAUAUUAAAUGAAAUUAAAAAGAAAAUUGGGUUGCCUCCCGAGAAGCGCUAAGUUUAACGUCUUCAGCCAAACAGGGUCACAUAUGAUUGUGGUAGAUGAAAUAGUUCAAAUGAUUUCAUAGUUUUCUUAUUGUGUGCCUACAAUUUUGCAUGAUUUUUCGCAUCUCCAUUGUGCAACUAUUGAAGAAGAAUAUGCACGAUGAUUUUGCAAAGGGAUGACCUCUACAUCCUGCUCUACUACAUAUUUUUCAGCAUGCAAAUCAUUAGAAGCAAUGAUAUAGGAACAAGACCCCUCAUAUGAAGAGUAUUUUAAGGGUUCAAAGAUAUUAAAUUCUUCUUUCUUUUUACCAACCCUUAAAGUCAAUUUCCCUUUUAAUAAGUCUAUAUUAGCUUCCCCCAUAGCUAAGAACCCUCUACCAAGGAUAAUUGACACAGAAAUAUCUUUCUCUAUGUCAAGAACAAGAAAAUCAGGAGGAAAAUAAAAUUUACUGACUUUAACUAACAAAUCUUCUACAAUACCAACAGGAUAACAUACUAAAUGAUCAACCAGUUGUAGAAUCACUUGAGUAGGCCCCAAAUUGGCAAACUUCAAUUUCCUAAAAAAUGAUAGAGGCAUCAAAUUAACACUAGAUCCAAGGUCGCACAAACAUUUAUCAACAAGAAUAUGUUCAAAUUGGCAAGGCACAGUAAAACUUGUUGGAUCUUUCAUCUUGAUAGGAAGACGAUUUUGUAGUACUGCACUGCAUUCCUUAGUAAGAGACACCUCUGCCAAGUCUUCUAACUUCUUUAUAGGAGACACUAUCUCCUUCAAGAACUUUGCAUAAGCAGGUAUAUUAUCAAGAACUUCAGAAAAAGGCAUGUUCACUCGAAGUGUCAUGUGCAUCUCUACGAACUUUUGGUAUUACUCAUUAGUUGCCUUUUUCUUAAACCUCUGGGGAAAAGAGAUAGGCGGUACAUAACAUUUCACCUCAGGCGUUGGCUAUCUUCCCCUUGAUUCUUUUCACCUAAACCAUUCUCCAAAUCUCCAGUUUCUUCACUAUUAAUGGCAAUUUCACUCCUAUCUUGCUUUGCACUUGGAUUAGUCUGGGGCUUAAUGAUAGGAUAAUCCAAUACUUUACCUGAACGAAAAGUCACAGCCACAGUAGUUUCUUUUGGACUCACCUCAGUGCUACUAAGCAAUUUUCCUUGUACCUUUUCAGUUACUGCCUUUACCAGCAGACCAACUUGCCUUUCAAGAUUUUGAAUGGAGGCUUGUUGAGAUUGGGCAAUUCUAUAGAAUUGGUCCAUCCUUUGGUCCAACUUUUGCAUGUAUUGGAGCAUCAUUUCUUCAAGGUUGGACUUUUUCUCCUAAGUAAGUUGAGGAGGAUAUUGAGAAAGUUGCUGCAAAUUUUGGAACCCAGGUGGUCCCAUAGGUCUAACUCCUUGAUCCUUACAUGAAAAGUUAGGGUGAUUCUUCCACCUCUCAUUGUAUGUAUUAGAGAACGGAUCAUUCCUUGGCUGCAACUUCUACCCACCUUAUGCUUCAGUGAAAUUAAUGUCUUCUACCAUGGUGGAGGGAUCUCUAUUAUAGCAACCAACGGCAGAAUUCCUAUACAUGUACUAAGAUUGAGUUACCCGAUUUAAGAGCUGUUGCAUCUGAUGACUCAAUUCAACUACCUGUGAACUCAAAUCUUGUGACACAUUCACUUUAUGCACUCCUACUCUCUUACCCCGAAUUGCCUUUUGUUGAGAAUUGCUAGCUAACAAUUCAUAGAGACUAACUAAUUCCUCCAGGGUUUGGUCACCAAUAUACCCUCUUGCAGCAAUAUCCACCAUAUUCUUGGUUGUUAAGGUCAACCCAUCAUAGAAAAAUUAAACUUGCAACACCAAUGAAUAUUGGUGAUGAGGACAUGGAGAGGGUAGUAACUUAAAGUGCUCCUAUACUUAAUGUAUUGGCUCUCCUUCUAUUUGAGAAAAUGUGUAAAUCUUGUUCCUUUCUGAGGUGAAUAGUACUCGGUCAUAAUGAUAUUAUAAACAUCUUCCCGUGUCCUCAAAGAUCCUUUAGGUAGAUGAAGUAAUCAAGACUUUGCACAAUCCUUUAGACAAUAAGGGAAGCACCUCAUUCGUAAGUCAUCUUCGGGUACUCCACUCAAAGGGAAAGUUUGGACCACAGAAUAAAAUUCUCUUAUGAAGAAGAGUGGAUCCUUCAUUGGCUACACCAUGGAAAGCAGGCAAAAUGCUAAAGUAUAUCGUUUUGAGCUCAUAGUUCCUUGCUUCUUCACUUAGUAUGAUGUAGUGGGAAGAAGCCGCAAUCACAGGAUGUUGGAUGUCCCGAAGACGAAGUCCUACGGGUGGUUGCACUACCUGCUGUUGAUUGCUGUCAUUAUUUCUAUUCUCCUCAGCCAUCUCUUUAUUGUCAGCCUUGCCGACUCAGCUCUAAGGUAAUAUGGAAUCCUAGUGAAGAUGGUUACAAAGUUGUUUAUCUCAACUCAUAUCUUUUGAUGAUUACAAAACAAUUGGAUGUUUCUAAUACCUUUUAUAAAGAUCCUUUUCAGAAAUGAACCAAACAGGUCUGUGGAUUUAAAGCAGAAAAAGAAGAUCAAAAAAGAAUGAAGUCUGCUGAGGAUGAUGUCGGACGCACAAAAGGAGAGUAUCGGACGUCCGACAUUCUUUGAGUAUCUUCGGACGAGUAAAGAACUCAGACUCGGACGUCCGAAGAAGACAAGCCAGGAGUUACUUGAUUACUGUUCAGGAUCGGACGCUCAACAUCUGUGUAUCGGACGUUCGACAAGCUUUGCUGCACAUCGAACGCAUGGUGAUGAGGGAUCGGAUGUCCUAAAGAGAUUCAAGAAAACUUCCAGAAAUCAUUGAUCUCGUUCGGACUCAUGAAAACUGAGUGUCGGACGUCCGACAGCACCAACGGCUAGUUGACUCUUCAGUUUCCUUCUAUCCGUUGACAGCAUUAAUUGAAGAAUUUUCUGGUCUCCUAUAAAGAGGAAAAAGUCAACCACCGAAAAAGAACUUUGCACAUCAAGUCUACAUCAGAUAGUGAGUGAUUCAAGUGCUAGAAUACUCCAAAGGAACGUUUGUACUCCUUGCUUGUUCAAUUUUCUUGUAGCUUUUCAAGUGUGUCUAAGCUUCUUCAAUAGUGUAGCUUUGUGAGGGUUUUCAAAGUGUGUAAAACUUCCUUACUUGACCAAGUGUGGUUUGGGGCAACAAGGAAGUGAUCCAUCCUUUGUACACAAGAAAUUGGUUGCAAGCUUGUUCAACUUGAAGUAGCUGGUUAUAUAAAGUUCUGUUCAAACUCAAGUGGAGUUUGAAGUCUGGUUUGUUUUUUUCUCUAUCUUCAUUUACAGCUUUAACUAUAUAAUCUGUUCACACUUUCAUCUCACGAACAUCAGUAUUUUCUUGUAAUCUGAUCCAUUGAGUGGUUUUUGAGAAAAGCAGGGUAGGCUUGAAAAAAGAGUGACUUAUAUCUCAGCUGAUUUUUAGAAAACCUAAUUCUCUUAGGUUGUCUUCGAUCCUUACAAUUGGUAUCAGACCUUGGUCUCCUAGAGAUUAAGCUCAAUCGGCUUGGGAGUAAACAUGACAACCAACAAUGCAUGUUCUUUUAGGGACAAUCUGUCACUAGAUCUUCAAUGUUCAAUGGAUCAAACUAUGUGAGCUGGAAGGAAAGGAUGAUUAUAUUCUUGCAAUCUAUUGAUAUUGAGUUGUGGUUUAUUGUCAGUGAGGGUCCAUAUAACGCAACUAUUAUUGAUGAAGCUACUCAUAGGCCGAGACAAAAAACUAGAAGUGAGCUGACUGCUGAAGAUAGAACUCAUCUCACUCUAAAUGCCAAAGCUAUGAAUGUUCUAUACAGUGCAUUAGAUUCAAAUGAAUCUAUUAGAGUCAAAGGCUGCAGAUCUGCAAAAGAAAUUUGGGAUAAACUUAGAGAGAUCCAUGAGGGAAGCGAAAAUGUGAGAGAGCAGAAGAAAUCCAUUCUGGUCACUAAGUAUGAAUCUUUUAAGAUGGAACCUCAUGAAAAUAUUGACAAAAUGUACUGUAGAUUCAAUGAUCUGAUCAAGGAUUUAGAGGUGCUUGAGAAGGAGUACUCUCUAGGUGAAAAGAACAGAAAAAUUCUGAAUGCUCUAUCAAAGGACUGGGAAAUCAAAGUGACUGCCAUAGAGGAAGCCAAGGAUCUAAACACCUUAUCCAUUGAAUCUCUGAUUAACUCUCUAACAUCUUACGAACUGAAACUUAAAUCUAAGAUGCAGGAUGAAGAAGACACCAAGGUGAGAAAGAGCAUUGCUCUAAAAGCCUCACAAGAUGAAGAUGAAACUGCCUCACAGGAUGAAAAUGACUUGGAAGGUGAUGAGAGUGAUAUUGCACUCAUCACAAGAGGCUUCAAAAGGUUUCUCAACAAGAGAAGAUUCAGGAAAGGCGGAUCCAGCAAUUCCUUCCCAAAUCAGUCUAAUGACUUCAGAAACAGAGGGAAACUGGAGUUCAACAAGAAGCUUACUGAUAAGUGUUUCGAUUGUGGCCAACCAGGACACUAUGCGAAUGAGUGUCCAAUGAAGAAAAAGAAGGAGAGCAAGAUUGAACGAAAAUCAAAGUUCAACAAUUUCCAGAUUACCUGGAAUGAUUGCAACUCAGAAGGCGAAGUUGAAGAAGAAGAGGAAUCUGCUCAAGUGGCUUUCAUGGCCAUUGGAGACGAAGAGGUAACACAAUACAACUCUCAAACCGACAGUGAUAGUGAAUCUGAUGAUGAUGUUAACUCUUUUCUAAAAAAAAUGCAUAACAGCUUAAAAGAAUCUUAUGUUAAAAAUAAGGAACCAAAGCAGAAAAUUACCUUUUUAAUACAAGACAAUGCAAAUCUUUUUCGACAAAACAAGUGUCUUAAGCAUGAAAAUGAGAAUCUGAAAAGGAUUGAAACUGAGGUGCUUGCUGAUCUUAAAAAAAGGGAAAAACUGUGUAACAUACUCAAAAGAAGAAUGAUGCAGUCUAAAAAGAAGAAUGAAUGAUUUGUGUCAAGUGUUGCAACAUAUAAAAUAGAACCACUCUCAAAAGAAUGACACUGUACCUUAUGUUAAUAUUCAUCAAAUAAGACUGAAUCAAAAUGCAAAUGAAUAUGCUAUCCACAGGAGAAGGCAAGUCAGAUUCAUUAAACCUGUUCAUUUGAUUGAUCCAUUGUCUGUAUGCAACUUUUGUUGUCAAUUUGGUCACAUGAGUAGCAAUUGUUAUGUUAAGAAAAACAUGAGGAAUGGCAUGAGAUGCAUGUGGGUAGUUAGACAUAAGACUAACUCUCAAGGACCCAACAUGUAAAGGGUACCAAGUAUUAUCUUGUGAAUUUGUGUGUAGGUGAACCAGGAUAACAUUACUAAAGAAUCAAAAUGGUUCAUUGAUAGUGGAUGUUCUAGACAUAUGACUGACGAGGCAUCACAGUUCGUUAAACUCAAGAAAAAAGCAAGUGAAAAGGUAACGUUUGGAGAUGAUAACAAAGCCAAAACUGUUGGCAUUGGUAUGUUGGUAGGAAUGGUCAAACCUUUAUUCAUAAUGUUCUUCUCGUUGACAAUCUGAGCUACAAUUUAUUAAGUGUUAGCCAAUUGUGUGAUAGGAAUCUGUUUGUAUUGUUCAAAAAGCUUGAAUGUCUCAUUUUUGACUCAAAGUUCAACAUUGUUUUCAAAGGAAAAAGAGUUAAUGAUGUUUAUGUAGUUGUUCUUGAAAAAAUUGAUUCCUCCUAUCUUAAAUGUCUUAAAGUAGCAAAUGAGGACCCAUGGUUAUGGCAUACAAGGCUGUGUCACUUCAAUAUGGAUUUGCUAAAAGAAAUCUCUAAAAAGGAACUAGUUAGAGGUCUUCCAAAAAUCAGAUUUGAAAAGGACCGGAUAUGUGAUGCUUGUCAAUUUGGAAAACAAAUCAAAGUAUCUUUUAAACCCAAGAAAUGUGUGUCUACUUCAAAACCUCUUGAACUUUUACAUCUUGACCUGUUUGGUCCUAUACAAACUACAAGCCUUGGUGGUAAGAGAUAUUGUUUUGUGAUUGUUGAUAAUUAUACUAGAUAUACUUGGGUGAUAUUCCUUGCUCAUAAAGAUGAUGCUUUUAAGAAUUUUACUUCAUUAUUUGCUAAAGUGCAAAAUCUGCUUGGAUUGAAAAUUGUCAGGAUUAGAAGCGAUAAUGGGACAGAAUUCAAGUUCUGUGGCUUUCCAGAAUUUUGUGAUCAUAAUAGCAUUACUCAUAAAUUUUCUAUUGCUAGAGUCCCUCAACAAAAUGGAGUUGUAGAAAGAAAAAAUUGAACUCUCCAAGAGGCUGCUCGAACCAUGCUUAGUGAAUGCAAUUUACCAAAAUAUUUUUGGGCUGAAGCCAUAAACACAGCAUGUUAUACCAUGAACAGAGUUCUCUUAAAACCAAUUUUGAACAAAACUUCAUACGAGCUCAUGUUUGACAAAAAGCCUGUUGUUGGUUACUUCAAAGUAUUUGGUUGUAAAUGUUUCAUUUUGAAUAUCAAGGAGCAUCUUGAAAAGUUUGAUAAGAAAUCUGAUGAGGGAAUUUUCUUGGGAUAUUGUGAAAACAAAAGAGGCUUUAGAGUUUAUAAUCGUAGAAUAUUGAUUAUAGAAGAGACUAUACAUAUUACUUUUGAUGAAUCUAAUGGUGACAUUUCUAUGAAUGGUGGUGAAGAUGAUGAUACAGAUGUUCAAGAAGAACUAAAGAAGUUAGCAGUCAAUGAUCAUGACUCUGCUUCACCAGAGACUGAUUUAAAGGAUGCUGAUAUUCAGGUCAGUCCAGCUGAAGAAGUGAAUGACAGAGAUACCACUACUCCCAAUGAUCUUUCAAGAGCCUGGAAAAUUUGUUCAUAAUCAUCCUAGGGAGCUUAUAAUUGGUGAUCCAUCUGAAAAGGUCAGAACUCGUUCCUCUAGACACCUAGUAGAUAAUCUUGCUUUUAUAUCACAUAUUGAACCUAAAAAUGUUGUUGAUGCUUUGAGUGAUGAGCACUGGAUUUUAGCUAUGGAAGAGAAGUUAACUCAAUUUGAAAGAAACAAGGUUUGGACCCUGGUUGCCAGACCACAAGGUCAUCCUAUCAUUGGCACCAAGUGGGUUUUUAAAAAUAAAAUGAAUGAUAAAGGGGAGGUUGUUAGAAAUAAGGCCAGGUUGGUGGCUAAGGGAUACACUCAAGAAGAGGGAAUAGACUUUGAUGAGUCUUUUGCACCUGUGGCCAGGCUGGAGUCCAUAAGAAUGUUCUUAGCAUUUGCAUGUUUCAAGAAUUUUAAAUUAUUUCAGAUAGAUGUUAAAAGUGCUUUCUUAAAUGGCUUUAUAGAUCAAGAAGUCUAUGUUGACCAACCUCCUGGUUUUGAAAAUGAAUCUUAUCCAGAUCAUAUUUUUAAACUCUCAAAAGCUUUAUACGGAUUAAAGCAAGCUCCUAGAGCUUGGUAUGAACGUCUGAGUGGAUUUCUGAUUGAAAAUGGUUUUAAAAGGGGGAUUAUAGACACUACACUUUUCACAAAACAAAGCUCACGAGAUCUCUUAAUUGUGCAAAUAUAUGUGGAUGAUAUCAUAUUUAGUGCUACUAAUGAGAGCUUAUGCAAGGACUUUUCCAUCAUAAUGCAAAAAGAAUUUGAAAUGAGCAUGAUGGGAGAACUGAACUUCUUCCUUGGACUCCAAGUAACUCAAACACAAGAUGGAACAUUUAUAAAUCAAACAAAAUAUACCAAGGAGCUGCUGAAAAGAUUCAGAAUGGAGGACUCAAAGGCUGUUGGAACACCUAUGUGCACAUCUACCAAACUUGACAAAGAUGAAGAAAGUACAAAAGUUGAGGAAAAGAAGUAUAGAGGUAUGAUUGGAAGUUUACUUUAUUUAACUGCUAGUAGGCCUGACAUCAUGUUUGCUGUAUGCUUAUGUGCUCGAUUUCAAUCCUAUCCAAAGGAAUCUCACUUGAUUGUAGUAAAAAGAAUUUUGAGAUAUCUUAAAGGAACCUUAAAUUUUGGCCUGUAGUAUCCAAAAUGUCAUGAACUUCCUUUAUGUGGAUUUUCAGAUGCUGACUUUGGAGGUUGUAAGAUAGAUAGAAACAGUACUACUGGUAUAUGCAACUUUCUUGGAAAUUGCUUGGUAUCCUGGUUUAGUAAAAAAUAAAAUGCUAUCUCAUUGUCCACUACUGAAGCUGAAUAUGUUGCUGCUGGUGCUUGUUGUGCUCAAAUGUUAUGGAUGAAAAACACAUUGAAUGAUUUUGGUUUAGUAUAUGAAUGUGUACCUAUGUAUUGUGACAACACUAGUGCAAUUAAUCUGACAAAAAAUCCCAUUCAACACUCUAGGACUAAGCACAUUGAUGUAAAGCAUCAUUUCAUUCGCGAUCUUGUCUCCAAGGGGGUAAUCCGUGUUGAGUUUGUUUGUUCUAAAGAUCAGAUCACUGAUAUCCUCACAAAAGCUCUUCCGUUAGAUCAAUUCGUGUCCUUGAGAACAAAAUUGGGUGUUUCAAAAAAAAUAUUCUAAGUUUUAUUUUUAGUCAAUCUUUAUCGGACGUCCAAUGAAUUGGAACGGACGUCCAACAGUGUUCUUCGUCCAAAUUCAGAAAAAACCCUGGUUCGGACGGUUGUGUCGGACGCUUCACUUCGUUCGGACGUCCGACACUCAAAAACUUGAGUCUUAUAAGGCAGUUACCCAUUCUUCUCAGUUCAUUUUUUCUUAAGUCUCGGACGCAACCGUUCAGUUUCCUCCAAUAUUUAAAAUUCAAAUUCCUCUCUCCUCAAACCAAGUUCCGAGGAAUUGAACCAACCAACUCAAUUACACCUCUGUCGCUCUUCAAUCACUCAUAAAAAUCACUCCUAACCCCCAACUACCCCAAAACUCCCAAUUUACAUACGAAACCCUAACUUCCCAUAACUCCCUCCUUGCGGCAUCUCAGUGCACAUUAGUUGGUUCUUACUGCACUCUUUCUUUGCACACCACAUUCCUUAUUCAAAAUCAUAUCUACAUUGUAUCAUGGUUAGAAUUAGAGGCGGAUCUACCAGUGCCGGGCGGUCCUUUAGACUUAGGGAUGAAGACAUUGAAAUUUUGGAACCACCUCUUGUGGCUCCCAAAAAGAAGAUUGUAACCCGUGGUGGUAAGGUGAAGUAAACUGCCCAAAGAAAACUGGAUAUUCCAACUGUUGAAUCAUCUGAUGAACAGUUGGAAGAACAGAGCUCUGAAGAAAACAUUGCUGGUGGAAACAAGGAACCAGAACAGGCUGUCCGGGGUGAUAAAGCUGUCACAAAGUCCUCUGCUAAAAGAAAGAGGUCUGCAAAGAGGAAGAGCACUCCUCAAUCCAAGAAAAAGCAGUUUGCUGAUCCCUCUGAUGAUCAGCAGAAUGAAGGAAACACCACUGGGAGUCAGAAAACUCCUGAACCCUCUACUAGGAAAUCUCCAAGAACACGGACUGAGACUCAAAAUGCUGAGGCAUCUGCCACACAAACUUCACAAGGGACACGUUCUGGGAAGAAUCCAGUAUCUCAGCCCAUACCUGAACCCAGUCCUCUACCAAAGUUCAUUGAUGAUGAAGCCAGAGACAGAUUUGAGUUAGUCUCUCAAAAAGGGUUCAUCACCCAAAGACUCAUCAUUCCCUUUGAAUUUCGUAAGCUUGAUCUUGAACCUGUCAUCAAACUGUUUGAUUUCCAGAAAUGGACUCAUCUUUUGACCAUUCCUAAUGUCUUUUACCCUGACAUGCUGUAUCAAUUUUUUGCUAAUCUUAGAAAGGGUAAAUCACACACUGAACUCAUCUCUAGGGUCAAUUCUGUAGACAUCAUGUUAACUCCUGACAUUGUGAAUUCCAUUCUGAAAACCAGUAUUGAACCUAGCUUCAAAGGAAAAAUUACAAAUUUCUUUUCAUAUGAGGAAUUUCCUUCUACCUACUAUCAUUUUUACAAUGCUAAACUCAUGACAUAUUUUCAAACCACAUUCAAUACUCCUGCUGAGGCAAGACUGAAUGAUCUUAGUCCUCAGAACCUGAUCAUCUUCACCAUCAUUUCAAAUCUGUUAGUGCUGAUUGAUGGCCACAGAACAGAUGCAAACAAAAUGGAACUCUAUCUGUUCUACUGCUUUGUUGAAAAAAUUCGCGUUGACUUUGGUUUUGUAAUGUGCAAGUUUUUGCUCAAAAUUAGCACUGAUAGCCGUAGGAAGCUCUCUUAUGGCAGAUUUCUGACCCCUAUCUUUGCCCAUUUUGAAAUUCCUUUUUCUGAAAAAUCUCCCAAAGACAGUGCUUCAUCAGUCUUCUCAAAAGCUUAUUUUGAACGAAAGAAUUUAAAAUUUUUUGAAGGCCAUUGGUGCUAUAAGGAGACUGUUGCUGAGUCUAAAAGAAAAAAUUUUCAUGAAACCCCUGUCACUCCUAGGACUCCUCGUGAUCAGUCAGAUUUUGUCUCCCCUUUCACCAUUCAUCCUAGGAAGUCUACUAGCAGGUCCUUCGCAUCAAAUUCUGAAGUCAUCUCCUUGCUUGAAGACCUUAAACAGCAUGUCUUGCUUAUUGAAGAAGGUCUCAUGAUGACCAUGACCUCUGACCAAAAAUCCUCCUUCAUUGAAAAAAGAAACCUUCUUGUCCCUCCAACACCUGAGGACAAUGUAAAUGAGCCAAGAACUGAGCCCACAGGACCAACUACUGGUGCUGAGACUACACCAGCUUCCAGUUCUCAGCCCAAGGAUAAAGGCAAGGCUCCAGCAACUGAGGAAUCAGAUGAAGAUAGUGAUGAGGAAACUAAAGAAGAAGAGGAUCCUGCACAGUAUCGUCUGGCAAGGAGAAGGCCUGGAUCAUCUAAAAUCACCAUCUAGGCACUACUAGGUCACUGCACCUUUAUCUAGGACUAUAGUUCAUCUUUUGCAUUGCACUUUUGUAUUAAGUGCUGAACACAUGGUCUGUACAACUGGAUAUUUUUUUACUGCUCUUGAAUGUUAUAACUAAGUGUUUUGUUAUGAAUGUUUUGAAUGGGUGAUAUGAUUGGUUAUGUGUUUGUGAAAUCUGCUGAUUGAAUGAAUGGUUCUGAUUGAUAUCAGCUAAAUGAUUGAUUCCAAACUGUGCUGUACAUUGUAAAUGUGUAUACUGAUAUUGUUUCUGAUAAGAUACAUUGCUGGUACCUAAAUUGAUACUAAAUCUUGUGAUGACAAAAAGGGGGAGAAUUGGAAUUGGAUUGGAUUUGGUUUAACACAAAUGGUAUAGAGUAACUAGUUAGGGGGAGUCAGUCUCAGGGGGAGUUGAGUUGGAUCAGCACUGAUGAUGUGGAUUGCGUUUCUUCCUGUAUACUACUCAUGCACUUCGUUAGGGGGAGCUGUUAUAUUUUUGCUCUAUCCAAUUGUUUUGUCAUCAUCAAAAAGGGGGAGAUUGUUUAUCUCAACUCAUAUCUUUUGAUGAUUACAAAACAAUUGGAUGUUUCUAAUACCUUUUAUAAAGAUCCUUUUCAGAAAUAAACCAAACAGGUCUGUGGAUUUAAAGCAGAAAAAGAAGAUCAAAAAAGAAUGAAGUCUGCUGAGAAUGAUGUCGGACGCACAAAAGGAGAGUAUCGGACGUCCGACAUUCUUUGAGUAUCUUCGAACGAGUAAAGAACUCAGACUCGGAUGUUCAAAGAAGACAAGCCAGGAGUUACUUGAUUACUGUUCAGGAUCGGACGCUCAACAUCUAUGUAUCGGACGUCCGACAAGCGUUGCUGCACUUCGGACGCAACACUCUGGACACAUUGGCCGUCCGAAGGUAUUGAAGAGAAAAAUCCCAGUGUGCAUCUUACCCUCGGACGCAUGGUGAUGAGGGAUCGGACGUUCUAAAGAGAUUCAAGAAAACUUCCAGAAAUCAUUGAUCUCAUUCGGAUGCAUGAAAACUGAGUGUCGGACGUCCGACAGCACCAACGGCUAGUUGACUCUUCAGUUUCCUUCUAUCCGUUGACAGCAUUAAUUGAAGAAUUUUCUGGUCUCCUAUAAAGAGGAAAAAGUCAACCACCGAAAAAGAACUUUGCACAUCAAGUCUACAUCAGAUAGUGAGUGAUUCAAGUGCUAGAAUACUCCAAAGGAACGUUUGUACUCCUUGCUUGUUCAAUUUUCUUGUAGCUUUUCAAGUGUGUCUAAGCUUCUUCAAUAGUGUAGCUUUGUGAGGGUUUUCAAAGUGUGUAAAACUUCCUUACUUGACCAAGUGUGGUUUGGGGCAACAAGGAAGUGAUCCAUCCUUUGUACACAAGAAAUUGGUUGCAAGCUUGUUCAACUUGAAGUAGCUGGUUAUAUAAAGUUCUGUUCAAACUCAAGUGGAGUUUGAAGUCUGGUUUGUUUUUUUCUCUAUCUUCAUUUACAGCUUUAACUAUAUAAUCUGUUCACACUUUCAUCUCACGAACAUCAGUAUUUUCUUGUAAUCUGAUCCAUUGAGUGGUCUUUGAGAAUAGCAGGGUAGGCUUGAAAAAAGAGUGACUUAUAUCUCAGCUGGUUUUUAGAAAACCUAAUUCACCCCCCUCUUAGGUUGUCUUCGAUCCUUACAAAAGUUUAUUUUUGCAAGUGAGUUUGUUUCCUCAAGUACUUCGCAGUUUUUUCAAAUUCUGGGUCAAAAUUCAAAUUACCUUUUUGAGAUCGGGUCAUACACCAAACACCUAAACAAGAAAAGUCAAAACUAAAAGUGAAGAACUAGAAAUAAAAUAAGAUAAGAUAAAAUAAAAUAAUCCCUGGUAACGGCGCCAAAAAAUUAAUCGAUGAAUUCGUGCAAGCACACAGGGUCGAUUGAAGUAAUAAAUUAUCUGGAGUAUUCCAGGGUUGAACCCACAGGACGAAUUAAUUUUCUACUUUAAUUAUUCUAACAAAAUAAUAAAAUUCAAAUUCAAGAGUUUCAUUUUCUAACUAAACAAUAAAAUUAACAAUCCAAAUAAAGUAGUGAUGAGAAAACAAUAGACGCGAGUUUAAGGUUUCAUGUUUUAAUCUAGAAUUUGAAUCAAUUAUCUAGUUAAAUUCUUAAUAAACUAUAAAUGCAUCACAUGAAUAUAUUUUAGACCACCUCUCGAUGCAUCUAAAGUAUGUUUAAUUAAAUCCUACGCCUCUCUCGAUGGUCAUAAAAGUUCAAUUAAACCUAUUAAGAUUCUCAGUGAUAUAGAUGCAUCAUGCAUAUCUUAACCUACUCUUGUGAUUAGUCUACGUGUAUUUAUCUAUCUAGUGCAUGGUUGUAUCUCCUUUCUCAAUUUGACACAAACCCAACAUUUAUAAUCAUAGCGAUCAGGCAUAAAUACGCAUUAAGAACAAGAUAAAUAAAUCAUAGUAAAAGACAAGGAAUUAAACUAAAAGAAUGAAUCAAAUUCUUUCAUAAAAACUCUAACUCUAGAAACAAUUUAGUUCAACAUGAUUUGACAAUUAUAACCACAAAUUCAAAGAGUUACUGCAAAGAUGCGAGAAAGAGUAAGAAAACUUCUCAGUUGCUCGCUCCAAUCUUAUCUUCUUGCGCGCUCCCUGAUUUGCCUUUAUUUGAUCUUGAUCUCUCAAGAAGAAACUAGGAAAAGAUGUUAAAACUUGUCUAGACUAAUGUUUUCCACCCUAAAAAUGAUCUAAAGAACCCCUAUCUAUAGUUUCUUGGAGAUAUAUCCUAACUAGGAUAGGAAUAAGCUUUAUUACACUAAAAAAAUCACAUUUCCACACUUUUUCUCAAUGAAGACCAGCCCGAAGCCCGAUGAUAGGCCAGCAUCCGGCGCUGGUCUUCGGGCCAAGCAAGUAGCAUAAAAGAAUCUGGCAAUGUUCGGCGUGAAAUCCGGUGCCAAGUCCAAUGCUUGACUUUGAGCCUCAAAAGCUCAAUCAAAUAAGUUGAAUCAGUUCUUGAUCAAAACAUGAAAGUUGUAGCCCUUUUAACACGUUUUCCAAUUCCAUAAGAAUCAAGUCAUUUGGAGGUCUAGACACUAAGAUAUUCCUAAAAUAUUGAGACCUGGUUGUAAGAGCAUCGCAGCGCACUUGUACUUCAGUAAUUUGCAUUUUUGACUAUGAAAAUGAGAGAACCAAACUUUGAUGUCUUCAUACGAGUUGUAGAGCAUUCUCUUAGCUUCAAAUUGAAUUAAGAAUCAUCUAAACCCGCUUUGUGUAGCUCAAGUUAUCACCAAAUCCUAAAACAUAUCAAUCCUGCCAAACCCGUUCCUCUUGACUUUUUCCCUUUUUAUUGCUACUUCACACCACAUUUUUAGUCCAUUUUCUCUUCAAUUGAGCUCUUAACCUUUUAGAAAAAUAUACAAGAAAAAUUAAGUAAUUUCUAUCCAAUAUAAAGCUCAAAUAACAUAAUUAACUAGCAAUUUAUACCAAUAAAUGAACUACAAUUUACACCCUAUCAACUAGAAACAAAACCAAAUUGAGCAAGAGUGGAACUGAAUUUGGCAAACCAAGCCCUGGGAUCUUGCUUUAGUCCAUACAAGGCUCGUCAAAGUUUACAAACCUUAUGAGGAGAAUGAUAGCCAGGAGGAUGCAUAUGAACCUCUUCUAUUAAAUGACUAUAAAGGAAGGCGAUUUUAACAACCAUUUGGAAAAGCUUCUAUUUACGAACUGAAGCAAUAGCUCAGAGACUGCGGAUAGAUGUCAAUCGAGCUAGUGGAACAAAAGUUUCUAUAUAGUUUAUGCCAUACUCUUGAGUGUACCCUUUGGCUACUAAGCAAGCUUCGUAACACUCAACAGUUUCAUCAAAGUGGGUCUUGAUUUUGUAAACCCAUUUUCACAAAAUAUAAGUUUGGGGAUGUAGGUGCAAUUGAGUUCAAUACGGUUGUAUACUGUUGUUUCACUUCUUCUGAGAUUUAGUGUACACUUACAUUUAGUAUUACUUACAGAAUAAGUGAUUUUUUUGUACAUUAAGUUAGUUUGCUAGAGUACAACAAAGUUAUUUGAUGAUGCACUAAAUCAAGCAAAGAAUUUAACAAACAUAAAGUCCCACCAAAUAUCAACUUCAUCUACCCCUAGUUCGUAGAAGUUGGUGAGGACUAUAUAUUUAGGGGCAGAGACACAUUGUUUUUAGGGGUUGAAAUUGCACCCGUUCACUUUUUAAAAGCUAUAAAACAACCUAUACAAAGUUUAGGUUUUUAUAAUUGCCAAAUUUUUACCCUUCCUUCCUCCCCUCUCCCUCUAGAAUUUUCAAAAUAUUCUAUCUUGUUCCACUACUGCACCCCCAAAACUAUUGAAAUUUUUUUAUAGUUUCCUUCACCAUUUCUAUGAUAAAAUCUUUAAAAAAAAUGAUGCUAUUUGUAUUUCCUUUCUGAUAAAUCUUAUUUGCUUAAUAUUGAACUCCAUUUAUAUGUCUAACUAUACAAUUUACUAGUGAAGUAAAUAUUCAUUUAUUUAUUUGACUAAAUAUACAUUGAUUGUCUAUUCUAUAUAUUUGCAUAUACAUGUUAUAGUUUUACAUCUUAUGUUAACGAUUUUACAAUUUUAUGCCAUUAAAUGACCCUGAUAACUGCUACAAAUAAUGAAUCACAAUAUAUACAAAUUUUUAUCUUAUUUUUGCAAUAUUGAAUAAAUUUGUAUAUAAGAAACAUUUAAUUGCGCUAAAAGCCCACAAAACACAUAUUCUAUGUUUAAACAUUGAUUUUUACUCAAAUAGUGAAAAUGCCUUUUGACGUGAAAAUCAACACUUUUAGGUGAAGAUCCCCGGUUAUUCAACAUUUCACAUAUUUAAGUUGCUAUGCAUACUCUUAAUUCAAGUACCUUUUUACAUGAAUAUCAACAUUUGUAGAUGCCAACCCUCGGUUACUCGGUACAUGAGUCAUUGGAGUUGAACAAAAACUCUUUUUCUUUUUUCCUUUUUUUUCUUCAUUUACAAAAGUAAAAGACAAUAAAUAGAUAUUCCCUCUUAACAAGUACACAAGAAUAAUCAAAGGAAGAUUAUAGCCUUUAUUGACUAUAUCAAUAAUUUACUUGCAAAAUUAAGUAAAGAGGAGAAAUCUCGUUAAACAUGCAAAAUUAUAAAUAUAAUUUUCCUCAUUUUACUAGAUAUACUUUCUAAAAUGCAAAAAUCCUAAUUGCAUAAUAACCAUUUCCAAGUCAAAUGAGGACCAAAUCUUCCAAAAUACAUAUAAAGUUUCAACAAGUGGAAGAAUUAGACACUUAAAGUUGAAACAAUUUGGCCCUUUUUUAAAUAAAAGUGUAAAAAUUUGAAGAAUUUUUGGGCCAUAGUGAAAUAUUGAAAAAGAUUUUAGAAAAAUUUUGAUAGAGUUUCCCUUUAUAAAUGGACGAAACUCCCUGCCAACAAACCCAAUUUCAAGAAAAUUAUCCACAUGGUAAUAUUUCAAAGCACGAUUCCAACAUUUCUAAGCAUUUAAAUCCAUAAAAUAUCAUCACAUGGUAUUAGAAUGCAAGUUCAAAUAUUUCUCUCCCCCACACUUAAACUUCACAUUGUCUUCAGUGUGAGAAAAGGAAAAUAAAUAAAGAGUAAGAGAAAAUACUCCCGAUAUGAACUUGCGUUAUCCAAAUCCAUGGCCAAGUGAUGAAUUUCCAACCUAAAGAAGUCUUGAAGCACUAAAAUCACAAUGUAAAUGAAGAUCACUUGGAUGAGUUGAUACAAAAGAAGUAAGAAAAACCACUAAAAGAUAAACAUCAAAAGCACUAAGGAAAACAAAAGAAAAAUAGCAACAAUGUCAAGUGGUGCUAGCACUCCCUCAAGUAGCCGCUUGAUCAGGUGAAGUGGGUGGAGUCGGGAGGAGAUUCAAUGCCAAGUUUGGCCUCAAUGCGACGAAGACGCUCGGAAUUUCGUUUGUUCUCUUGUCUACCCUUCUUCACUUCGGCCUCUAUGCAAAGCAACUUAUCCAUUAUGUUCUUGAGAAAUGACCGAGUGUCUUAAGGUGAAGAUGGGCGACGUGAGGAGGAUGGAUCAGUUGAGACCGGCGGGACAGUUGUCUCGACCCCUUGAGUUUCCUCAAUACGUGUAAUUUCAGCUUCUUCCUCUUGCCGAAUGUCACCUUGAGCAUCUCCUUGAGUUGAAGGACUACCCACAUCUUUACUUUUCAAAAGAAACCUGCAACAAUCCAAUGUGAAGAUGUCCUUCUUCUUGAGGCAUGUAGGGAUAGGAUUAGAGAAAUUAACUCCAGCCUUUUGAAACACUAAGGUCAAGAACCGAGUAUAUGGGAAAGCAUGUUUGACAUCGUUAUUUCAAACCAUAGCCCACAUGUGGUUGGUGAUAAUACUUCCCAAUGGAAUACCUUGGAUGUUGCCUAAACCAUGCUCCAUUUUAUCCAAAAAAUAGAUGUCACUUGUGCGUGCCUUAUUGGUUCCACUUGCUCUCGGAAUGAUAUUGGAGGCAAACAAGUAGAUAAGAAGACGAUGCAACUCCGAAAAGGAAGAAGUCAACACAGAAUGUUGCCCAAUCUUUCAAAUAGACUUGUACUCAACUCCCAAGCGUAAAAGUGCCUCUAGCAUGUUCCAAGAGUCCAAAUCACGGGGUUUGAAUGCUUUCUUCAAAUUUACCUUAUACCCAACGUCAGAAACUUGAAGAUAGCUUUCCAAAUGAGUUCUAUGGAUUCGAACUCUGGUUCCUCGCAUUGUACUUGUAAUCACUUCCAUAUCGAAGUGAAAAGCCUGCUUGACCUCCACAUUGGCGUAAAAUUCUCAGACAAGCUCCUCGUAAUAAAUAUUUGGGAUGUUGAAGAAAUUCUCCCAUCCCAAUUUGGCAAAGGAGGCCUUGAGAUGGUAGACCUCCUCAACAUCCGGAGUGAUAUCUUUCUCCACCAAUACCUUAGCUCCCCUCCUCGAAUUAUACCAAGCUUCAUUUUUGGCGGAGGUAAAGCGCGACCUAUCAUAAGGAACUUGCUCCACUUGUUGCUCUUCGUGUUAUUGAAUCUCCUCUUCAGGUGAUGGUUCAUCUUCAAGCACAAGUCGUCUCCUUUCUUUUCUCUUCAUACGCGGUGGUCUAGAAGUAGACAUAGAGGCUUCUCCUUUCCUCUUGGGAGGUGGAGAUUUCACUCCGACUUUCUUAGUGCGAGCCAUUGCACCUAAAUAAAAUUUUUAAGCAUUAACUUCAACUAAUAGGUACAUUGUUAAAUAAAGCAUAACGAACACUUGGUCGCAUUUACCUUUAUCUUUAAAGAGACAAACUCAUUAACUUACUUACAUAAUAAGUAGCAAUCAACAUCAUAAGUAAGUAUUAAAAUCGAUUAUCAACGACAAGUGCUCUUAUAUUUUUCCCAAAUGAAACAUUUGAACAUAUAAUGUCCAUAUAAUUAAAGGAAGUAAUUAAGCAAACACAUAACUCACUCCCAUCUUAAUGACUUAAAUAAGCAUAAUUAAAUGCUAAAUAACACCUUAACCAUGAGUUUAAAGCUUUAAAAGGUCAUUAAUUCACUUUUCACCAAAGAUUCUAGAAUAAACAUGCCAAAAAUCAAGAGAUAAGUAAAUUAAGCCUAAAUUUAGCGUGCAAAUAUCCUAGAGCAAUCCAUUAAUCUCAUUAAUUUUCCUUCAAUCCAAUUAGCUCAAGAAUUUAGCUAAUUGACGGGUAUUUUACAUACGUGCAAGCUAAAAAAUACCGAAUUACACCCGUUCACUGCAAGUAUACAGAUCAACUAGUAGUUUAGGGUAUAUAUCGGGUCGAUCCCACAGGGAAGAGUGAACAAUUACCGGUCUUACUAAAGCUUCUCUAUUAUUUAGACUAUCAAUGAAUUAUAACAAGUAAAACUUACUGAACUUAUGCAAGAAAAUAACAAAUGAAAGCUCCUUAGGUUGUGGUAUCCCUAACUACUCAUGCAAGUGCUAUUUUUGGAUCCUUGAGUACUACAUCUAAGCUAGUUAUAGUGUAAUUUCCUUAAACAUGUGAAACCUACUUUCGUAGUGGAUCAACUAUACUCAUAACUAAUCCAUACCUAUUUUCAUGGUUAUGAAAUUAGCUACAAGUUCAUUUCUUCAAUGAAAUUACAUGAAAUGAAUCACUAAAAACCACAUAAGUGCACCUCUACUUUCGUGAGUAUACUCCCUAUGUUUAGCACCUCUUGAACUAGUGUUAAAUCUCAAUUUUCAUUGCAGAAACAACACCUUAGAUAAUCAUAAUUAAUGGUACCAGAUUAAUCAUGAUUUAAAGAGUCAAAGUGCUAAAUAACUUGCUCAAAUCAUAGCAAUCAAAUAACCAAAUAAUAAACACUAACAAUCAUAGAAAGUUCAACCAAACCCAAGGCUUAAACUUUAGAUACACAUAUUAAACACAAAAUCCAGAACUUGUAUAUUAACUAAACUUGGAAUCAAGUACAAAAGAUAAAGAUUUGGAAAGGAAUGUAACCCAUGUCACUUGAGCUCAUCACCUUGCCUUCUUCAUCUCCAUCUUAAUCCUAGUCUAGCAAUAUACAAGAGUGGAUGAACUACACUAGCUAAACUAUCCUACACUAAAGAAAUGGAAGAGCUACAUUUCUGCACUCUUCAAGCUUUUUCCCGUAGCUCACUCUCUAUUUCUGCUAUGAACUCCAUCUCUUUCGUAUGAUCUUUCUCUUUUGUUGCAAUGAAUUUGGCUCUUUUAUCAUGAAAGGUGGUCAAGAAAUGAGGAUUACAUCACCCUUUUACAGCUGGGAAUGUUUCUCACAUGUCUAGCAUCGCAUGUGAGUUGGUGGGAGUGAAAUUGAGUUUUACGCGUACAGAGCAGCCUUUUCUGACCACAAUCCGGCCAGGAAUCCGGCCACAAAUCCGGCCAAAUUCCGGUCGGAUUGCUACAAUAAAUCUGGGCUGCUACAGUGAUCCGAGCUGCUAUAGUGCCUCGGAUCCACUAACCCAGAAACAACCGAGGGUUCGGAUGAAUAGUGGAUCCGAGUGUGGAUCACUUGCUCUGUUUUUGGCCCAACUUCAACCAAUCUUUUCUUGAUGUUAGAGGCUGAACCAGCUCAUGUCUAAAACAUGAAAGUUGUAGCCUUUUGAGUUAUCUUUCCAAUGCAUCAAAAAUCACCUCAUUUGGAUCUGUGUAGGCUGAGAUAUGACUGAAAUACCCUUGACUGCUCAUUGCCCUGUUUCAGUUUCGACCAGUAGAAAUUUGCUAUUGUAAUUCGGCAUUUUGACCUGGAAAACCUUCAAACUGGAUUUAUAUGUCUUCACCAAAGUUGUAGAGCUAUCUCUUAUCUUCAAAUUGGUUCAAGAAUCAUCUUAAUCCGAUCACUGUAGCUCAAGUUAUAGCCGAAAUACGAAAAUGUAUCAAAACUGUCAAAAUACACAAAAUCCAAGUAAAAAAAGUGAUAAAAACCUCAUUUAAUCACUUAAAAACAUUUAUUCACCAAUUAUAGCCAAAAUAAUUCAUUUUCUUCCAAUAAUAUAGCAAAAGUGACUAAAAAUAAUAUAAAAUAUCAUACAAUUAUUACGUAAAUUAGUCACUUAUCACUAAUAAUUAUCAAGUCACAUUAAUCCUCAAAAUUAGCUAAAAAUUGAUAAAUUCACCAAUUAAUCACAAACCCUUGAGUUAAAUAUCACCAAUAAUCAUCAAUAACCUCAAUAAGCACAAUGUAAAGCACCAAACAUCUUAAAAUAAAGAAAUUUGAAAUUGCCCAAAAAAUGAGAAAAAAAUGAAAAAUGGCAAAAUUUAAAUGAUAACAUUUGGUGAAGAUUUGUUACCUCAACUUGCUGUUUGAUGAUUAUGGAUGCAAAUGGUGAAGAAACCCCCUAAAAUCUCACUCUAAUUCGGCCCUCAAAUGGAGAGUUCAAAAAUUUGAAACUUUGUUCUUGCCAAGCUCAAAUCCGAAUUAAAUCUUGUUUUUGAAGAAGUUUAAACUGUGAAAUCAUCUCUAGAGGUAAAGGCAAGUGUUUUGGUGAAGUUAGUUUGAAAAUUUGAUGUUGAAAAGAGGGAUUUUGGUGAAUAGUGUGUGUUUUGGGGUAUGAGUGUGUGUUUUGGGGUAUGAGUGUGUGUUAAAGUUGAAGAAGAAAGGAAGAAGGAAAUGGGGAAUCUGUUGUGCGCGAUUUUGGCCGGAUUUUUGGCCGGAUACUGGCCAGAGAACUAGAAAAUUUUUUUUGAAGUCCCCUGUCAAUUCGGCAGUGAAUCCGGCCUAAAAUUGGCUGGAUUUCAUGCAGAAAUCUCUGAUUUCUACAGUUUUUUCCUCUAGUUCCCUGCGUGAUCAAGUUUCCACACUCACUCGGUUUUCGACUGUUUUCAUGUUCUUUAAGAAAAAAAUUCACUUUAAACCACAAAAAGGUGCUUUUCUCAACCAAAUGCACUUAGAAACAUGAAAUCAUGCAUAAAUAUAAUUUUAGCAUAAAUCACUUUAAAUGCAUCAAAUGCAUCAAAUGAACAUGAAAACUCCCUUUAUGCUUCCUUCUACGCUCUUUUGCACUUGAAACAAUUUGCAUGAACCCUUGCUAUUGCCACCUAUAAAACACACAAAAACACUAGUUAAACGACUAAAACCUACUUAAAACAAGAAAUCAUUGGGUUGCCUCCCAACAAGCGCUUCUUUAUAGUCAUUAGCUUGACUAUAUAACCUCAUUAUCAAGGAGGUUUAGUUAACGAAUAAUCCACCAUUUUUUGUCGUGGUGGAUCAUUAAAAUGUGGCUUAAUAGCAAAAGUCACAUGUUCUAAUGAUGUGAGAUUUGAAAGUGACUUACCUAUUUCAAGUGAUUCAUAGAUAUUACCUUGAAUGUGUAUCACUUGAGAACUCACCAAAGGAACAUCUACAUGGCUUUCUUGAGUUAUAAUACCUUUAGAACCUAUACUAUCACACUUGAGAUCCUCGGUGACAUGUUUUCUAUGCCAAUCCAAUGCCACCAAUAGUAUUGUGCCAAGUGUCAUGUUAUUAUUUACCCUUGUGUUAAAUCAAGCCAAAUUAAAUGAUUAGAAAAUUAAAAUGUAAAUAAUAACAUGACACUUGGCACAACAUUAUUGGUGGCAUUGAGUUGGCAUAGAAAAUAUGUCACCGAGGAUCUCAAGUGAUACUAUCAACACAUUCCUCAAGAUGAGUGACAAAUGAGUCAUUAAGGCUCACCCCUUGAGGUUCAAGAUUAGUUCCAAAGGUACUAUCAUGUGAAAUGGAUAUUUUUUCAUUGAAACUCAAAUUAGAUUCAUUAUUUUGAUCAAAAUUUAAUCCAUUAUCACAUACAACAUUCCCACCAUUCAUAAUAGGGUAAUUUUGCAUAUCAUUAGAGGAAAUAACUUCACACAAUGCAUAUAAUUGUUCUUGUAUUCUACCAAAGUGAGAAGCUAAUUCAUCUAACAUUUCCUCAACCCUAUCAAAACGGUUGAAGGUCGCAUUUGCUAGAUUUUCUAUAGCUAACUCCCAAUAUGGCUUAGAAUCAUUAGCUACUGGUUCACUUUCUAAUUCCAAAGGUGAAAGUGCAUUAACUAACCUUUCUAUUGCCAAUUCCCAAAAUGGUUUUGAUUCAUAAUGGACACAUUCGGGUGGAUAAUCAUAAAAACAUGGAGAAUCACUAUAAGUACAUUGAUUAUCCCAACCAAAAGUAGAAGAAUUGCCCCUAUUAGCACCAUAUUGAUCAAAACAAGAAUUAUAAUGCCCCAAUUCAUCAUAAUAAUCCACAUUUUGUACUUGCAUACAUGUAUAAGUAGCAUGAUAACCUCCACACAAGUCAUAAAUCACAUGAUUAGAAUUAAAAACAUUAACAUUCCUCUUUUGCUCAAUUUCAUGCAUAAUGGCAUCCAUUUGAAUUUGUAACGUUAUAACAUCAAGUUUAGUCUUUAAGCACCUUAAACCAUCUUCAAAUGACAUACCUUCGGUAAUUUCUUGGUUAUCUCUAUUCAAGGAGCUUUGCAUGUAGUAACCAUCCAUUGUCGAUUUUCUACUUCUCAUGCAUUGUCCUCCAUAUUGACCUACUCUCCUCAUUAUCUAAAAUUGCUUUUAAACAACUUAAGAGCAAGAUUAGUAAGAAGAAUAGGUUAUAAAACACAUACACAUAAUAAACACUAAAAUAAAAGAAAAUAACAUUCAAGACUAACUCAAUAAACACACAACAAACUAUACUUAAUUAACACACUAGAAAACUAAUAAAAUGUCCAAACUAAUAAAGUUACUUUUCACGCCGAUAUUGCCACAAAUCUUCUCCAGCAACGGCGCCAAAAACUUGACGAAAUUUUUAUAUAAGUACAAGUUUAAUUCCGAAAUAUACCCAUUUUGACUGCAAGUAUACAUGUCAAAUUAGUAGUUUAGGGCAUAUACCGGGUCGAUCCCACGAGGAAGAUUGGACAAUUACCGGCACUACUAAAUCUUCUCUAUUAUUUAGACGAUCAAUGAAUUAAAAGAGAUAAAACUAUGCUAAACUUAUGCAAGAAAAUAGUAAAUAAAAGCUCCUAAGGUUAUGGUAUCCCUAACUACUCAUGCAAGUGCUAUUUUUGGAUCAUUAAGUACUACUAUCUUGGCUAGUUAUGGCAUAAUUUCCUUAUGUAUGUGAAACCUACUUUCGUACUGAAUCAACUAUACUUAUAGCUAAUUCAUACCUACUCUCCUGGUUAUGAAAUUAGUUAUAAGUUCAUUUCUUCUAUGAAAUUACAUGAAAUGAAUCACUAAAACCACAUAGGUGCACCUCUAUUCUCGUGAGUGUACUCCCUAGGUUUAGCACUUCUUGAACUAGUGUUAAAUCUCAAUUUUCAUUGAAGAAACAACACCUUUAGAUAAUCACAAUUAAUGGUACCAAGUUAAUUAUGAUUUAAAGAGUUAAAAUACUAAAUAACUUGCUUAAAAUAAUAGCAUCAAAUAGCCAAAUAAUAAACACAAACAAUCAUAGAAAGUUCAACCAAACCCAAGGCAUAAACUUUAAAGACACAUAAUAAACAUAACAUCUAAAACUUGUAUAUUAACUAAACUUAGAAUCAAGUACAAAAGAUAAAGAGUUGGAAAGGUAAAGUAACCCUUGUCACAUGAGUUCUUUCCUUGCCUUCUUCAUCUCCAUCUUCAUCUUUGCCUAGCUAAUAAACAAGAAGGAUGAACUACUAGUUAAACUAUCCUAUACUAUACUAACCUAACACUAAGAGAAUGUAAGAACUACAUUUUUAUGGUAUUUCUUGUACUCUCCAAGCUCCUUUGUCUUUGCAAGUCCAUGGCUAUUUAUAGAUGAUUUAGUCAAGAAAUGAGACUUCAAACAUCACUUUUAUAGCUGCAAAGUUGGUGUCACACGUUCAUCAAUAACUGUGAAUUAUUGGAGGAGGAAACAAGUUGUACAAGUGGGGAGCAGCCAUUUCUGACCAGAAUCCGGCCACAAAUCCGGCCAGAAUCUGGCAGGAUUGCUCCCUUGCCAUUCUUAGCAAUUUCUGUCCAAUCUUCAAUGUUGCUCCAAUUUUGUCUCAAUUUCAACUGAACUUUUCUUGAUGAUAGAAGUUGAAUUAACUCUUGACCAAAACAUGAAACUUGUAGCCCUUUAAGUUAGCUUUCCACUUCAUUGAGAAUCACCUCAUUUGGAUUUGUGUAGGCAGAGAAAUGAUAGAAAUACCCUUGACUGCUUACUGCCUUGUCUCGGCUUCGACCAUAGAAAAUUAGCUACUGUAAUUCAGCUUUUUGACCUGGAAAACCUUCAAACUGGAUUUCGAUGUCUUCACAUGAAUUGUAGAUCUAUCUCUUAUCUUCAAAAUGGUUUAGAAUCAUCUCAAUCCGAUCAUUGUAACUCAAGUUAUAGCCGAAAUACAAAAAUGUGUCAAAACUGUCAACUUCCUUUUUCAUCCAAAUGAAGUAUAUUUCCAGCUCCUAUACAAAUUAUGGACAAAAUGCAAGUAAAAAGUGACAUAAAUCUCAUUUAAUCACUUAAGAGUAUUUUACACUAAUUAUAGACAAAAUGAUCCAUUUUCUUCCUACAAUAUUGCCAAAGUGACUAAAAAUAACAUAAAAUAUUAUUCAAAUAUAGCGUAAAUUAGUCACUUAUCAAACAUAAAAUUAUUGCAUCCCCUAAAUAAAGAUCCUAACUCGGCCAUCAUAUGUAUUGACAGGAAUCGGAUGAGUUGAGCAAAUUAAUUUUCUUUUUUUUUUAACUUUUAAAAAAUCGAACGUUCUCAAAAUAAAAAAUUUGGCGAGACAACCUCUUUGCAAUUGCGUUGUCAUAUUUGAUAUGGACCCACGUGCCCUAUAAAAGAAAGUUACCAAAUAAACAUUUAUAAUCAACUGUCAAGGAUCAAGAAGAUGGGGUGGCUGGAGACGCUUUCUCAGGCGCCAUGGAUGAUGUAUCUGAUCAAAUAUUUCCCUUGAGAACUUCACACUUAUUUAAGUACGUGAGACCAAUGAACAUGUCCUCUGACAGGGUAUUAUAUGUCUGAUUAGUUGGGUUUACUCCCAUAAUUCAUUAGAUUCUUAACAAGAUCACUUGAAUCAUAGCUGAUAUAAAUAGACAAUACCGCAUAUUCUAUAACAUUCUUUGUUUUUAAUUUUUUUAUUUGGCAGUGAAAGCCAGAAGAAGCCACCAUGACUAGAUAGACACUCUUAAUGCCUAUGUAAGCACAUGCACCAACAGCUACUUAAAUUAGUAGAAAAUGGUAAUUUUCCAUGCACAGUUUACUUUUGUCUAUUUAUUUAUUUAUUUAUCAAAUGAGGAGUUUGAGUGAUGUUUUAUGCAAGAUGUAACUUUUGCAUUCUUGAAUCAGAAAUUUUGAAGAAGCAUAUGGAGAAAAUCAUUGGAGGAAGGCAAUGGAAGAGAAGAUUCAUGCAAUUGAAAAGAACAGGACUUGGAAGUUAGUUGAACAAAUUCAAGACAAGAAAAUCGUUGGUGUCAAGUGGGUUCACAAAGUCAAACUAAAUCCGGAUGGCUCAAUCCAAAAGAAGAAUGCAAGAUUUGUUGCAAAGGGUUAUUCGCUAUAGUUUGGAAUUGACUACAAUGACACUUUUGCACUGAUUGCAAAAUUUGAUACAACUAGAACUUUUAUUGACAUGGUAGCCCAAAAAGGUUGGAAUCUCUAUCAAAUUGAUAUCAAAUCUGCAUUUUUGAAUGGAGAAUUGAAGGAAAAAGUGCCAUGUUCAACAACCUCAAGACUUUAUCAAAGAAGGAGAAGAAAACAAAGUGUAUAAGUUGAAUAAAGUAUUGUACGAAUUGACACAAGCUCCUAGGGUUUGGUAUAGCUAAGUUGAUUUUUGCUUCAUGGAGUAAGGAUUCAAGAAGAGCAAAAGUGAGUCAACAUUGUAUGUGAAGUCUCAAGGUAACUCAGACAUUCUCAUUGUUGCUUCAUAUAUUGAUGAUUUUCUUUACACCAGUAACAAUGAAAAGAUGACUGAUCUUAAGAAAGGCAUGAUGAAAAGAUAUGAAAUGAAUGAUGUAGGACUGCUAUAUCAUUUUCUUGGCAUGGAGAAUUAUCAAUAUGAUAAUGGAGUGUUUGUUUGUCAAGAAAUAUGUUGAAAAUAUUCUUGUGAAACUCAGCAUGUCUGAUUGCAAACCUAUGGUUACACCACUUGUUGUGAGUGAAAAACUUGUUAAAGAAAAUGGAGAAAAGAGAGCUGAUUUCACUUUGUAUAGAAGCUUGGUGGGAAAUUUGCUUUACCUCACAGUUACAAGGUCGAACAUCAUGUUUGCUUCAAACUUAUUAUCAAGGUUUAUGUACAAUCCUAGUCAAUUACAUCUUGGAUUAACUAAGAGAAUGUUAAGACACAACAAAGAGACACUCAACUAUGGUAUCAAAUUUAGCAAAGGAGCUUCCACAAAUUUGUGUGGUUAUUGUGAUAGUGAUUGGAGGGGUUGUGUUGAUGAUAUGAAGAGCACCUCAAACUAUUAUUUUUCACUUGAUUCGAGAGUAUUUUAUCAGGUAUCAAAGAAGCAAUGAUGUAUGGCACAAUAAUUCAUUGUAGCUGAAUAUAUGUCCACAAGAUUGGCAACAUCACAAGUCAUUUGGUUUGGAAAAAUUCUUGAAUACAUUGGUACUGAAAGCAAUAGAAAACUACAGUUAUAUUUCACAAUAGUAAAUCAGCCAUCGACAUUGCCAAAAAUUCAAUCUAUGAUAGUAGAACUCGCCACUUUGCUAUCAUGCAUCAUUUCAUUCAUGAUGCAAUUGAAGAUGGCGAAAUUGAACUGAUAUUUUGUAAGAGUCAAAACCAAGUUGCAGAUAUCUUUACCAUUGCACUUCCAAAAAACAAGUUCAACUAUUUCGAGAAAAGCUUAGAGUUCAAAAAUAGCACAUUGGGGGGGGGGGAAUGUGUUGAAUAAUGUGUUUAAUUAAUUAGUUCGUUGGCAAAUCAAGUUAAUGAGUUAGUUGGUAAGUGACUUGUUUAGACUACUUUCAUGUACUCCAAUGAAUCUAGAAUGAUGUAUUUACAAAUAUAAAUAAGUCCUGUAAAUUCCAAGAUAAUUAACGGAAAAAGAAAUCAAUGAAUGAGAAACUCAAAAUAUUCUUCUAUCCAACAAACUAUGCGUUGCCUUUCAAAUGGAGCCACAAGAACCUGUUGAGGAUAAGGCCGAGCUUUGAACUUCACGAUCGAGACCUAUGUACAAUAGUUAAUGCUGGUAAUGUUUUUUGUUGUCUGAUAGGAAAAUAGUUAAGCAAUAAUUAUGCUACUCAACACUUGGAAUUUUGCAAGGUAAAUAUAUAUAUAUAUAUAUAUAUAUAUAUAUAUAUAUAUAUAUUUCAUUUAUUCAAGAUCUGGGAUAAAAAUUGUUAUUGAAAUUGUUGGCGAAAGAAUCUAUUUUUUGCUCAAGGGGAAAAUAAUUUUACAACUCAUACCAUGCUCUCUGGAAUUAUUCAUACUAUUUACAUCUCAAUUAACGGAAGCAAGACACUGUCGGAAGCAAAUUAAUAAGAUCGUUGAAUCAAAUUUUUUUUCCUUCGCAUCCAUGGGUUACAUCUUGAUGUAACUACAGCAUCCAUUUUUGACAAGUUUUAGCAUCAAUCUUGACUCUUGGGUACCAUUUAUCUGCAUCACAAUAAGUCCAGUAGUGCUUUUCAUUUCAUUAAUAUAUUCUCUGCUUCUAUAAACUUUCAACUUGAAUGCCGUAGGUGGUUUGUUACUACUUGGUUCUAAUAUUAACAAAAUUCAUUUAAAUCACUAAAUUAUUGAGAAUACAAACAUUCGACACAAAUUUGCAGUAUUAUUAAAUUUUUUAUGGUAAACAUAAUAAAAGUCUCAAGUCUACCUGGAAAAGAAGAGCAAAAAAGAUCCUUUAUAUUGAAUAACUAGGUGAACAACUAUAAUCGUAUGUAGAUUAUUCAAAAAAUUUUUGAGCUAGACUAUUCAGAUUUUAAUUAGUAAAGAAAAAGAAACUUAGAACACAUUCUUGCCUUGGAUUGUACGAGGAAAGAUCUAGCAAUAGUUACACCAAAUUAUUCAAAAGUAUUGCUAAUCAUACUGUUUUAUUGAUAGAGUGAAUACAGCUCACAGCAUACAUUUUAAUAAUACAUACAUGAAGAAAUUCUUGACCUGAUGACUUAUAGGGCCCAGGGUCAAGUUUAUUUGCAUCAGUUAUUAAUGAAGAGCGAUACCAGGGUAGUCAUCCUAUAUGUCCUGUCUAAUGUGGAGGUUCGACCUUACAGUAAUAUAAUCUUCUGUUGUGCGGACAGUCUCAAAGGUAAUAUACCCCGUUGCAUGCCGAAAUUGUUUGGUUCCUCCCACAAUUGCAACUUCAUUGACAUGCAUAGACUGUAUAAGAAUUCCUUUCAUUUCCAGAGUGCUGCCAUUGUACUUUCCAUCAGUGAACAGAAACGUUUCCGCAAGCUCUAUGUUGGUGUUAUCAAGGGAUGCUACUGCAGCAAUGCCCUGCAAACAACCAACUAGUGCGGAUUUGACUGAAACGCUUUGUGUCAAGGUAUUAUCAACGACAAAAACAGUUCCAAAUUGGUUAAAGCCCCAAGUUACGUUGGAGAGACCUGCAACUGGGAAAAUACUCUGACCUUCUCCACUUCGAAAUUCAUGGACGUACACCGUCAAAUUUGUGAACAAUGCCCUUGAUUGUCCCGAGCUUGCUAGUAAAAGUAGGCUGAGAAUUUGGAGGGAUGCUAUGGCUAAACUCUUUGCCAUUGUUUCGUUACGGGGAAAAGCGAAACAAAGGAGGAGAAGCAAGAUGGAACAAGUUGGUGUGGUUUGAAGUAUAAAGCUGAUGAGGACUAUAUAUACUUUAUAGGACCGCAGUUGGGGAGAACAGAAAUUUAUUAAGAGAGAGAGAGAGAGAGAGAGAGAGAGAGGAAAGGAAAAAAAGAAAAAGUUUGUCACGUAACCGCUUUUCAAGUGCAAUAUUUUGUGUUAGAUACAGCCCCACUUGCCUAAAAUUGUAAAGAGUGUGUAAAGUCAAACCAAAAAAAAAGAAAAGCGAAAGGACAAGUACAAAUGUCAUCUAUGUAUGAUACAAAGUUUUCGAAGGAAGAUGGGGCGAGAAAUCUUCAUUAAAAACAUGGUACACAACAGAAUAUUAUCAGUUGCCAAUGAGGCCUUGGUUUAAUUUUUUAGCCAUCAAUUUUUCAGUCUCAAGAAUUAGACAUCUUGAGUUCAUGUAUAUUUAACGGUGAGUUUAUUUAAUUAGAUUCCAGUGUUUAUCUAUAAAUUUUAGCAAUAAUGUUGUUUAGGUUUAAUCUGAGUGUGUUGGUCAUACCUAUAUAGAUAAUGUUUAAUCACAUAGAAAAGUAAAUAAACAUGUUCAAGAAAACGGAAUGUUGGAUCAAAUGCGUCCAUAUUCAUUAGUUUAAUUCAAGUUGCCAACUAUCAUAUCAAUUAGGCGUCCAAUCGAUGAAAUUAAACAAAGAAUGAAGGCCCGGCAGAGAACAUUGACGCGCUGAAAGUUAUGUUGUUAUUUUGCAUGAUUGAAGACUUUUCUUGUUGAUUCAGAUACAUGAAUGAGAAUUCUUCAGGCUGUUUAACCAUUCAAACGGAGAUCCUUUACUGAUUAAAAUCUGCCAACAUUUUUCAUUGGAGCAAAAGAUGGAGGCCUUGUCCUGGUCAAAAUUAAAAUUAUUGUACGUGGGAAGCUGUGCUGUUGUAAAAUAAUUGCAAAGAAUUGUCCAAUUACAAAGAGGUAACCUGUUGAAAAAGAAUUUACAUUCUUAAUCAAAUCGUAUGUAAUACUUUAUGUUAAUUAGACUGUUUCCUUUUCACCAAAGUGUUAUUCUCAAUUAUAUUUUCUGAAAGAAAAUGUAUAAAUUGUGUAUAAGAUUUCAUAUUAAUUAUGAGAAGUUGCGCAUUGAACCCUUAACCAGCUCUCUGAGUUCAGCCUAAUUUUGAGACUUAAUAUCAUUGAAUACAUGUAUAACUAAUUCUAGAUAACCAUACAAUUUUCUUCAAAUGUGGUCAUAAGUUCAUUUUUUCUGUUGGUACGUUGCCUAUGCCAUAGUAACCCCAAGACUCCACAAGCAACUAUUGAGGACAAGGCCGAAAUUUGAACUUCACCGUGGAGACCUACGUUCAAUAGUUAAUGCUGGUAAUGCUUUUGUUGGUGCAGCAUGAAGUAACAUUUAAGUAAUGUUAUGCUACUCCACACUUGGAAUUUUGCCAGGUUUAAAAAAAAGUCUUUUUCUUUAUUCAAGACCAAAUGCAAAAAAUGUUAUUCACAUUUUUGGCAAAAAAUCUAAGUUAUGUUGCGCAGCGGAUCUUCUGUCCCACACUCUGUGCCACUCUCUGUGCCACUUUUUAUUAUAUUGCUAUUUCUCCGUCAUAAACAUCAUGUUUUAAUUCUUUUUUAUUUUCUUAAGAUCUAAUAACUAUUAAUUGAGUAAUACACAAAAUUUAACAAACUCAAAAAAUCAAAAUGCAUAAAAAAUGAGAUUUUUUAUGAAUUUUCUGCUAUAUUUUUUAAUUUUCUAUUAUAUAUUGCUUUUUUGAAAUUGAUGUAUUUAUUUUUUAUUCAAUUAAUAGUUAUUGAAUCUUAGGAAACUUACAGUUACGCCUGGUGUUAGGAAAUUUAUGGGGUACCUAAAAACCCUGAAAAAUAAUAAGAAAUGACAAUUAAACAAGUAGAGAGACACCAGAUUAACUUGGUUCGAUCAAAUUGAUAUAUGCCAAUGAGCAAAGGAGUAACAUACUAUCACCAUAAGGAAUAGGCUACAAUCUCUAGGAAAGUGUUACUAGAAUCAAAAGCACUUAUUUCAAAAAACAGAGGAGUGUCUAAAACAUUACAAAAUGUUUAACGGCCCAAAUGUCCAAAAUAACCCUCUAACUUGCUCUCUUGGUUUAGUGCUUAUCCAAAACCUUUCUUAGACUGUGGUCUUGCCUCCUCCAGAAACUUUUCUUGGGUGGUGCAUUCACACGCUUGAAUUUAGUUAAAUCCAGUAUAUUUAUAACCAUUUUAAAACUUUUGAUAUAAUACAAAUAUAAACUCAACAAAUCUUCACUUUAAUGUGUACCCAAUAUCGACAAAUAGUACAAUCAAUUCACUUUUUCUACAAAAGUUCUGGUAGACCCUAACCAGUCAAGAUCACAUAUGGCCCAAUGAGUUCUAACAGGCCAAAAUUGGAAGGCCCCAAAUGGGCCAAAUUCACAAAAGUCCCAAUGGGCAAAAAUUAUAAAAGUCUCAACAAAUUUCAAUAGGUCAAAAUUCACAAAAGUCUGGACGAAUCCCAAUAAAUUUCACGAACAUAACAAUCUUUCUCCACUUUCUCCUAAAACCUCAAAAAGCUCCAUUGAGCCAAAUAGCAAACAUGCUGCUCCUCCACAAAAGUCCAACCGGUACCAGUGGUCUUUUUUUCUUCCAUUCCUUGUAGUUAGGGGUGGGUAAAAUUAUCCGCUAAACCGAAAAUCUGUCAUAUCCGAUCCGAAAAUUAGGAUAUUCGAUUUUUAUUAUUUGAUCGGGUCAAAAUAGGGUCGGGUAUCCGCUAAGAUGCGGGGCGGGUUAGGGUCACAUAAUUAAAAACCCGCGGGUACCCGAUCCGCCCCGUAUAUAUAUAUUUUUUAUUUUUAUACACACACUAUAAAAUAAUAAGUUAGAACUAAAUAAGUAAUUUUAUUGAACAAAUUGCAUUACAAAUAUGAGAGACUAUAGUUUAUUUACAAGAUUCAUUUGUAAAGACCAUGAUCUUAUAUUUUAUAGAAAAAAGUUUAAUUAAUGUGAAAUAUAGAUAUUAAAAAUUGUGCUACUUAUUUCAAACUUUUAUUGAUUUUGAAUUCUUUUAAUUUUUUUCCUUUAUCUUAUAUUCUCUUCAUAUGCUUGUUUCUUGGUGGGAAACCUUUUUUAGAAAAAAAAUUAUUAAAUCUUAGAUGAAUGUGUAAAAUAUAAAAUUAAAUUGGUAUAAAUCAUUUUUUUUAAAAAAAUUAAAUGAUAAACGGGGCGGGGCGGGUACUCGCUGAUCCGACCCUAUCUCAGUGGGUACCCGUUAUAGGGUACCCGCUGAUAUGCGGAGCGGAUAAGGGUCAGAAAAUGGCUGACCCGCAAGGUGCGGGUCGGGUCAACCAAAUGGUGAAUGGGGCGGGUACCCGACCCGCGCCCACCCCUACUUGUAGUGCAAAAUCAAUAGUCUGUUAUAGUCCGUUAUAUCAAAGUCAAUGGUCUUUUUUUUUACUGUCAUCGUUGUUGCAGAAUCCAAAACUUAAAGCUCUUGUACUAGUGUGUUAGGAAUUGUCAUACAGUCUCUUAUAGUCAUCAACAUCCCUAAAAUUGACACUCAUACCAUGAUUUAAUAAAACAUGUAUACAUAGUUUAUUAAGGUAUCUAUAUUUUGCUAAUAAAAAAAAGGCUAAAUUGCAACACCAUAGGGUGCCAUGGUAGAAUUAAUAAAAUUCGUAUAUUACAUACGGGGAUACAUUGCAAAAGUCAAAGUGCGAUUGUUGACUUAGUGAAAUUGGCAAAUUACAUAGGGGGCUAAAUUGCAAAAUUUAGGGUGUAAUAGUAGAAUUAAAGAAAUUAUUGUACUACAUAUGGGGCUAAAUUGCAAAAGUUAAGGUGUCAUAAUAGAAUUAAUGGAAUUUUUUUAUCACAUUUGGGGCUAGAUCAUAAAAGUUAGGGUGACACAUUAGAAUUAAUGAAAGUGAUCUAGGAGCAAGUACUUUAGACAGUGACGACUAAUUGUUGUCACUACCUCUGAAUCGAUAGAGUGAUAGUGACGAUGUUGGAAGUUGUCACUAGAUGGACCAUUUUAGUGACAACAUUUUUCCAGAUCGUCACAAAAGUAAUUUUCUGCCACACCAACAGGUUGUGCACCACCAAUGUUGUGACGACAAAUCCCAUGUUGUCACUCAUGAUAAGUCUAUGUGAGUUCAUCUGUGACGACAUCAAAAGUCAUCACUAAAUUGGGUCAACUAUGACAAGUUUUUCAUUGUCAUUGAAAAUAUUGUCACAAAAGGCGAAAUUUCUUGUAAUGAGACGACCAAAGACUUGUGGGAUAAUUCGAAGCUUUUGUAUAUAAAGAAGACGAUAGUGAAUCGACUCCACUUGAAGCAAAGUUUAUAUAUGCUUCACAUGUCCGAAGGUACGUCUACAAUUUUACAUCAUGAUAAAUUUGAUUCUAUUAUUAUGAAUUUUACAAAUAUAGACGUUACAAUUGAGAAUGAGGACCAAGCCCUAUUAUUGUUAUGUUCCCUAUUCCAGUCAUUUAAGCAUUUUAGACACAUAAUGUUUUAUGGUAAAGAUACAAAUUCUUACAAAGAAAUAAAUUCUAUCCUUGAAUCCAAAGAACAUAUUGGUAGGGAUAUUAUUGGCGAAACUAAAGGGAGUCAAAAUAGAUGCCUUAUUGGUUCCGGGUAGAUCCACACAUAAAAAUUUGGUAUGCAGAUACUAUCGCAAGACGGGCCAUAUUAUCUCUGAAUGCACUAAAUUAAAGAAUAAAGAAAGGCAUAAAGAGAAAAGUGAUUUGAAAUGCAAUGAAAUUGCUGAGGCUAGUGUUGUAGCUUAUAAGAAUAAUGGAACCAUUUUCUUAGCAGUAGAAAAUAAUUUAAGGUCUAACAAUGAGUGGAUUUUAGAUUCAGUUUGUUCGUAUCAUGUGUCUAUUAGCAAUUCAACAUAUGAAUCAACUGAAAGUGGAGUUGUCUAAAUGGCCAACAACACCUUUUGUAAAGUUGUUGGUAAAGGUACAGUUUGAAUCAAAAUACAUGAUGGUAACAUGAGGACGCUUCCAAAUCUUAUCUCUUUAGGUACUUUUGAGUAUAUUGGGUGCAGGUAUAUAGCUGAAGGUGGAGUUGUAAAUAUCACUCGAGGUGCUCUUAUUGUUAUGAAGACACAUAGGUCUGGUACUUUAUAUAUUUUGCAGGGAUCUACUAUUACAAGUACUGUUGCUAUUUCGACAUCAACUUUGUGUGAUUUUGAUUUCACCAUAUGCAGUUAUGACUUUUGUGAUUUUUUGUCCAUUGGGACCUACUGAGUCUUUUGCGAUUUUUGACUCGUUGAGAUCUAUCGGAACUUUUGUGAUUUUUGUCCUGUUGAGAUCGAUUAAGGCAUUUGUGAUUUUGGCCUAUUGGGAUCUGUUAAGGUUUUUGUGAUUCAAGUUCAUUGAAAUCCAUUGUAACUUUUGUGUUUUUGACUCAUUGGAAUAUAUUGAUGCUUUCGUAAUUUGAUUCAUUGGCAUUCGUUGAGGCUUUCAUAAUUUGCUUGUUGGAAUCUAAUGAUAUUUUUUGUGAUAUUAACUCGUUGGAGUUUUUUAGAGAAAAGGUGGAGCAAUUUCACUUUUUUCGAUUUUUUUGUAUGACAGAUGCAAAGCCAAGGUGGAGAUUUGUUAAAAUAUAUCUUUGACAUCCUUGUGAAAUCAUUUAUGGUACUAUUGAUGAGCAUGUAUUUUGAGUAAUUAAGUCUGUUUUAUUAUUUAGUUUUGAUGUGUUUUAAUUAUUUUUAGAGCUAAUUUACUAGGGUUCAAGUGAAGUUGACAUUUUGUGGUUUAAGUAUCAAAAAUUACAUUUCUAUGGAUUAAAGUGGUGAAAACUUCAUAUUUUUAUAGGUUUAAUGACUCAAUCAACAAAUGGAGUAAUUUGAGAAGACAUUUGAAUGAUUGUUGAUGAUUUGAAGUGAUUUAAAAAGAAUAUGAAGUGCAAAGAUGAAAUGCAAUCAAGUGUAAAAGAAAGGGAGUUUGACAACUUUGACACCUUUUAAUAUUUUGGCUAUAUCUUGAGUUAAAAGUAUUGGAUUGAGGUGAUUCUUGAGCCAUUUUGAAGUUAACACUAUAAGACAUCGCAAUCCAAUUCAUGAGUUUUCAUAGUCAAAAUGUCAAAAUACAGCCGGCCAUUUUUGUUGUCAAAAGGUGAAACAAAUUUUUUAUCAAUCAGGGGUAUUUUGAUAAUUUUCCAGUAUAUAGAGCUCCAAAUUUGAUAAUUGUUGAAGCAUUGGAAAACUAAUUCAAAAAGCUACAACUUUAAUGUUUUUCAAAAGAGCUAGUUCAACAUUCGUCAUUGAGAAAAUAUUAGUUGAAAUUAGUAUAAAGACAAAGCAAAAUUGAAGACUGACCAGAAUUGAGAGAACCUGCAAAGAGGCAAAUGGGGGCUAAUACGUGACCUCAUGUCCACGUUUUCAUGACCGCAUAUUCUUCAAAUGAAGCUGCAACUUACAUUUCAAUUUGCUCUACAUUCACAUAGCUUUUCUAACUGUUUUUCAGCUCAGAAUUUCGACUGUAGCUGUAAAAAAAAUGUGGAAACUUAGAGAAACACUUUUGACGAUUUCAAGAGACAAAAAUUUCCAACUAGAAACGACUCACUUGGAGCUUUAAUUCCUCUAUAAAUAUGGGCCUUUGUUGAGCUUGUUUUAGAAGUGUGGAAGGCUAAAGACACUACAAAAAAUGUAACUUUCACUAAUUUUUCUUAGUUUAUUAGUUUAGUAUAGCGUAAUAUAGUUUCCAUCCAUUCUUGUAUUAGCUAAACUUGCAUGAGAUAGAGGAUGAAGAUGGAGAUGCUUGGAGCUCAUUGACAAAUGUGUCUUCUCUCUUAUCACUUUGUUUCUUGUAUUGAUUCUAACGUUUGGUUAUACUACAAAUUUGGAUUUUGAUUUCAUGUUUUUCAUGUUUAGCUAAGGUUUAUACCUAGAGUUAUGGAUGAACUUUCUAUAUCUUGUUAGUGAUUUUAAUUGGUUAUUUGAUGAUAUUAUUUUAAAUAAGUUAUUUAGCACUUUUGCUUGUCUAAUUAUGAUUAACUUGCCAUUAAUUAUGAUAAUCUUUAAGGUAUUAAGUUUGCAAUAAAAAUUGAAAUUUGACACUAAUUCAAAGAAGUGCUAAAUCUAGGAAAUACACUCACGAGAGUAGAGGUGCACCUUUGUGAUUUUAGUGACUUAUUCUAUGUAAUUUCAUAGAAGAAAUGAGCUUAUAGUUAAUUCCAAAAUCAUGAGAGUAUGUAUGACUUAACUACAACUAUAUUGAUUCUCAACGAGAGUAGGUUUCAUAUAUAUAAGGAAAAUAUGUCAUAACUAGCCAAGAUAAAAGCAUUCAAUUAACCGAUAAUUUCACUUAAUUGCAAGAGUAAUAAGGAAUUCCAUAACCUUAGGAGGUUUCUGUUUUUAUUUUUAUUACUUUUAUUUCAUGUGUGUAGUAUAGAUUUAAUCUCUAACAUUUAUGGUAGUCUAAAUAAUAAAGGCGUUCAAAAACCAUCGGUAAUUAACAAUCUUUCCUGUGGGAUCAACACCUAAUAUCCUCUAUACUUGAUAAAUGACCUGUAUAUUUAUAGAAAAUGGGGUAUUUAAGUUUUAUUAAAAUUUGGUAUCUGACAGAACCUCGUCAGGUGUCAAAUUUUGAGAGCUACAUGGACAUAAUUCUUUUAUCUAUUUACCGUCCUAGCAAAUAGCCCAACUAUUGAGUUGUAUGUUUUAAUAGUCAAAUUUGCAGCAACCAUUUCUGUUCAAAUACUAUUCAUUUGAAGGCUUUCGCAUGGAAGAAUUUCUCCUAUAAAUAGGGGUUUUUUUCUUGUUUUGACAGAACCCCAUUUGGGGAGGGACGCCACCCCAUUAUUCCAUUAAUCAAUUAAGGAGCCGAUUACAUGAAAAUCCAUGCCAGCACAUGAAUACCCAAAACAGAUGAGGCCUACUCCUUUACAACCAUAUUACGUGAUGCAGGAAAUGAUCUAGCAUCUAAGUUCAAAGUACUUUUCACAGUUGGAGGCAAAGUGGAAAUAUCUUCCCAAACGACAUCCGAGCCUCUUAUACAUUAUGUGUAAUCAUAUUAGAAAGCAAAUAAAUUUGUUCAAGAAAACGGUAUGAAUGUUUGAUCAAAUACGUCCAUAUUCAUUAGAAUCUUAUUAAAAUUACUUGUGUAACUAAUAUAAUUAGACCAAGUAUUUUUAAUCCCACUACAUAUUUCAGCAUUUAUCUGUCUUCUUAAUUCCAAUUUAGCUCUUAGUUGCUCCUCCUGAUUUCUAUUUCAUAAGGAUAUAUUAAUACACAGAAAUGAAAGCACUUUUCUUAGUGUGGCUACAAUCCUAUUGUUAAUGCUUCUUUCAAGACUAGACAAGGAAGUUGCAUCUUGUUUUGAUAAAGAACUCAAGGAUCUAUUUGCGUAAAUGAUCACAGAAAGAUUGUUGUAAGAGUGUAAAUGAUCCAAGUAUCAAACUCAAAUCGAGCUCAAGUGUAAUUUACGUAACACUUGAGAGAUUUGCGAAAGAAUUUUAUUAUUAUUAAACUAGUAUAUUUUAUAAGGUAGUUCAAGUUCUUUUUUUAAUGGCAAGUUUCAUUUAUAGGGAGGGAUACCAGCCUGUUAGUUUAUUAAUACACAGAAAGAUCUAAAUAUAACAUAGAGUUUGGGAGGGGAGGGCCAAACCUGACUUCAAAUAAAAGGCAAAAAAUGUAAAGAAGGAGUAGUGGAGUUCUACUCCCUUAUAUCCAUGCUGUUAAAACUAAUUACAAGACAUUACCUUCUACGAAAAGAUAGAAAUCCUAUCCUAUCGAGCUAUAAAUCACCACGAACUAGCCUAGGCAAAUUAGCAAACGAAUUAUAAAUGGAAUCGCCGUUAGAAAGAGCACCAACAUUAGACAACCGAUCAACAAGGCGAUUAGCUUCUCUAUAACAAUGGUUAAUUCGACAAAUAUAGCGCUGAAAUUGCAUAAGAUCAAACAAAUCUCGUUCUAGUUUCCACAGACAAGUAUAUAAACCAUUAAGAAUAUUCAUUAAAACCAAACCAUUAAAAAUAUUCACUAAAACCAAAGAAUCAGACUCCAAAUAUAGACAUUAAAAACCCCAAGAAACACAAGCCUUCACUCCAAAUAACAAAGCCUAUAACUCAACCUUUAGACUAGUAGUAAUGCCAAAAUGAUAUGAAAAGGCCAUCAAAAAAUGGCCCUGGCAAUCACGCAAAAUGCCACCUCCCCCACGAAAACUAGGAUCAAGUUCUAAAGCAAACGGACAAAGAUGGAGGAAACCGUUUAAGUUCUAAAGCAAACACCUCCAGAGUUCAUGAAAAUUACAGAGUAACCAGCCCAUUGGUUAGUAUUCACUUGAGGAUCCGCACAUUUAGCACUGUUAUGAUAUAAUUUGUUGUUCCAUAUAUCGUAUGGUGGUGUUACUGGAAAGCGGAAGCGUCCCAUAUCUUAACUGUUGAAGAAUUUUCAGUAGAAUAUUUCUUGAAGUUUCCAAUAUGAAUUAGGUCUAUAAUCAACGAGACGAAACAAAAAAAAGGAGGCCUAGCAGAAAUUGACAUCUUUAUUACAUUAGCGCAAAAAAAUAAAUAAAUAAAAACGUACUGAAAAUUUUAGUUUUUAAUUCUGCAUGAUUGAAGUCUGUCCAUUAGUGCUAGUAAGUGCUUAAUUUACGUGCUUUCGUGCGGUGAAUUGUAUGCAUUUUAGUCAUUACAAAAGCCAAAUAACUAGAUUUUUAGUUGAAUUUUGCAUUUUGUGAUGAAAUGAGAAAAACUACAUUUCUAUGAAUUUAAGUGUGAAGGUUUCAUGUUUUUUGUAGGUUUUAAUAAUUUAAUCAUCAAUUGGAAUGAAAUGAGAAAAUACUUGCGUGAUCCUUGAUAAUUUGAAGUGAUUUCAACUGAAUAUAAAGUGCAAAACGAUCAAAGUAUGAAAUGCAAUUAAGUUUAAAGGAAGAAAAGUAUUUGCAGUCUUGAUAUAUUUUAGUAUUUUGGCCAUAAUUUGAACUACACCUUUUGGAUUGAGAUGAUUCUUGAAGCGUUUUAAAGUUAAGACCAAUGGAUACAAUUCUUAUAAGACAUUGACGUCCAAAUUACACAUUUUGAAGGUCAAAAGACUGAAAUAUAUGCAUGCAUUUUUGGAACAUUCUUUUGACUAGUGUGGAGUAUUUUGAUCAUAACUUAAGACGUAGACCUCCAGGUCACUUGAUUCUUAAGUUGUUACAAAGCUAACUCAAUAGAAUGUAACUUUCAUUUUUUUUUCACAAGAGCCGGUUGGGCCAUCUUCAUGGAGAUAUUUUUACAUCAAAUCAGGGCAGCAGCAAACCUGGCCCAGAAUUCGGUCCCAGAUUAUAGGCCGAAUUCAAGGCAAAAUGCAACUUCUCCAAGAUCAAAACAGAGCAACAAUCCAGUCAUGAACACUAAACUAAUCCAGUGCCACAUUGUGGGCUCCAUUAUAGUCAGAGAGUGCGGUUGCAAUGUGCUCAACUUUUACAACAUGCUCAAACUUGCUCACUUUUUCAUGGAAAUUCAAGGGAUGUUUUUGCUGCUGAAAUGAAGGCUCUAGACCAUCUUUUGAACUCCUUUCUCUCUCUAUAAACGUUGUUGAAGGAUUGGAGAGUAGAGAACUUCAUCAUAAAAAUGUAGCUCUUAUAUUCUCUUAGUUUAGGUUAGUGUAGGAGCAGUUUAGAGUUGUUAGAUCAUACUUUCUUGUAUAAAGUUGAACCAUGAUAAAUAGAGCGCGGAGCCAGAAAAAAUUUUAAUGAGGGGAAAAACAACUCUAAAAUUUUUACCUACUCUUUUUCUAGUUUUUUAAGUAAAAAUAAAUUCACCAACAAGUACAAAUGAUGGUUAUAUUCCAUGAAAAACAUAAAAAGACAAACUCAAAAUUAUUAAUGUAAUAAUAAUUUUAUUUCAAAAAGCAAAUUAAAACAUUUACAAUUGCUCAUGACUAGUUUUCAUAUUUUGAUAACGGUUUACAACCUUCUCGUUUUGAACUUCACGAAUUAUAUUUUCUCAAUGUAAGUAAUUAAACAAUCAUUCAUCCAGGUGUCUUCCAUUCUAUUUCGUAACUGAUUAUUCACUAUAUUCGUAACUGAAAAAUCCCUUUCUACAGUAAUUGUAGUGACAGGCAAAAUCAAAGCCAACUUUAGGAGCAUCAAAACCUCCAGGGUUACACUUGAGGUUACAUCAAAAUUCUAUAGGUACUUUAAAAAUUUAAGGGGGCCCCAGUGCCCCUACUGUAGAUCCUCCCCUGACGAUAAAGUUGAAGGAUAAAAAAGGUAAAGAAGGUGCUCAUGUGACAAGGGUUUUCUUCCCUUACACCUCUUUAUCUUUCCUAGUUCAUUCUAAGUUUUAUUAUUAUAGAAGUUUGAAUUUUGUGAUCAUUAUGUGUUUCUAAAAUUUGUGUCUAAAGUUAUGAAUGAACUUUCUAUGUCUUGGUUGUAAAGUUUGCUUGGUUAUUUAAUGCUAUUAUUUUGAACAAGUUAUUUAGUACUUUUGCUUAUCCAAUCAUUUAUUAGUUGGCCAUUAAUUGUUCUAUUCUCAAAGUAUUAAGUUUGCAAUGAAAAUUGAGGUUUAAAACUAGUUCAAAGAAGUGUUGAACCCAAGGAGUACGCUUAUGAAUGUAGAUGUGCACCUUUAUACCCUUAGUAGCUAAUUUCAUAUAAUUUCAUAGAAUUUAAUGAAUUUGUAAUUGGUUUCAUAACUACGAAAGUAAGUAUGAAUUAGUUGUAGAUAUAGUUGAUACAUCGGUGAAAGCGGUUAUCAUGUAUAUUAAAAAAUCACGCCACAAUUUAGCUGAGGUAAUAAAAUUCAAUUAACUGGUAGAUUCAUUUACAAGAAUAGUUAGAAAUUUCACGAUCCUAAGAACGUUAUAUUAUUAUUUUUACUUCUUUUAUUUCAUAUUUGUAAUGUAGAUGUAAUUUUUUGUAUUUGUGAUAGUCUAACUAAUAAAAAAAUUCAAAAAUCACCAGUAACGAAUCACCCUUUCUUGUGGAAUCGACACCCUUCUAUUCAAUAAACAAUCUAUCUACUUGCAAAAAUGAGGUAAUAAGGUUUUUCAAAUUGUAACGAAUGAUGAAACCUCGUCAAGUGUAAAAGACGUGGGCAUGAUUGAAGACUAUUUUGUUAAUUGUGAUGCAUGCAUGAUUCAGAAUUCCUCUGCUGUUUUACCAAUCAUACAGGGAUCCGUUUGGUCAUUAAAAUUUUGGAACCUUUGAGGCUGUUUAUAAUUUAGUCAUUCGCAAAAUAUUUAAUGCCAGCUCAAUGGUUUGUCGUUUGGUAUAUUUGAAUUUUCGCACAGCUCAUGCAUUGGAAAGCGGUUAAUGGUCCAAAGGUUGUCGGGGCAGUGCUCAAAUAAUUGCAAAGAACCAAAUUUCGUACGUCAUGGAUGUCCUCCAAAGGGGGCCAGUAUCAGCCUCAUCUUGAUCAGCCUUCCAGCGCACUAAAGAAACAUAUAAAUAUAGUAGCCUUCCUCCGGGGUGUUUCUCCGACAAAUUUUAUGUAAUGUACUCUAUGUUAAUUAGACUGUUUCCUUUUCACCAAAAUGUUGUUCGCAAUUACUCCUUUCGUUCCACUUUGAUAGUCAUGUUUUCCUUUUUCGUUUGUCUCAAAUUAUAGUUCACUUUUUAAUUGAAGAAUGUAAUUGUAUUUUAAUUUUUCUAAAAUACCCUUAUUUAAUGUAAGUUGUUGUUACUAUAAAUCUACCCCAUUUAAUGAGAGUUGAUUCUUUUUUUACCAUCAAUUCAAGUUCCCAUAAAAUUGUACACUAUUUAAUGUGAGGGUAUUUUAGAAAAAUAGCAAUCUAAAUUUACUUUUCUAACAAAAUUAACUACUUUUUCUUAAACUGUGUGAAAAAAGAAACGGGUCUAUCAAAGUGGGACGGAGGGAGUAUAUGGUUUCUAAAAGAAACCGUACAUUCUAGUAAUAAAAUUGCCAAUGCGUGAAAGACUUUUUUUUUUUUUUCCCUUAAGCCACGUUGACCUGAAAUCAGUUCCAACGGCCGGAAAUUGGCUAAUUGGACUAUAUUACGAAAAAGUGUAAGAUCAAGGUGAUUAAGUGCUAAAAUUGAAAGUUGAGGCACAAAUUACAAUCUAGUAAUAUGUUGAUCGGUGCAAAGUAAAAUUAACCCAUAUAUUAAAGAAAAGCAAUACCAGGGUAGUCAUCCGGUAUGUCCUGUCUAAUGUAGAGGUCCACCCUUGAAAUGAUGUAACCUCCUACUGCGCUGACCAGCUCAAAGAUAAUAUACCCUGUUGCAUACCGAAAUUGUUUGGUUCCUCCUAUAAUCGCAAAUUCAUUGGCAUCCACAGAUCGCAGGGCAAUUCCUUUAAAUUCCACAGUGCUACCCAUGUACUUUCCAUUAGUGAACAGAAUCGUUGCAGCAAGCGCCGUGUUGUUGCCAUCAAGGGAUGCUACUACUGGAAUGGCUUGCGAACGACCAACUAGUGCGGAUUCGAUUGAAACGCCUUGUGUGAAGAUAUUAUCAUCGACGAAAACAGUUCCAAAAUUGGCCAAAUCCCCAAGUUACGUUGGGGAGACCUGCAACUGGGAAAAUAGACUGAGCAUCUCCACUUUGAAAUUCGUGGAGGUACAUCGUCAAAUUUGUGAACAGAGUUUUUGAUUGUCCUAAGCUUGCUAGUAAAAGCACGCUGAGAAUUUGGAGGGAUGCUAUAGCUAAACCCUUUGCCAUUGUUUUGUCGCAGAAACAAAGGAGGAGAAGAAAGAAGGAAACAAUUUGGUGUAGCGUGAUUCGUGAUUCGUGAAGUAUAAAGCUGAUGAGGAGGACUGUUUGUGGGACCGCCGUUGAGGGGAGCACAGCGAUAUUCUCUUUCUAGAAAAAAAUUCAAAAAAAAAUGAAAAUUUUUGUUCCUUUACCGCUUUUUUUUUUUUUUUUUUUUGUCAGCAACGAUACAUUUGUAUAACCUAUUCUAUCCUAAUCUAGGGGGAGGGGGAGCCUAAGGAGACUGUAGUAGGAGCUAGUGGGUAUACAGACCCAACUAGACCAAGGGAGUGCUAUGACACAACCCUUAGAUUUUUUUCGCUGCUGGUAAGGUUUGAACCCUCACCAACAGCCCAAGGAGGGACUUAAGUCCCUUCCUGGUGGCCACUGGGCCAAUCCCCAGUGGUUACCACUUUUCAAUUGCAGUGUUAUUGUGUUAAUAUAGCUCAACCUGCCUAAAAUUGUACGGUGUAGCCGCAGAGGAAGUUUACCCCCACCACAUCACCCGUUAAAAACAAUUAAAUUUAUAUGUAUAUAAUUACAUAUGUGAUAUUUAAUUUAAUUAGUUACAAAAUUAUAAUAAUGAUAUUAUUAGUUAUAAAUAUUAUAUAAUGUAUAUUAGUAUUUGUAAUAUAAUUGAUAUUGUCAAAUGCUAAUAAUUAUACAUGUCUACUAAUAGAAAUUAUUAAUUAGUUGUAUCAAUUUUACUAAUACAUUUAUACUAAAUUCAUAAUUACACUUAACACAAUAACACUUCUUUUCUCAAAAAACCACACAACAAUGAUUUAGUGAUUGUAUUUGUAUCAAAAGGGAAAAAUUGACUACUUUAGUUGUGUUUGUUUCAUCAUAUUGGGCUGCAUUUAAAUAACUUUUGUUUGAUUCUUUUUAUGACAUACAAUUGUGAAAUUAAAAUGAAUAAUGAUUUGGUGAUGUGUUGGCAUUUAUGUAUUUGAUCCUUUGUUCAAAUUUGACUACAAUGAAAUUGUAUGACAAAUUUUUAUUCGCCCUGUGGGUGCGUCCAUAGGGUAAGCGGGGCAAGGCGGGGACGGGGCGGGGGAGGAGUCCCCCGUCUAACCCCCACCCCAUUGCCAUUCCUAAUUUCUUUUGCUAUAUAGUGUAAUAAUGGAAACCUUGAAAACUUGAAACACAUUUACCAAAAAAAAAUGAAAUACAUUUAACAGGGCUCCGAAAAAUGACUAACUCCACUUUGCACCUUCAAAUUUGUACCGGUUUAACAAUGUUCCAAACUUAUACUCAGGAGAUAAAUCAAACUUGACUUUUGAUUUUUCUGCAUAUGAAUGGUUUAAAUGAAAUAAGAUUACGUUUCAAAGAGUUUGGUAGAGCAUAAAAAGUUUUAAAACAGAAUUAAACAUCAAUGGGUGGCCACCUAUCAAAGUAGGUUUGUGUAGAAUGGUAUGGUAUACAUAGCAGAUAUGUCAUUCAAAGUUCAGAGUCAAGAAUUUCUUUUGCUAUAUAUAUAGUGAGAUAAUGGAAAGCCUUGAAAUCUUGAAACACUUUUACCUAAAAAACAAAUUACAAAACAAUGAAACACAUUUCACAAGGUUCUGGAAAAGAAUUAACUCCGCUUUGCACCUUCGAACUUCUACCACCUUAAUAAGGUUCCGAACUUACAUUGAGUAGCUAAAUCAAUCUUGACUUUUGAUUUUUCGGCAUAUAAAUGGUUUGAAUGAAAUAUGAUUACAUUUCUAAGAGUUAGGUAGAGCGUAAAAAGUUUUAAGAGAGAGUUCAAUAUAAAUGGGUAGCCACCUAUGAAAAUUGGUUUGUAUAGAGUGGUAUACUCAGCAGAUGUAUCAUUCAAAGUCGAUUGUCGAGAAUUUCAUCUAUUGUAUUGUGGGAUAAUGGAAAGCCUUAAAAACUUGAAUCAAAAUUACCUGAAAAAAAAAAAACAAGGAAACACAUUUAAUAAGGUUCUAGAAAAGGAUUAACUUAACUUUGCAUCACCAAACUUAUCCCAAUUUUUCAUUUUGUACCCUAAAUUUUAAUUUUGAACACUUUACACCCUAAGCUUUAAUUUCACCUUUUAGUCUGGGGCCUUUCAUGUUUGCAAAUUGCAUAAGAGCCACUCAUUUUCUUGUUAGUUACGUGCAGUAAUAGGCUUUUAGCAUCCUCUCAUUAAAAAAUUAAUUUUAAAAAAUGUCCAAGUAUAAGUUUCAAUUUUGUAGUUGAAAUUGAAAAUGUUCACACAUGUUUAGCUAUUUACAUGCCAUAUAGGCUUCCAACCUCCUAACCCUAAAAUUUAGGGGGUUUUGGGGGAAGGGGAGGGUUGGAUGAAGAACAGAGAUUGAAAUAAUAAAUCUUUUGUAGCCUUCAUUAAGACAUUGAUCGAACAAGAGAAUGUCUGAAGAGAAAUUAGAAUGAAACAAAUAUCUUAAUUGCACUAGAGAAGUGCAAUUGAAUAUAGUUCUCAAGAAUGUAAUUUCCGUUGAUUUCUAUGUAGCUGGUUGUUGUAAAAUUUGUCUGAAGAGACAAUCGAAUACCCCCAAAACUCGCCGAAUUCCGAACAAUUCACAUAUCUUUUGGGGUCGUAUUACAAGUCCACGUAUGUUUCUCCCCUAUUUAGAGGAAGAAAUAACAAAAAAAAAAAAUUCAAAAGCUGACUUUCCUGAUAAUAUGUUUUUGCUCCGUCCAAUCCACAUAUGUUUAUAUAUGAUUCAGCAGUAAAAUCGAACAAAAGCUCAAAAGUUGACUUUCCCGUUUUAUAAGGCAUUGACUAACCAUUUUGUGGCCAAACCAUUAUCCAUCUUGACCAUCUAAAUGGUGCAUUGCACUUUAGGCUUAAUGCUCAAUAAAACAGAAGUUCUUAACCAUGUUAAGAAAAAAUAGAUGAAAAGGUCUUUUGUCACCUUUUAUUAGUUGUGGUAGUUAUAUAGGAGAAGGAUUACCAUUUGUUAAACUGAGUAAAAGAUUAUUUUUCGUAAAACAAGUUGGAUGUACAUCAUAUGUAAAACAAAAAUUAUGAAAAAUAAAGACUACCUUACAAUUAAACUUGGUGUACAAUUAUCAGUUCAAGCAAAUUUUAGGUGUAGAUUUUAUCUAAGUUUCAAUACACAUCUUUAUUAGCAAAUGCACAUAUCUUAGUUUAACACAUUCACAAGCUUGCGUAAUUGAAGAACACCAAUAGUAUAAUUCACAAGCUUGCGUAAUGCGAAACCACGUGUAAUUGAAGAACACCAAUAGUGUUUUUAUGAAGAUGGACAUAUUGACGAAACAAGAAGUGCACGAAGAAACGUCAUACAUUGAUCACCGAGUACAUAUAAGUCCACAAUAAAGAUAAAAAUCUAUACUUGGUUUUCUUAAUUAUUAUUUUUCUUUUAUUAGUUAUUUUUUCCCAUCCUCCUAGAUAGAUUUCUUAGUAAGAUGGUCGAGUGAACAAGUAGUACAUAAGAAACAUAGACCACCAAGUACGUAUAUAUAUGGUCUGUAAUUGGCUUUCUUUAUUAUUGGUUUUUCCUUUAUUGUUCAAACUUUCCCUCCUCCUGGGUAUUGGAUUACGGUAAUAUCGCCCCUUAUAACCGUUUUAUUCUGUGCCGGAUUUUGCAGAACUGUCUGGAAAAAUCCAUAUCCCCGAGCAAGCCUAAACGUUUGGGUACCACCAACUAUUGGAAUUUCUCUCGCCGUACCACCAACUUGUAAGUUAUAUCCUGGUCCUUGGAAUUCCAAUGUGCUACCGUUGUAUUGGAAGUUGGAGAAAAGGAGGGAAAAUAUGCCCUGUGAGCUUGAUCCAUCACGGGAUGAAGCUAUGUAGAUGCCUUGGGCCCGACCAAUAGUUGGAGAAUUGUUGCUGAUGCCCUGUGUCAUUUUAGCAUCAUUAACAAUAAUGGUUCCAAAAUUGGAGGGAGUUCUCGGCAUACCAGGGGCGCCGGCAACUGCAACACUGGUGGUAUUUGGUCCGCCCGUAAACACUUGAAGGUACACAGUAAUAUUUGUUUCCUUUCCACGGCAGCAACAGACAGGGCCAAGAAGAUCAGCUUCUGAACAAACAAAUAUUGCUAGUAAUAGCACAAGGGAAAUUUGGAUGGAUGCUAAAGCUGAACCUUUUGCCAUUUUGUAUGUUGAAAGGCUAGCUGAAAAACAAAGAAGGAAGAAACAAAU